RNAcentral lists this long non-coding RNA (92032 nucleotides) under Triticum aestivum (bread wheat). Its description in RNAcentral is "long non-coding RNA (TAES_LNC019675)". The stretch from base 7508 to 7594 matches the Rfam family "MIR1120/MIR1122 microRNA precursor family". The record is from RNAcentral. Lineage: Eukaryota; Viridiplantae; Streptophyta; Magnoliopsida; Poales; Poaceae.
UUUUUUUCUAGGUCAAAAGACCUUAUAUACUAGAAGAUGGGCACUAGAGGUGGGCUAGGCUGCCCACCACCCACCAGGGCGUGCCUGGGGGGGCUGGCGCGCCUUGGUGUCUUCUGGGCACCAAGGAGCCCCCCUCUGGUAGCUCUUUCCUCUAGUAUUUUUUGUUUACUCUGAAAUAAUUCUCCAUAAAAUUCCAGCUCAUUUGGAGAUGCGCAAAAUAGGUAUCUCUGACAUAGCUUUUUCAUGUCCAGAAUUCCAGCUGUCGAUAUUCUCCCUCUUUGUAUAAACCUUGCAUAUUAUGAGAGAAAAGGCACUAGAAUUACUCCAUAAAGUGUUAUAAUGCAUUAAACACACUUUAGAUAAUAGUAGGAAAACAUGAUGCAAAAUGGACUUAUCAUUUAUUCACUUGCCAUUGCACGAGAGAGGCUGGUAAUUGGGAUGCCUAGUCCUAUAAUCAAAAUGAAAAAAAAACUCCCCUGCAAAGUUGUUGGUAUGGAGGGCACCCGUGAAUUCGGCUAGCCAUGGCUUGUGAUUGUUGGUUGAGGGGGAGUUAAAUUUACCUUUUCGCUUGGGAACCGCCAAUAAUGUGUUUAGCAUGGAAGAUAAUGAAAAUCCUCGGUCAUAAUGUUGACAAGAAAAAUACACCUCUCAAAAUUAUAUUCAUCUAUGUUUUAAGCUUCGGGCUUUGGUACCACUUCAAAUCCAUGCUUCCCUCUGCGGAGGGCCUGUCUAUUUACCUUUAUGUUAUUUACUUUUAUUGUUGAGUCAUCACCUUCACAUUCAAGCACCAAUUGGAGAGCACUAUUGUCAUUCUUAUGCAUUGGGUAUAGUUAAUGUUGAGUGUGACAUGACUGGGUCUCUUCUACCAUGAAUUACAAUUUUUAGUAGUUGCUUGAACUUCAGAGGUGCUCUGCAUUUAUGUUUUGCUGUCUUAGAAAUGGCUAGCGAGAUACCAUGUUAUCAUAUUAUAUCAUGAUUGUUUUGACAAAUUGUUGGCAUCCGAGAUAUCUUAUUAUCGCUCGCUAGUUGGUUACGUUAUUGGUAUAAAUAAAUGUGAGACCUAAGUGUUAGCAUGCACAUGGUUGGUUCAUAAUCCUUGCUGAAAACUUGAAUAUUAGUUAAACAUAUAUAUAUAUAUCAACAAGAACAAAAAGAGUUUGUAGAAGUUUUUCUUUAUCACUUUCAGUUUGCCAACUGAAUUGCUUGAGGACAAGCAAUGAGUUAAGCUUGGGGGAGUUGAUACAUCCCGAACGUAUCCACUUUUCCAAACACUUUUGCUCUUGUUUUGGACUCUAAUUUGCAUAAUUUGAAUGGGACUAACCCGAACUAACGUUGUUUUCAGUAGGGUGUUAUUUUUGUGCAAAAAGAAAAGUUCUCGGAUCAGGCUAAAAAUUUAUGGAGAUUAUUUCUGGAAUAUAUAUAUAUAUAUAUAUAUAUAUACAUAUAUAUAUAAUUGGCGAUCUCGCGGAGUCCAACUCCAUAAGUACCAUCUCGCGGAGAGAAAAAAAUCUGAGAGAAGGAAUCAUUGCGUUUUACGAUACAGAGCCAUCCCCGCCUCCUAUUCUUCAUCGGGAGGGCUGUUCUGGAGUCCGUUCGGGGCUCUGGAGGGUGGAAAUCAUCAUCGUCGUCAUCAUCAACCCUUCUCCAUCAACAAUUCUAUGAUGCUCACCACCGGAAGUGAGUAAUUCCUUCAUAGGCUUGCUAGACAAUGAUGGGGUUGGAUGAGAUUUGUCAUGUAAUAGAGUCAAUUUGUUAGGGUUUGAUCCCUAGUAUCCACUAUGUUCUGAGAUUGAUGUUGUUAUGACUUUGCUCUGCUUAAUGCUUGUCACUAGGUCCCAAGUGCCAUGAUUUCAUAUUUGAACCCUCUAUGUUUUCAUGAAUAUGUUUGAGUUCUUGAUCCUAUCUUGCAAGUUGUAUGCACCUAUUACGUGUUAUGAUCCGCAUACCCAGGGUGACAGUAAUUGCGAUUCUUUCCUGUGAUGACCUUUGUUUGAGGAGUUCGUGUAUUCACUAUGUGUUAAUGCUUUGUUCUGGUUCUCUAUUAAAAAGAGGCCUUAAUAUCCCUUAGAUUUCCUUAUGGACCCCGCUAACAUGCACUGGUGUGCGUCAGUCCUAAACAAACAGUUUUUAACCCCUUUCCACGACGACAUUUGGAACCAUCGCCAAGUAAGUGUGGGCGAUAGGGGGGUCCUUCCCACACGACCCAGAAACCGUUGGGGAUAGGGACCCUACAGUACUCCUACUCGUUUCUGCUCGCAUUGCCAUCGCAGUCGGUAUUCUGUGGUGCUACGUUUACGAUGCGCGGCCCAUCACAAAUGGCUCACUAUUAUAGAACAUGUAUGAUGCUCGGCCCAUCACAAACGGUUCACUAUUAAGAAGAUUAGCUAAUCAUCGUACAAGUGUCAUACAGGAUUAUGAAAUGUCAGACCGCCGUAACAUCGUUGUACAUGACAACUAUCGCACACACUAUUCUGUGAUGCAACGUUUACGAUGCACACUUCAUCAGAAACAGUUCAUGGUUGUGAAUCGUGUACGAUAAGGCAACUAACACAAACGUUUAGUUUGCCCGCACCGUUUGUGAUAUUGUCUGACAUCGCCCACGCUUUGGAAAUGGCAACUGUGUGCAUGCUUGCACACGUUUCCUCUCUGUGAACCGUCUCGGAUUAUGGUGUAUAUCGCAAACGUUUGUGUUUUACCAACCGUGUGUGCCAUAACAACCUGGAGAGCGUAAUUUCACCAUAAUUUAAUUGCUGCUAUUUCCAAUUGUACCGGAUUUGAAUUUGAAUUUGAAUGUAUGCUACAACUUUAUUCAUAUCAAUCAGGUUCAAACAACCAAUGCAUUAUUCGAUUCAUAGGUACAUAUGUUCAAGAAUUACAUAAGAACCAAGUAAAGAAUGAUGAACCACAGUUGUAUACUUGUACUAUUAAAGACGGUAAAGAAAGAGGCGAAAUAUAUUCUGGUUGUUGAACAAGGUGAAGCGGAAUGCCCAUAUUGUGCCCUCCUCCAUGAAGAAGGCACACACGACUCUAGUCCAACCCCUUGUGAUGGCCGACCACACAUCCUUCACGGUCUUCAUGAAAACAUCUAGAUAAUCAUCGUGUUCUGGUAGAAAUACUUUAACCUUUGCAUGCCCACCAAUCAUGUAGUUUGAGAGGUAAUCUUGAGUAAACUGCUUUAGCAACCACUGCAAAGGAAAAAGAUUCAGACAUUGUCAUCCAACACAACUCAUUAUGGUCAGUAAAAAGAAGGCUGCAGAGUUCUUACUUACCAUCCUGCAGUUCGCUAUUGUCUUGGAUAAAGUGUAAACAAAUAGUUUAAUUACCAUCUUUGGACCCAUUUUACUAACAAUCUUUAUCAGCUUCCUCACUUGAUGUUGGUUCAUCGAUAUCUCAUUGCCCCAUACACAGAAAGGGUCGAAGUGCGGAUCUUUACCAAUGACAUGUGUACCUAAAAGCACCAAGUUAAUAUUAGACGCUGAACAACAAUUGCACAAUGAUGUAGUACAACACUCUUUUAUAAUAUGUCUAUAUACAUCCGUAUGUGGUAGUCCAUUUGAAAUAUUUAAAAAUACAAAUAUUUCGGAACGGAGGGAGUAUCUUAUAACAUCCAAUAUACUCACAUAUUAGAUGAAUUAACAUCUUAUAUUAUGGGCCAGAAGGAGUUUAGUGCAUUCUUACAAAUUAUUGGCUGAUUAACUGCUGCUGUAUCCAGGGGUUACAGUUAGUUUGAGCUAGUUUGGGCUCAAAAAGCCCUAAAGUAUAUCUAAACAUGAGGGCUAGUUUGAGCUAGUUGCAUCUAUAACCCACCCAAAAAUAUAUCCAACCCAAGAGGUGCUAAUUGGAGCUAGUUCUCCUAGUGCAUUUAUUGUCAAUCUAACCCUGCCAUCCAAACAACUCUUUGGAUGGAGUUAGUUCAGGGUUAGUAAUGAGCUAGAAACUAACUCUAACCUCUAGCUAAGUUGAGUAUCCAAACAGGGUUGUGUUGUUGUUGUUGUUGUUGUUGUUGCUGCUCUUCUACGUAUAUCUAGACAUCAUUAGAACAUUAAUGUAACACUCUUCCUUGUUGCUAUGUAGCCUAGGAUUGCAUAUUUAGAUAUUAAGUACAGUGCAUGUUGCUAUGUAGCCUCGGAUAUAAUACAUAUGACCCUAGUUAACCUAACGAUAAAUGGGUUGCAGAUAUAUUCAAUUAAAAGUACGAUUCACCGAUUAGUCCUUUAUCAGCCGCCGGCCUAUAUGGUACCAGCUACCGAUAUCCUAAACAGUGAGCAGAUAUAAGCCAUGUGAUGAAACUAACCUCGAUGGAAAACAACAGUUGUUCCCAAAAUUGUCAUGUGUAGGUACAUCGAGAAGCAUGUUAAGCACAAUAGUUCAUACUUGCACAUAUAGAACAUCACGUUGUGAAUAACUGGAAUAAACAAGGCAUUUAAAACAAAACAGAAGCUAGCCAACUCGCUCCCAGAAUGCUCCCCCGAUUGCAAGCUUCGUCGGCCGUCGGAUCUGCCCCUCUGGCUCGCUGCACCGUUGGAUCUUCACUUGCAGUUAAAUUGUUUUUCACCUCCCAGUCAUUUUCCUUGCCCAAUGACGAGUGGGCUCGUCUCAAGCUUGCAUUGGCUGUCUCAGCAGCGGGUCAUCUUCGGGCGGGUGAACCUUUCCUCGCGCGCCGCGCGUUUCGUGGCUGGGGCGAGGAGCCCAUUGGACAUAACCGCACCAAACCCUAGCCCCCCGUCCACAGCCACCCGCUCCUUCUCACAGCCGCCGCACCAUUCCUCCCUUCCGCCCCCUCCCCCUUCCCAGAUCCCCACCACGGCGCCGACCUGCAGGCAAAGGGCGACAGCGGUGGCACUUAGUUAGAUCUGUAGGAGAGAGAAGAUGAGAGGGAGAGAGAGGAGGGAGAAAGAGAGGAAGAGGAGAGGAGGCAUGGUGUCGGAUGGGAGAGUGGCCAACUCGGCUCGCGUCGGUUGGGGUCGCACCCCUCCCCGAAGGGCGGCGAUGAUGGAGGGAGCCGCAGGCGCCAUCCAGGCUCCCGACCGACGGACUCGCUGGGUCGCCGCCCCUCCCGUGCGGCAGGGACAUCCACGGCGGCGCGGGCUAUGGACCGAGCGGCAGGGACCGUGAUGCGUUCCGGUCGAGGGAUUGGUCGGGCCGGCGCGGGAUCUUAGCCGCCGUCGAUGGAUUACUCGCUGCUUGGCUACCUGUUGCUUUGGAUCCGGUAUGAUCCCCAUCUCUCUCUCUCUCUCCAAGAAAAAGCUCUUUAUUUGAAUGACCAAGAAUCCAUGGUGUGCUCCUGAACUGCAAGGAACACUCCACUAUGAAACUCACUUAAGCAGGCUGAUAGAUGAUACCUUGUCUUGAGCCUAUUUUCUCAAAAUAAUGAGAGGCUGAAUGAUUCAGACACAGGCUGAACCAUCUUUCUCACCUCAUCAUUUUGUUACAUUUGAUUACAACCCAAACCCUAUGUUGAAUCAGGCGAGCUCUCGUUGCCGGAUCACUAGCCAAUCGUCGGGUUGGCGACCACGUCAGUUCCGCACCGCUGCCAGCGAGCGCUGUUCUGUUGCCUUGGAUUCGGGUGUGGCGUUGGCUGGGAACCGUAUGGUGUUUGUCUGAUGUGUCGUCCGCAUCGUGGGGGUUUGGUCGGUUGACUCCAGGUAUGAGCAGCUCCUGAGCUUGAUGGCUGGAUGUGUGCACACAUGUAACGGGGUAUCAUGGUCAUGUUGCUUGGUGUGCAGAGGCAACCUCAUUUUUGGACCAAAAAGAGGGGCGAUGACGACGAUGACUGGCUGAAACAAUCAUGUCUUGAGCAAUCAAGACAGCCUUGGCUUAUGGGACUAAACAGAGCUGAAAAAGUCGGUGUCACCGUUGGAGUUUCCCUUAGAGCCUACCCUUACCUUUGUUGUAGCCUGCUCAAUUUUAUUUCCGAUGUUGGAUGAUUUGUGCCUUGGACGGUCGCUCAGAUGAGUGAUACUCUGGGACCAGGUCUAUUUCGCCACACACGAACCCAUUGACCUCCCAUGUUCCUGGGGAGCGUUGCAUUUCGGAAAAGUUAGGGUUUGUGUCACACAAAGUUCUGCAUUGACACUUAGAAAGCAAGUGAAAAGCGAUAUGCCAUUUUUUGAGGCUACCUACAAUCCCGUUAAAAGGAAACUGCUAAACACUGAAGGGCAAUGGAACUCAAUUUGUCGGUAUCGCAGUUUGAUAAAUUGUAUUAGUGGUAUUUCUUGGAUUUAUAUAAGAAAAGCAAAAAUAGCUACCUUUGUGUGAAUUACAGUGCUAAUGAUGAGUUCUUUGUAUCAGACAUGAAUGGACAGAUUCAAGAUUUCCUUUCACCUAGGCUUGGUUAGUUGGCCACUUUAAUUCCCACUUUCUGUCAUGUAAUCUUGAUGUCGAUACUUUGACAUUACAUACAUAAUACGAUGCAUAAUGUAGAAGUUACUAAUGGUCAAAAAAAAUCUGGAUACGACACCUGCUUACUCCUAUUCACAUUAUGUAGAAGUUGCAUAAGGCAGAACAAGACUAAGAACAUUUGUCAGUUUUUUCAUGUGCAGGUUCAGCAGCGGGCAAUGCUCAAGACAGAGUUGGGCGCACAUCAUAUAUAUACAUAUGUUGUCGUGUCUUAAUAAAUGGAGAUGAGCAGAAGUAGAGAUGAGAUAUCUAUCCGACUGUCAUCCUUCCAAGACUUGGGUUUGUCAUCUCUGUCAGCGUCCGCCUCCGCUUCCUUCGUUGGUUGUCGUUUCUUUGUACACUGCUGUAGUUUAGAGAUCAUAAUAUAUUUUCCAUGGAUACAAUUGAAUACGACACCCAAUUUGCUAUAUAAUUGUUCAGCUCUCUAUCAUAGCGAUUCAUACAAAAUAUCAUGCAUAGUGGUCCCAGCUUAAGUAGAAUAUAACCAUUGGAUUGUUCAAACUUUGCUCGUGUUUCGCAGGGCACCAUAACUCUAAUCCGACAUGAGUAGUGCAACCAUGACAGUGAGCAGUGGAACCGCAAGAUAGAGAUAGAUACAAGUAGAAUAUAACUGAUCAUAUUUCUAAAAUGAUCACACUACUUAUGGUGCCGGAAGAGAAGGCAUCAGUGAUAGUGGGCUUGGUGAUGAGGGCAUCAAUACGAAGAGAUUAAUUCACAACUUUGUUCUUGAUAGGUUGUACAAAUAUACAAGGCACUAUUGUUUCCUUUUAUGUUUAAAUAGCUUUGUGAGUACAAUUAUAUGAAAAUUCUGCGAUUCAUGGUGCGGAAGCGGGCAUCUUUGUUUUCCUGACCAAAAAUACUUAGCUUCAUGCCUCCAUGGUAUAAUUUAGAGGCACAGUCCAAUGAGAGAUUCCUACUUAGCUAGCUAAUAUAUAACAUUUGACGGUACUGUCUUGUCUUGUAAAUACAAAAUAUGCUACAUGAGCAUUACUUUUAUUUUGAAUUUAAUUUUGUGUUUGAGCCUCUUUUACAUAUUAAGUGUAAUAUCACAGACUUUCUUCUUUCAGGGUUAACUGGCCAUGCAAAAACUGUUGUGAGGCAUUAAAUGGUACUCCCUCUGUAAACUAAUAUAAGAGCGUUUAGAUCACUAUUUUAGUAUUCUAAACACUCUUAUAUUAGUUUACAGAGGUAGUACUAUAUGUUUUUGGCUUGCUUUUGUUCACUUUUGUCCUUUCCAAAGUGGAAUAAGAAAAGAAAGUCAAAACAGGCUCAACCAUGACUACUCUGCUCUUGUCAUCACCAAUUUCUGCUCCAUUGCGCACAAGAAAGUAAUGACUAUUUAUUUGCUUAAACAAUAUGUCCAGCGCUGCUUGUCCUGCUAAUAUUCCUUUAUGGAUGUAUCGCACAAAUUUCAGUUAUUGGAUAUGAAAUGUACGUUCUCUACUCAGAGCUUGGUCCAAUGGUCAAUGUAGCUCUAUGUUGUGCUAUCUUGCUAUUGGGAUCUUUUUCAUUACUUAAAAUGGUCAGAUAUCUCUGAUGUUAAAUUCGUGGUUGAUUGCUUAUAUCCAAAAUAACUAUGUUAGUACACUGAAGCCAAUUUCUACAUUGUUAGUGAAGUUGGCCAAAUUUAGUCCAACAUUUGCAGUAUGUAUCUUCUUCUGCUAUCAAUGUUAAUUCUGCCAUAAGCAUAUUACUCUCCUAGCAUUUUUUUCUUUCGAUGAAAAACAGACACUUGUUCAGUUUUUUACUACAUAGAAAAAGAUAAGUUCAAUUUGGUUUCUAAUGUUCAUGUCGGCCUUUGCCUAAGCAAAAAAGGUAACCAGUUUAUAUUGUAAUGUGGUUUUUAGUUUCUCUUUGAUUCAACCUUUUUUGUGUGUGAUGUCUAACUGUUAGAUUGUCUGGAACAUCUCGGAACAACCUUUCGUGUCCCUGAUAUUAUCUCGUUUCCUGCACAAUAUUAUUUUAUUUGCUUUAUCUGCCACCAUGAAUUCCUAGACUUCCUUUCUCUCCUUCCAAUUGACAUUCUUAGAUGUGAUUCUAUUAGAAAUUUUGUGCCAUGACAAAAGUAAUGGUUGAUUGCUCUGGUUUAGCCUUUAUGUCAGUUGUUGCUGAGGGUCCGGUUUCUCAUUUUUCAGAAUUUGUAGUAGCAGGGAUGUGUAUAAUAUGGAUAACUGAACUGGUGUUUAGGGGUUUCAAUGCAGGACUGCUACUUGCUCGAUUAGUUAUAUCAACUGGUGUUUGGAGAUUUCAAUGCGAGUGAUGUUCCAGUUUCGAUUGCAUGGGCUUCGAGAUGCACCAUGAGGAUUGAAACAAGUCUUAUAUAGGGCUGCUAAAUUAUUAUGCUUUUGGUCUUUUCUGAAUUUAGUUGGCAUAAAUACUUCCACAAUACCUCUUAUAAUAUGGAAGUCUGUUGGUAACAACACUGAUUUUGCCAGUUUGGGGAACAUGCUUCAUUUUUGUAGGUAAAAGAAGGAAGAGAACAUUGGAGAAAAAGGCAGCAUGACGGAUUCUCUAAGCUUUCUCAAAUGUUUGAACAAUUAGAAGAUAGUUACAAUCAUUUUUCUCUUGCCUUAUUACAUCUUGAUGUUAAUAGGCUUUGGAAGGUACUAUGCGCCCCGUUCAAGGUUUACAGAAUUUGCACCAUCCUAUUACAGUUUGUUCUGAUGACAUAAUUGACCAGUUCUUCCUUGAGUAAAUUAAUAUUGUGGCAGCUACUCCUUUGUGCAUUGUUACAUAGAGUUAUAUAAUUGUGAAGGUGUGUACACAUCAACAUAUAAUUCCCACGAUCCUAUUAUAGUUUGUUCUGACGACAAUAUUGAGCAGCUCUUACUUGAGUAAAUUGUGCAACUCUUCCUUGAGUAAUUUAGUAUUGCAGUUACUAAGCCUUUGUGCAUUCCGAUACAGCUCUACUAAAAUACUACUUUCUUAUGCCCAUUUUAAACCGAGACCCGACUUUACAUCAUUUCUAUUCUCAUCCAUUCUCCUGAAUUUUAGUCCGCUUCAGCAAUGCUAUGACCUGACACUUCAUGUAUAUAUAUGAAAAAAUGACCGCAAUUUUGUUGUUGUGAUUUGGUCAAUCCUCAAAGUUUCGAUUCCUACCAAACUAUCCUUUGUUUGGCAAGUGAUGCCACCCGAAGGGCUGCAAGCCCAAGACAACAUCGGUAAUAUCCUUCACAUAUUUGGAAGGAGCGGAACAAUAUCAUUUCAACUUAGUCAGGUGCUGGCCCAAGGAUGUUAUUUCUCGCUGAUGUUUUAUUUAAUUAUUUUGAAACGAGGCAAAAGACUUCCAUUUUCAUUAGCUUAGAAGAUAGUGAGAAUUGCCUGGUUAAUUGAGGAAAAUCGGGCUAAAACCAAUACAACUCAACCCACACAACAUGGGUACCACCGGCCAACCUGGCCACAUGCUAACAGAUGGCUACACACGCGAAAAAUUGACAACUCCGACUUUGAAGAUGAGCUUCGCAAGGGAAAUAUGCAAGAUUUGCGCUGAUCAUGCAAUCCGCAAAUGACCACCUAGUGUCUAUCAUCAUCGCCACCUGGACUCCCUCAGAAAUCAACGCCCCCGAAACGGCUGCCUCGGCGAACCACAUCAUUCACAUGAAUUGUAGACAACUUUGUUGCUGAUGUGAAUAUCUUUGGAUGUGAUGUCCGUCAUUCACAUCUUAUAGAAUAUAUAACUCUGUGCUACCAAAUUAGAAUUUGUAUAUACAUCUCAUUAUAGACAACAAAAUAUACCAUGUUUUUCCUACUAAAGAGGAUUAGAUUUGUUACAUACAUUUUGUUUCAAACAGAACUCUAUGUUACCAAAUUUAAUUGUGUAUAUACAUCUGAUUGUUGAUAACAAGCCCUGUUUUUUCAUAUAAGAAAGAUUAAAUUUGUUGUCGUAUGUGCAUACCCGUAACUAUAUCAACUAAACCAUGGAUUUCUUUUCGUCACUAACAUGGAAUCAGCAGGUCUCUGCGCCAUUUGGCGCAACGGAUGGUUUAGUUGAAGGUUCUUGCAGCAUGAAACUAUUUUCAUCGACAACAUGUCUUCAGCGGGUCUCUGUGCCAUUUGGCGCAACGGGUCAACUAGUACUACAAACAACCAAAGAUAGCAUCUGAAACUGGACAUAUGCUAACUACAAACAACCAAACAAUCAAAAAACUUUAAAAGAGGCAUAUGCUAGCUAUAACAGGCUUAAAAACAAGCAAAUAUAUGCAUUCCUAUCGGUAUGUUUAAAACUGGAUUGAUGAAAUGUACUGCACAGUAAAUAAUUGCACAUAUGGAGCAUCACAUUGUGAACAACUGAAAUAAACAAGGCAUACUGCAAACAACCAGAUAUAGCAAUUAAAACUAGACAUAUUCUCACUACACUACAAAAGGGACUCGACAAAACAUCAUGGGUUUCCCCCUGUGAAGAGGCGUAGCAAAACAAAUCAUGGGUUUCCUCACUUGUCACAGAUGAGCUCGUUCCCGUGGGAAGAGCACGGACCCUGGAUGCGCUCCAUGUUGUCGCAGAUGGGCUCCUUCCCCUUGGAAGAGCACGGCUGUAGGGUGCCCUCCCUGAUGUCGCCGACGGGCGCAUUCCCCUUGGAAGAGCCGGAGAGGAUGCCCUCCUCGUGGUGACUUUUGAUGAGGUCUGACUUGGAAGCUGUGGAUCCCAAGCCAGCGUCGCAAAACGUGUCCUUCAGAAAUGACAAAAGGGGCUCGAUGGCGAUGUAGAAUGGCAAAUUGUUGGUAGCGAGCCAGAGGUGAUCAGCGGCGGGGCCAUGGAUGAGAUCGACGGUGGUCGAACCCGAGGGGUUGGGGGUGGACCACUUAACCUGUGACAUAGCCCACCUCAGGCCGUCGCUGUUGAUGACCUCGGUGUCAUAGUCGGCGGCCGAGACAUGCCCGCAUACUCUAGCCUGCUGCUUGAGUGUCUGCCGCUAGUAAUGGUCGUCAGCUUCCUCGGCAACGUCGAGCGAAGAGACCGCUAUACACCUCUUUUGGGCCAGUCGCUCCUCGAGCUCCACGGGAAGCGUAGCCGGUCUUAGGCUGCGAUGCUCUAGGGUGGGGGAUGGGGAUGGGAUGGGGGUCUGUGGGAAAGGGGGCAUUUGGCAGGCGUCAUCUAAGAAACUCAGGGUGGCCUGGGUAUGGAGAUCGGUGGGUAAGGUGCACGGGAAAACCGGCAGAUGUUGACAAUGGAGGCCUUGCGGCGGCGGUGGCGGGGACCUUGCUAGGGUUUCGAGCGAGCGAGGGUGUGUGUGUGUGAGCGCACGCCCGAGGAGGUUUUGGUGUGUGUGUGUGUGUGUAUGUGUGUGUCGAAGGGGGUGUUUGAGGAAAUGACGUGGGUACUGAAAAUUUUACUACGCGGGAAUGAAAUGAUGGGCUAUUGAAAAUUUUCAUGAUUGUGCAUCGCACAUGGUCGGGAGAUAACAACUGUGUGUUAUGAAACAGAAAAACUCUCGAGGUGGGCAGAUAUUUUCUAGGGAUGCAGGCGGGAUUGGGAACAAGAAACAUCGCACACGGUCCGGAAAUAACAACCGUGUGUUAUGAAACAGAAAAACCCUCGAGGCACACAUAUAUUUUUGGGAGGGGAGCCUUGUGGAGCCCAAUGUACUAUGCGGAUGUGUGCGUGACAGAGGCACCGGCGUGGCACACGGUUAGUUUGAGUGAACCGUGUCUGUUGCGUCAUCUGACUUGUCUAAUGUUCAUAAAUUUGGCAAAAAAUGACGCGGGAGAGGGUCAGAACACGAACACACUUGCAUGUGGACAAAUUUAUGUAUCAAAAGGGUGGUUUGAUUUUCAAAUACCAAAUGCAACUUCGAUGUGGCACCUCUCUCGCAAAGUGCACGUUAUUGCUUGCCCCCACCCCCCUCGUGUUGGCAUGGAUUGGGAAUCCUAAGCUAUGCAUGCAUGCCCCCUCCCCCCAACCGAGGUUCACCUAGCAAAGUGCGAAGUAGCUAGCAGCCCCCUCCUCCCUCGUGUCAGCACGACGGAAAUCCUAGCUAUGAAUGCAUGCCCCCCCAACCGAGGUUCAUUCACCUAGUGAUGUAGACACAUGCCUAGGGUAGGGUAAUAUGCCUGACCUAUACGCCCCACCUAAAGUCUUGUCCUAAGAACUAAGAAGUUCAAGAAUCAGAAGCAGAGGACCCGCAAAGGUGUCGAGCGAAGUCCACUCGACCUAUCAAUCACUCGAAGACCUCUCUUAUCCAGGUCACUCGACCACCAAACCACUUGACAUAUCAGAAGACCUAAAGUCGCUCUGUGCAGCAACGGUCAAGCAUUCAUUCACAUACUUAAUGAUCAUUUGUAGCACUUUAAUAUAGGCGUUACCUAUAACGCCUCUUCUUAAUGCAUAUUGAACCCUGUGUAACGGAGGGGAGCUGGGGUCCUGGCGUACUCUAUAUAAGCCACCCCCUCCUCUGGGACAAGGGUUCACACCCCCUGUAACUCACACACGCAUAAUCCAGUCGACCGCCUCUGGGCUCCGAGACGUAGGGCUAUUACUUCCUCCGAGAAGGGCCUGAACUCGUAAACCUUGUGUGUACAACUCCUCCAUAGCUAAUAUCUUGCCUCUCCAUUCCUACCCCCAUAUUCUACUAUCAGACUUAGAACCACGACAGUUGGCGCCCACCUUGGGGCAGGUGUCUUAGCGACUUGUUGGAGAAGUUGCGAUUUUUCCGAUCCCCUUCAUCAUGGUUUCAGGCGGAGUUUUGGUGGAGGGCCGCGAGAUCCAUCUCGGCGCGCUCACGUUCAUCGCCGACGACUCCGCUUGGAUUUAGGAGGCUCCGCUCGAUGUCGAUGCGCUCCCUGUCCGCGGGGCAACGCACUUUCGCGCAUGCGUCCGCGCCGUCCUCUUGCAGCAGCCGUCGACCCAGUAUCGGUCGGCCCCUGUGUCGCCCUCCCUCCCUGUUUCCCGCCGGCGCAAGCGCUUCGGUUGGUCAAGACUUCAGCGGUGGGUGAGACACGCGGUGGCUCGCCAGUCGGCCACCCCCGAAGUCACAGUGAUCGAGCCUGACGAAUCUCUCUACGGCCUGUUCGACUGGCUCCGCAGAGACUGCAUACGAGUGCGACAACAGUGAUCCAGCGGCGGAGGUUCUGAUGGUCGAUGAACCACGCAGUCCUCCCGGCUUUCCCCGCACCGACGGAGGCGACGGCGGAGGCGAUCCGUCGCAUGCCCAUGAAGACUAUCUCCCCGAGCCCCUCACUUUGCUACAGAGAGAAGAACUUCGUCGUCGGAACAUGGAUGCAUUGCACACUCCUAUCAUUGGAGAAACCCCCGAGGCCCGUGCCUUAGAGGACGCGCGCUUGGCCAACUUGGCUGAGCGCACUCGAUUGGAGAACCUCCAGCGAGUACUCGACGGGCGUGCGCGACAACGGAUUCCAACAUCCAGUCGAUGUCAACUCUUUCCGCCACCGACUCAGGUAUAUCGAACUCCGAUUCAGAAUUUAGCAGCUAUAGCCCGUAUAGCAGAGUCGAUUCAGCCUUCUCAGUCAGAGGCUGGCAGAGGCUUGUUACAGAUCAGAGCAUUACUCCGGGCGGCAGGAGAUCAAAAUUCAGCCGUAUCACAGUCGCAAAAUAGGAUCCAUAGCAGAUCCGUCGCUGCAGAUACAGUCCAGUCGGCCCACAGCCCAAGAUCGCCCCUGAGGCGUGAGGGGCAUGGGGACUGGCGUGAUCAGAACAAGAACCGUGAGCAGUAUGAUCACCGACUCGAUCGAGAUGAUUGACAUCGAGUGCCCACCCCUCCCCCAAGGAGUGGAUCGUACAUGCCUCGAUAGCAGGAUGACAGACGCCCUCACGGUGUUGGGCGAAGGAUUCCAGUCGACCCCAGGGAACCAGGCUUUGAUGCGAGAUCCAUUCUCGUUCAGGGUUUGGUCGACAGGAAUAGAGCCCACCGAGAAGGUCAUGACAGAGACGUACCCACCAGCAGCAGAGUACACGUCUCAGGACCAGAGUGCUUCAGCAGAGCCAUCAGAGCCGCGGUGAUUCCUCCCAACUUCAGGUUGGCGACUGGAGUCAGUAAGUUCACUGGUGAGUCCAAGCCUGAUACUUGGCUUGAGGACUACCGAGUGGCUGUUCAGAUUGUCGGCGGUAACGAUGAAGUGGCAAUGAAACACCUGCCUCUUAUGUUGGAAGGUUCGGCCAGAGCAUGGCUGAAUCAGUUAGCACCCAGCAGCAUUUACACUUGGGAAGAUCUUGCCCGAGUGUUUGUCAGAACAUUUGAAGGAACUUGCAAGCGACCAACAGGGUUGAUAGAGCUGCAGUCUUGCGUGCAGAAGCCGAAUGAAACUUUGAGGGCCUACAUCCAGAGAUGGAUCACAUUGCAUCACACAGUAGAGAACAUAUCUGAUCACCAAGCAGUCUGUGCCUUCAAGGAAGGCAUUAAGUACAGAGAACUGAACCUGAAAUUCAGUCGAACCGGAGACAUGUCUUUGAGUCGAAUGAUGGAGAUUGCCACCAAGUGUGCCAAUGGUGAAGAAGAGGAUCGGCUCCGGAGUGGCAAGCACAAGUCAGUCGCCCACGAAACCGGAGGAGGGAACUCCAGUCGGAAGUAGAAGCGGAAAGCCGAGCCAGCUACUCCUGGAGAAGCCUUGGCCGUGACUCAAGGAAAGUUCAAGGGGAAGCCCAAAGGGCCUUGGAACCCCAAGAAGGUGAAAGACCAAGACAGAAAUGAUGUGUUGGAUCUGCCAUGUCACAUUCACACAAAGAAAGAUGAAGAGGGUAAACUCAUUUAUCCGAAACAUACCACUCGACAGUGUCGGCUCUUGAUCCAGCAGUUCCAAGGGAAACAACCCAAAGAUAAGGAAAAGGAGUCGGACAAAGUUGAGGACAAGGAAUAUAGUGAUGAUGGGUACCCCCAGGUCAAUUGUAUCCUGAUGAUUUUUGCUGAUGUUGAAAGCAAAAGUCGAUUGAAAGUUAUCAACCGAGAAGUGAAUAUGGUCGCUCCGGUGACACCCAGUUAUUUGAAAUGGUCUCAGACUGCCAUCACAUUCGACCAGUCCGAUCACCCGACGCACAUAGCCACCCCUGGGAGGCAAGCUUUGGUGGUCGACCCAAUUGUUGAAGGCAAUCGACUGACCAAAGUUUUGAUGGAUGGAGGCAGUGGCCUGAAUAUACUGUAUGCAGAGACGUUGAACGGGAUGGGCAUUCCGAUGUCUAGACUCAGUACCAGCAACAUGAGUUUCCAUGGAGUAAUUCCUGGAAAGAAGGCUGAGUCACUCGGCCAAAUUGCUCUUGAUGUGGUUUUCGGUGAUUCCAAAAAUUACCGCAAAGAAAAGUUGACAUUUGAAGUUGUGGAUUUCCAGAGCGCUUAUCACGCUAUUUUGGGAAGGCCAACUUAUGCACGAUUCAUGGCUCGACCAUGUUAUGUGUACCUCAAAUUGAAGAUGCCUGGUCCCAAAGGUGUGAUCACUAUUACCGGCAAUCGGAAGAAGGCGGAAGAGUGCUUUCAGAAAGGCUCAAAGAUCGCCGAUGCUCAGAUGGCAGUGGUAGAGAUGUAGGAAUACCAGAAAACUACAGACCCGAGUGAUUUGUUGCGAGCCAAGAAGCCCGCUACAGAAUCAGCGUUUCAGUCGUCCGGUGAGACAAAGUCGAUUCACAUUCACCCGGCCGACCCCAAUGCUGCUCCGACUCAUAUCUCUACGACACUCGACUCCAAAUAGGAAGAAGCGCUCAUCCAGUUCCCCUGUGAGAACUGGGACAUCUUCGCAUGGAAGCCUUCUGACAUGUCGGGUGUUCCCAGGGGGCUGGCUGAGCACCGUCUACGAGUCGACUCAAAAGUGAAACCUGUCAAAGAACAUCUUCGACGGUCCGCCGUCCAGAAGAGAAAGGCCAUUGGCGAGGAGGUGGCUCGACUCUUAGCAGCAGAGUUCGUCCGAGAGAUUUACCACUCCGAGUGGCUUGCCAAUGUUAUCAUGGUCCCCAAGAAGGACAAGUCACUUCGCAUGUGCAUUGACUUCAAACAUAUCAAUCGGGCCUGCCCGAAAGAUCAUUUUCCUCUCCCCCGCAUCGACCAGAUAGUCGACUCGACUGCGGGAUGUGAGCGCCUGUCUUUUUUAGACGCCUAUUCCGGUUACCAUCAGAUCCGUCUGUAUGGUCCCGACGAGAUCAAAACAGCUUUCAUCACUCCAUUCGGGUGCUUCUGUUAUGUUACCAUGCCAUUCGGCCUCAAAAAUGCCGGAGCCACGUUCAUGAGGAUGAUUCAGAAGUGUUUGCUGACUCAAAUCAGUCGGAAUGUGGAAGCAUACAUGGAUGAUAUUGUGGUCAAGUCACGGAAAGGUUCCGACCUGCUGACUGACCUUGCUGAGACAUUUGCCAACCUCAGGAGGUAUGAUAUCAAGCUUAACCCAUCAAAGUGCACAUUCGGAGUUCCUGGCGAAAAGUUACUCGGUUUUCUCGUUUCCGAACGAGGAAUCGACGCCAAACCAGAAAAAGUUGGUACUAUACUCCGAAUGAAGCGCCUUGUGCGCGUGCACGAUGUCCAGAAGCUUACUGGUUGCUUGGCCGCUUUAAGUCGAUUCAUUUCUCGUCUCGGUGAAAAGGCAUUGCCUCUUUACCGACUGAUGAAGAAGUCAGACAAGUUCGAGUGGACUCCUGAAGCUGAUGCAGCGUUUGUAGAGCUAAAAGCCCUGCUCUCCACCCAGCCGGUGCUUGCUGCCUCAAUCAGCAAAGAGCCUUUGCUGCUUUACAUUGUAGCCAUGAGACAAGUCGUCAGUUCAGUACUUAUGGUCGAGCGGGAAGAAGAAAGAAAAACCUUUAAAGUUCAGCGCCCAGUAUAUUAUGUUUCUAAAGUUUUGACCCCAUCAAAGCAAAGAUAUCCUCAUUAUCAGAAGCUUGUAUAUGGGAUUUAUAUGACCACGAAGAAGGUUGCACAUUACUUCUCUGACCAUUCCAUUACAGUCGUUAGCGACACUCCAUUGUCAAAGAUUCUGCACAACAGAGAUGCAACUGGUCGAGUGGCAAAAUGGGCGAUUGAAUCCUUCCCCUAGAUAUCAAGUUUGAGGCAAAGAAAGCUAUCAAGUCCCAAGCAAUUGCAGAUUUCGUCGCCGAGUGGAUUGAACAGCAACUGCCGACUCAAGUUCACUCGGAGCACUGGACCAUGUUCUUCGACGGUUCUAAGAUGCUGAAUGGUUCCGGUGCUGGGGUAGUAUUGGUUUCCCCCCGAGGAGAUAAGCUCAGAUAUGUUCUCCAAAUCCACUUUGAUUCCUCCAAUAACGAAGUAGAUUAUGAAGCACUUUUGUAUGGGUUGCGCAUGGCCAUUUCACUCGGUGUCCAUCGCCCCAUGGUCUAUGGCGACUCAGAUUUGGUGGUGAAUCAAGUGAUGAAGGAGUGGGACGUCAGAAGUCUAGCCAUGACUGGUUAUUGCAAUGCAGUGAGAAAGCUAGAGAAGAAAUUCGAGGGGUUAGAGCUGCAUCAUAUACCCCGACUGAAAAAUCAAGCAGCUGAUGAUUUGGCAAAAAUAGGUUCCAAGAGAGAAGCCAUUCCCAGCAAUGUGUUUCUGGAACACAUCCACACACCAUCAGUUCAAGAGGAUCCUUUCACCGAAGAAGCCCCGCAGCCAAAAAGUGCCACGGAUCCGACUGAAGUUGAGGUUCCAGCAGUGGUCGACCUGAUCAUGGAAGUUUUGGUCAUCACUCCCGACUAGACAGUGCCGUACAUCGCGUACAUCCUAAGGAAAGAACUCCCAGAGAAUGAAGAAGAGGCUCGACAGAUCAUCCGUCGAUCUAAGGCCUUUACUGUGAUAAAGGGACCGUUGUACAGGGAAAGCGCGACUGGAGUCGGUCAAAAAUGUAUAACACCAGAAGAAGGUCAAAUAAUUCUUGAUGAUAUCCACUCGGGGACCUGUGGCCAUCAUGCGUCCUCUCGGACCAUCGUGGCUAAAGCAUACCGAGCGGGAUUUUACUGGCCAAAAGCAAAUGAAAUGGCAAAGGAGAUAGUCGACAAAUGUGAAGGAUGUCAGUUCUAUUCCAAUAUGUCGCACAAACCCGCCUCAGCCUUGAAGACCAUUCCACUUGUCUGGCCCUUCUCUGUUUGGGGAUUGGAUAUGGUUGGGCCGCUGAGAACUGGCAGGAGCGGCUUCACCCAUGUGCUGGUGGCAGUCGACAAAUUCACUAAAUGGAUUGAAGCUAAACCUAUCAAGAAUCUUGAUGCCUGCACUGCUAUCAGCUUUAUCAGAGAGUUGAUAUUCAGAUAUGGAGUUCCGCAUAGUAUCAUCACUGACAAUGGGUCAAACUUCGAUUCCGACAAGUUCAGAGCUUUUUGCGCCUCUCAAGGCACACGAGUCGACUACACGUCAGUCUCUCACCCCCAGUCGAAUGGACAAGCAGAAAGAGCAAAUGGUCUAAUUCUCAAAGGACUAAAACCCCGACUGAUGCGCGAUCUCAAGCAUGCAGUAGGCACAUGGGUCGACGAGCUUCCGUCAGUUCUUUGGGGAUUGAGGACCACCCCUAAUCGGUCGACUGGACGAACUCCAUUCUUUCUGGUCUAUGGAGCUGAAGCAGUUUUGCCGAGUGACUUGCUUCACAAUGCACCCCGAGUCGAACUCUACUCUGGGGAUGAAGCAGAACAAGCCCGGCAGGACGCAGUCGACCUCCUAGAAGAGGAAAGAGAGAUGGCCAUGAUCCGAUCGACCAUCUAUCAGCAGGACUUGCGUCGAUUCCAUGCCAGAAAUGUGAAGAGCCGAGCCUUCCAAGAAGGAGACUUGGUCCUCCGAGUGGAUCAACAGAAACCACACAAGCUCGCUCCUACUUGGGAAGGUCCUUUCAUCGUCACCAGAGUUCUCCACAAUGGAGCAUACCAUCUUUACAAUGUCGAUCGCCAGAUUGAUGAGCCACGAGCUUGGAAUGCGGAGCUGCUCCGCCCCUUUUAUACUUAAGUACUCACUCGGAUGAGAUGUAAUAAGAGAUACCUCUGUAGUUUAUUUAUAAAAAGACAAAAGUGUUAUAAUUUUCCCAGUGAUUGUUUUUGCUUUUGCUUACGUGAGAAAUCCCCCAGUGGGUGGCUUAGCCGCGAAUCCAUUUCGCCUAAGUUUGUAAAAAUCCUACCGAGUGGUGAGCAAGCCUCUCACUCAGGGGCUUAGCUGCGAAUCCAUUUCGCCUAAGUUUGAAAAAUCCUAUCGAGUGGUGAGCCAGCCUCCCACUCGGGGGCUUAGCUGCAGUCCAAGUACUCGCCUAAGUUUGAAAAAUCCUACCGAGUGGUGAGCCAGCCUCCCACUCGGGGGCUUGGCUACAGUCCAAGUACUCGCCUAAGUUCUAAAAAUCCUACCGAGUGGUGAGCGAUCCUCCCACUCGGAGGCUUAGCUGCAGUCCAAGUACUCGCCUAAGUUUUAAAAAUCCUACCGAGUGGUGAGCCAGCCUCCCACUCAAAGGGCUUAGCUGCAGUCCAAGUACACGCCUAAGUUUUAAAAAUUCUACCGAGUGGUGAGCCAACCUNNNNNNNNNNNNNNNNNNNNNNNNNNNNNNNNNNNNNNNNNNNNNNNNNNNNNNNNNNNNNNNNNNNNNNNNNNNNNNNNNNNNNNNNNNNNNNNNNNNNNNNNNNNNNNNNNNNNNNNNNNNNNNNNNNNNNNNNNNNNNNNNNNNNNNNNNNNNNNNNNNNNNNNNNNNNNNNNNNNNNNNNNNNNNNNNNNNNNNNNNNNNNNNNNNNNNNNNNNNNNNNNNNNNNNNNNNNNNNNNNNNNNNNNNNNNNNNNNNNNNNNNNNNNNNNNNNNNNNNNNNNNNNNNNNNNNNNNNNNNNNNNNNNNNNNNNNNNNNNNNNNNNNNNNNNNNNNNNNNNNNNNNNNNNNNNNNNNNNNNNNNNAAAUACUCGCCUAAGUUUGAAAAAUCCUACCGAGUGGUGAGCGAUCCUCCCACUCGAAGGCUUAGCUGCAGUCCAAGUACUCGCCUAAGUUUUAAAAAUCCUACUGAGUGGUGAGCGAUCCUCCCACUCAGAGGCUUAGCUGCAGUCCAAGUACUCGCCUAAGUUUUAAAAAUCCUACCGAGUGGUGAGUGAUCCUCCCACUCGGAGGCUUAGUUGAUGUCCAAGUACUUGCCUAAGUUUAAAAAUCCUAUCGAGUGGUGAGCGAUCCUCCCACUCGGGGGCUUAGCUGCAGUCCAAGUACUCGCCUAAGUAUUCUCCACUUCAGAGCUGCAUUCCAAGCACAAAGAGUAUUCCGAGUAAAAAGCAAAGUCCAGUCAAAAGCAAACACCAGCAUAUUCAGAAAUAAACCAAGUUCGGAUAAACCCCAAGGUUCCAGACGGUAGAUCAAAAGUAUUCGAGCAUCAAGCCCGAAGAAGUUUAACGGUUACACAAUCACUCGGCAUUCUGAGGCAAAUAAAAGUGGAGCAUGAUGUUUUUCGGUCACGCAUCAGGAGAAGGACUGGCUGGGUCGCAGAAACUGUCGAGGUCAAUGCUGUCUGCAAUGCGAGUGGCAGCGUCAAGGAAGGUGUCCAUGAAAGACUGGAACAUGUGCUUCCUCGUGUUAGCAACCUUGAGCUCCGCCAGCUUGUCUUCUUUGACAUCCUUGCAGUGCACUCAAACCAAAGACAGAGCGACGUCAGCACCACAGUGAGCAGAUGACUUCUUCCAUUCUCGCACGCGUUCAAGGAUUUGAUUUAGUCGAGCCAUCAAAGACUCGAAAUCUUGAGACAGCUCCGCCUGAGGCCAAAGACCAGCAUCAACCCGAGUCAUUGCAGCUUUCAAGCAUGCCAGAUAAGCAACCGCGCUGUCCAUGCGAGACUCCAACCGCAGCAUGUUCAUUGCAACAUCAUCUUUGACUGGAUAGUUGAUGGGAUCGAGACCCAUCUUGACCCGCCCGGUUUCUGCUUCAAAGUCUUGGCAAAGUUCUGCCUGAUCGAGUGAAUUAUGAGUCGACGGCACCAUUAGACUUGUCAGUCGACAGAAAUAAGACAGAUUAGUCAAUACCUUCAAGUUUCAAGACUAGCUUCGCAGCAAGUUGGCCCAGAUAAGAUUCUAGCUCGCCAUUCUUGGCCUUGAGGCUUCCAAGUUUGUCGGUCAACUUCUCUUUGUUCUUCUUCAGUCGCUCGACCUCCUGAUUGGCAUCAGAUACAACAGUCUUCAGCUUGGAGUUUUCUUCUUCUAACUUGCCGACUGAAGCAAGCUUCUUGUCAGCAAGCGCUGUCUUCUCACGCGCCUCCUUCUGUGCUGCGGCAAGAUCCAGAUCCUUCUUCUCCAAAGCUUCCUUCAUUUUCUCUAAAGAAAUAACAUUCUUCAGGCGAGCUUGGAGUUGGCGGUUUUCACUACAUACAUCUGCUCGAGUGAAGCCACUCGGUUCAAAGAUGGAAAGGAAAAGUGCCAGUGUUGGGAUAUGAAGCGGUCGAUUGGUUACCUCCAAUGGCAGCUACUUCAUCACGAGCGGUCUUGAGGUUCUUAUUGGCCAGUUCCAGAUCAAGGUUGAGGCUGAUUUGUUGUUUGUUCAUGUCAGAAAGUUGAGCCCCAAGAUCACAAGAUUUCUGCAUUCACAGCCAUAUCAGUCGACAGAGAUAAAAAGAGAUAAUUAUUGUAAGACUACCGCCGAAUCAAACAUUCAAUGGCAGUCUCGGGGACUACACCCAGUGGGUGCACUUAGCGUGCCCCCACUGAUUUUUAGACCACAGUCGACGGUCGAUUGGCUUUAAAAAAAGGCAGAUCCAAAUUCUCAGACCACAAUCGACUGCCCGCAGUCAACUACGGUCUCGGGGACUACACCCAGUGGGUGCACUCAGCGUGCCCCCACUAGUGCAAAGAAUCAGUUCGAACUGACACAAAGAGAUAUACUAUUUCCGAACAGCCACACUCUAGUGGGUGAUCAGACAAGAAAAACGGUUGAUCGAAAAAUCAACUAACCUGGACAUUGGCUUGCAUGGCAGCUCCGGCGUUGAAGGCCACCUGACUGGCCUCAUGCACCACCUUCAGCUGCCCCAUCACAAGGUUCAGUUGAAGAAGAGCUUCUCUGGCAGCAGUCAGUGUAUCGUCCGGAUUUUGAUAUGCAGUAAAAAGUGACGGAGGUAGAGCAAUCGAAGCAGCCGCCGGAUCUAAAGCAUGGAGUGACGUCAGCGCAGCAGGAGCCUGAGCAGCUGAUCCCGAGGGACAAACAGUCGACAGAGGAACAACGAAGGUGACGUUGGUUCGAGCCGGGUCUGUCGAUCGCUCGACCGUCGCCCCAGGUGUCCCAGUCGACCGAAGAACUUAGGCUUCAGACACCUUCCUGCCCGGCUCCUUGUCCUUCCUCCUCCUUCCUCUUAGCGGUACUUCCUCUUCAUCGUCUGGGAGCACAACAAUGUCUCGUGGGGCUGCAAUAAACAGAGAGAGCCAUAAAGACAACUGACCAACACUCCAGUCGACCAAACAAACUUCGAGUCGGGCAAAAUUACUGGCUUUGGAGGUGACAUCGUCAUCAGCUUCCUCAUCGGCAGGGGUCUUGUCAACAUCCAUAUCAGUCGCAGCUGAGGUCGGGCUAUAUAGGUUCAUCAUCCGCUCGGUCAGAACAAGAAAACCGAUCGGAACAAGAAAAUAUGAGAAGAACAUUUACCCAGAGGCAACAGGGACGUCCAUCUUGAUCCUGGGCAAGGUCUUCCGAGCCUUCGAAGGAUUAGCUUUGGGCUGCUUGGGGACUGUCUUAGUCAACUCUAGAGUCGGAGACCGAGCGCGCUUGUGAGAUGGAGCACUCGACGCCACAGCUUUGCCGCGUCUAUUCACGGGGUCGUGCCGCUGCUUGGAUCGACGUUCAGAGCGAGGCGGCGAGUCGGCCACCUCCUCAUCGUCAGACUCGUCACUCUCAUCAUCUUCACCAUCAGCUGGGGACUCCCACUCGCCGCUCUCCUCGGCGCUGUCCCCACCCUCUUGGUCUUGCUCCAGGGCUUGUUCACCAUUGGGCAUCGAAUACAUCUCCGUGUAAAUCUGCAAAACAAGGAACCGAUCACAAGUCAGUCGGAACCUCAAUCAGUCGGAAAAUAUGUUCAAAAAUUCAGUUAUGACGACCAGACCUUGUCUGGCAGGUUGCUGUCGCUGAAAGGGUCGACUCUCCUGGCACCCCUGGGGUUGCCUUUGUUCCCGGUAAUGCUCAUCAGCCAAUCGGCAACAGUUUUGGCCUCCACUUCCUCCGGAUGAACCCGAGAAGUGUCGCCAGCCCCGGAGUACAUCCACAUAGAAUGAUCGCGAGCUUGGAGGGGUUGGAUCCGCCGACCGAGGAACACCUCGAGCAGGUCCAUACCAGUGACGCCUUGAUUGAUUAGUUGGACUACUCUCUCAACUAGCAUGCAUGUCUCUGCCUUCUCAGCAGCGGUCACUUGCAAGGAAGAUGGAGUUUGGACACGGUCAAAAGAAAAAGGGGGAAGUCCGGUCGACUGGCCUGGGGUCGCGAUAUCCUGGCAGUAGAACCAGGUCGACUGCCAGCCCCUGACCGAUUCAGGAAGAGUCAUUGGAGGAAAAGAGCUCCUCUUCCUCUUCUGAAUGCCCAGGCCCCCGCACAUCUGGAUAACGUGGGUUUUCUCAUCUUUCGAGUUUGCUUUCUUCACGGUUUGGGAUCGGAUGGUAAAGAUGUGUUUGAAGAGGUCCCAGUGUGGUCGGCACCCCAAAAAAUUCUCACACAUAGAGACGAACGCAGCAAGGUAUGUGAUGGUAUUGGGAGUAAAGUGAUGUAGUUGGGCACCGAAAAAGUUUAAGAAGCCCCGAAAGAAAGGAUGUGGUGGAAGCGAGAAACCACGAUCGACAUGGGUUGCGAGCAAGACACACUCACUCGGUUGCGGCUGCGGCUGCGGCUCCGAUUCCCCCUCGGUAGGCGCACAGACUCAUGGACGAUCAGCCCUAACUCAGCCAAAUCAUCCAAGUCCUCUUGCCGGAGCGAAGAUCGGAUCUAGUCUCCCUGGAUCCAACCUGACGGCAGCCCCGAGCGCGAUGAAGACCCCCAAUUCAUCUUCUUGUUCUUCGCCGCCCCCGUCGCCUUCUUCGCACGCUCUAACGCCGCCGUUUUGUCCUUCCCCAUGGCGGCAGAACAACGGUGUCGAGAGUGGUCGUGCUAGGCGAGGUGGAGACGCGAGAGGAAGAAGGGGAAUGAGCACGCACAGUACGAAUACCUCGGCCUCGCCGCUUUUAAAGGCCUACUUCCAAGUGGCUGACGCGUGGGCCCGAUCAAUCCUGUCAAAUCCCCCCAACAGUUGCACACAUGAUACGUGGCGAAAAAGGUGGCGCGGAAAUCAAAACGUCCGAUUUAUCAACUCCACUUACCGCGGGACGUUCCGCCUGGCGCGCUUCGACCCAAAUUUCGAAUGCCAUGAGAUCCGGGAUCCUAUGUAACCGAUCUCACCAAAGAUUCCAAUCAGAGAUAUCACUCGAUAGAUGCCACUGAACAAACCAAUCGGUGAUUUUUGAAUCGAUCAAGGCGACUGAAACGAAGUCGAAAGUUUCGGCAGCUGACCUCCACUUGGAGAAGAAGACAAGGCAGAUCAAGGGCGGAAACCAGGUCAACUAUCAUCCUUCUUUUUCACUCAAACCUCGAUCCAUUCGGGGGCUAAUGAUGUAGACACAGACCUAGGGUAGGGUAAUAGGCCUGACCUAUACGCCCCACCUAAAGUCUUGUCCUAAGAACUAAGAAGUUCAAGAAUCAGAAGCAGAGGACCCGCAAAGGUGUCGAGCGAAGUCCACUCGACCUAUCAAUCACUCAGAGACCUCUCUUAUCCAGGUCAAUCGACCACCAAACCACUCGACAUAUCAGAAGACCUAAAGCCGCUCUGCGCAGCAACAGUCAAUCAUUCAUUCACAUACUUAAUGAUCAUUUGUAGCACUUUAAUAUAGGCGUUACCUGUAACGCCUCUUCUUAAUGCAUAUUGAACCCUGUGUAACGGAGGGGAGCUGGGGUCCUGGCGUACUCUAUAUAAGCCACCCCUCCUCUGGGACAAGGGUUCGCACCCCCUGUAACUCACACACGCAUAAUCCAGUCGACCGCCUCCGGGCUCCAAGACGCAGGGCUGUUACUUCCUCCAAGAAGGGCCUGAACUCGUAAACCUUGUGUGUACAACUCCUCCAUAGCUAAGAUCUUGCCUCUCCAUUCCUACCCCCAUAUUCUACUGUCGGACUUAGAACCACGACACCUAGCAAAGUGCAAAGUAGCUAGCAGCCCUCCCCCCUCCCUUGUGUCGGCAUGAAGGGAAUCCUAAGCUAUGAAUGCAUGCCCCCCCAACUNNNNNNNNNNNNNNNNNNNNNNNNNNNNNNNNNNNNNNNNNNNNNNNNNNNNNNNNNNNNNNNNNNNNNNNNNNNNNNNNNNNNNNNNNNNNNNNNNNNNNNNNNNNNNNNNNNNNNNNNNNNNNNNNNNNNNNNNNNNNNNNNNNNNNNNNNNNNNNNNNNNNNNNNNNNNNNNNNNNNNNNNNNNNNNNNNNNNNNNNNNNNNNNNNNNNNNNNNNNNNNNNNNNNNNNNNNNNNNNNNNNNNNNNNNNNNNNNNNNNNNNNNNNNNNNNNNNNNNNNNNNNNNNNNNNNNNNNNNNNNNNNNNNNNNNNNNNNNNNNNNNNNNNNNNNNNNNNNNNNNNNNNNNNNNNNNNNNNNNNNNNNNNNNNNNNNNNNNNNNNNNNNNNNNNNNNNNNNNNNNNNNNNNNNNNNNNNNNNNNNNNNNNNNNNNNNNNNNNNNNNNNNNNNNNNNNNNNNNNNNNNNNNNNNNNNNNNNNNNNNNNNNNNNNNNNNNNNNNNNNNNNNNNNNNNNNNNNNNNNNNNNNNNNNNNNNNNNNNNNNNNNNNNNNNNNNNNNNNNNNNNNNNNNNNNNNNNNNNNNNNNNNNNNNNNNNNNNNNNNNNNNNNNNNNNNNNNNNNNNAACAGACCAAGAAUAAUCCACCUUGUUUGUACAACCUCUCUCUUGUUGUUGGUCAAAGUGAUGGUCGCCCAUGCGAGCCCAGAGAUGGGCUAGCUCGCCAAUAAUCACGCAAGUAGCUAGUCCCCGAAGACCACCACUGCAUGCGUGUGGCCCAAACAUAUGUAUGGAUAGGUGUGUUUUUUGAGUAAUAAUGGAACAACUUUGAUGUGGCACCGUGAUUUCGAACUAGAAAUCCCCACACUGAGUGAGGGUUAGGUUGACGAUGCAUAUGUAUGUUACACCACACUUCAAGCCAACGACGGGGAUUCAUGCACGCAUGCAUGCAUAGUAUAUGCACUCAAACUUAAGGUCUUAAUCUCACCAUGACCUAUACUACAAUAACACGAACCAAAUGAAGAAUCCGUCAAGUAACCUAUCUUGUUGUUGGUCAAGGUGAUCAUGGAUGUCCACGUGGACCCACGAAUAUAUAGGCUUGUCAACCACACGAGGGAGUGUACAGUUCGAAGACAACCACUACAUGCAUAUAUAUAUGGAGGUGAUGCGUGCAUGCAUGUUUGAAUACACAACAUUGAUGUGGCGCGUGCGUCAAAAAUCAUACACUAGCUCCCCACACAGAGCGAGAUCGGUUCAUGAUGCGUCGUUGUACUAGCCACUUCGACUCGAUGGGAGGGAUUCAUGCAUACACAUGCAUGUGUGUGUGAUCAAACUGUAUCAUGCAUGUCAUCCCAAAGCAAAAAUAAUAAUCCCCUCCUAAGUCAAAUUAACCUCUCUUGUUGUCAGGCAAAAAGUAGUGAUGGACCAAGCGGGCCCACAGAUGGAAAGCAUCGAUAUCGCUGAUAACCGCUUAAGUGGGUGUGAGAGGACAACCACCACCGCUUUGCAUGUGGGCCAAACAUAUAUAUGUUGAAUACCCAAAAUACACAACUUUGAUGUCCCACAUGCCUCAAAUACCGUAAACCAUGCCACAUAGAGCGAGGUUCAUCAAGCGUACUACAUAUGAUGAUCCCAUUCCCCCCUCUUCACCGCAUACUGUAUGCUCCUGCCGUAAUAUAUGUACAACCCAAAAGAAUCCUCAUUGAUGGUGAAAUUAAUUAACCUCUCCCAAUGUAGGUCAAAGUGAUGCAUGCAUGCAUCGACGAUGGCCUCGUGGGCCCAUAGAUGGAAGUGUCACACGUGAGUGUCCUAGCUAGGAUAUGCAUGUGGCCCAAAAAGGUGUUGUAUGAUGUCUGAAUAGCCAAUUUCACAAUUUUGAUGUGGCACGUGCCUCAGAAACCAAAAAGUCUCGACACUGAGUGAGGUGUACUUGUUCACGGACGCGUACGUAUAGUACAUAUGCUAGUCCCCUCCCACCUCUUCGACGCGUAGUAUAUACCACCAUAACAAAAACAAAAAAGAUUAUACCUUGUUGGUCAAAUUAACCUCACUGACGGCUGUUCAUCAAAGUGAUGGACGACGACCUCGCGGGCCCACAGGAAGCGUCACACGCGAGUAUCGAGUGUCGUGUAGGACAACCAUCGACUUCAUGUGGCCAAAACAUUUAUGUAUGAAAGGGUUGUGUAAUGUUUUAAAUGACGAUUUCACGACUCUGAUGUGGCACCGGCCUGCCUAACAAAACGGUCAACCCACACAGUGGCUCGCAACUUGUAGUGUACUGCGAGCCACCCGCCACCCCUAGAUGCACACACCCACACACACACACCAGGAAUCCACCGCAACUACGAUGCAUGUUAAAUUAAUUAUCUCGCAAUGAACAUAUAUGUUACCAAAGGAGGGAUGUUUUAAUUUAAAUAAUUAUCACAGAGAUCAUUAAGACAUUUUAGUAUAUUGAUUGAUUAAUUUUCUACGGGUAUAAUGUGCAAAAAACAAAUUUGAGCUACAUGCACACGUGACAGUGCACCUAAAUGGAUUGCAAAAACACAUGUGUCUCACUAGGUGCAUGUUUACUCCCUGUGAAACAAAUUUCAAACAUUGAGAAUCUUGAUUUUUAAACUCUAGUACAUCCAGAACUUAUUUGAAGUUCAUGAAACUUAUCAUGUUGUCAUAUGGACACCAAUGCAAAGUGGUAUUGUACUUUUUUUGUCAAAUUUGAGACCAGUUUGAUGUAAUCUUUACCUAAUUACAGACGAAAGAUUAUUAAUAAUUGGGAACCAAUAUCCCAAACGGGUUAUUUAUUCGAACCGUGAGUGUUAGACCAACAAUGGAUACGUGCCAUGCUUCGGGUAAGCAAUAAAGUGGCAGCAUUAAUCAUCCAAAUAGAAAAAUAAUAUACGUGUCGCCGCGUGACCCGUGUGCCGUGCGAGCAGGCGUGAGUUGAUGAGACGCGUCUGCCACGCAUGCAAACGAGGAGGCGUGCAUGCAGGUGUGUGAAUUGACGGAGGCGUGAUCGCUGCGUAGUGUCAUCGGGAGGCGUGCGAGUAGCUGUGUGAAACUUUGGUAGGCAUGCCAGCAGUCCGGUGCACAGGCUCACCGAGAGGCGAGCCAUCAGUUUGACCGCCGCCCACCUCUCUCCCACAACUCCCACUACUCCAUAUUAAUGGUGCGCCCGAGCGGCCGCACCCCCCAUCCUCGCUACACACACACAAUCCUCUCUCUCCGCUUGCAUCCUCGAUGCCGCUCUUAGUCCUCAAAGCUGUCAGUGUAUGAGGAAGCCACCAAAGUGCCCCAUCGGAGGGAGUGGUGACGCCGAGGCUGCUAAAGCACCAGAGCACGGCAUGGAGAUGGAGACAGAGGUUGCCGUCACAGCCGGCGAGUUAUCGCUGCACCCUGACAUCAUCGACGGCGUCGAGCUUCCAUAGCCGGAGGUGAAGUUCCACACCGACUCCGACGACCUCUCCGGUGAUGACUCCGACGAUGACGGACAGCUGGUUAGUCAUCUAUACCCAUUUAUGUGUCAAAUAGAUCAUAGGGUUUCUCUGGUUACUCCUACCUCCCCCUUUUUGGAACAGAAAUCCUAUGGCUAUGUUCUCUCAAUCCAUGAAAUACGGGUAAGUUUCGUUAGAUCCAUGUAGUGUAUUGAUUGUUUGAAUGGUACAAGUGAUAAGUGAUUAGUUGUUUCAUCUGUGCAAAUGAUUUCUGCUAGUAAUCCGACUAGGGUUAGUGUUCUUGCUAAUAAUUCCUAGACAGGGCUUGAUAAUUGAUUUUGAAUGACCAACAUAUGUUUGUGCCAUUAUUUUCUUCAAGAUUGGUUUGUACAUAGACGACUGUGCUUAAAAGUCGAACCAUAAUCUCUGGAUAUGUAUAAAUAAAUAGCCUCAAAUUCAUAAUCCUACUUCACGGCAUGUAAUCAUUGAUUUGAUGCCAAAUUUGUUUUACUAUUUGUAUAGGUGAUGUCUGACAAUGUGGACAGCGAGGAUGAAGAUGUCCAGAGGAGGUACAACAGGCAAAUCCCGAGGGAGCUUUAUGCGGGAAUGCAUAACAGGCAUAUUAGGACCUGGAACGGCGGCUAUGGAUGCACAUUUUGCAACCAGAAGCUUCAUGACGCGUAUCUAAGUGUUCUGGCACAUGCAAGAGGACAGGCCGUUGGCUCCUUCAAGCAGAAGUAUUCUCGCAGGGUGGCGCACGUCGCGUACGCCAAGUACCUGGAGAAGCUUCAGGAUCAGCCAGCCGCAUGUGAGAUGAGAUGUGGGAUGGAUCGAACUAUGUGUGCUUGAGUAUGCUUAAUGCGGUUGAACUAUGUACUACUUAUGGUUGAACUAUGCUUAUGUACGUGUAUGCUUAUUAUCUAUGUCUGAGUCUGUUAAAUAUUUGGUCAAAAUUUGGUAAAAAUUACAAAGGGGGACCAAUAAACCAGGACAGAGGUAGUACAUCGAUCACACACACUUCCCAAAAUUGGAACCGUGUGCAAUGACUUUCAUUUUGCCUGUUGCGUCAAUCACACAUGGUUCGCUCUAGAAAACCGUCGCCCCCAAAAUUCUUUGUGGGACAGAAAACCCUCACCACCCAAUUCAAAAAAGAAAAAAGAAAACCCUCACCAUCCCCAUGUCACAAAUGAAGGAAAUAUGCCCUAGAGGCAAUAAUAAAGUUGUUAUUUAUAUUUCCUUAUAUCAUGAUAAAUGUUUAUUAUUCAUGCUAGAAUUGUAUUAACCGAAAACUUAGUACAUGUGUGAAUGCAUAGACAAACAGAGUGUCCCUAGUAUGCCUCUACUCGACUAGCUCAUUAAUCAAAGAUGGUUAAGUUUCCUAGCCAUAGACAUGUGUUGUCAUUUGAUGAACGGGGUCACAUCUUUAGAGAAUGAUGUGAUGGACAAGACCCAUCCAUUAGCUUAGCAUUAUGAUCGUUUAGUUUUAUUGCUAUUGCUUUCUUCAUGACUUAUACAUGUUCCUCUGACUAUGAGAUUAUGCAACUCCCGAAUACCGGAGGAACACCUUGUGUGCUAUCAAACAUCACAACGUAACUGGGUGAUUAUAAAGAUGCUCUACAGGUGUCUCCAAUGGUGUUUGUUGAGUUGGCAUAGAUCAAGAUUAGGAUUUGUCACUCUGUGUUUCGGAGAGGUAUCUCUGGGCCCUCUCGGUAAUGCACAUCACUAUAAGCCUUGCAAGCAAUGUGACUAAUGAGUUAGUUACGGGAUGAUGCAUUACGGAACGAGUAAAGAGACUUGUCGGUAACGAGAUUGAACUAGGUAUGAUGAUACCGGCGAUCGAAUCUCAGGCAAGUAACAUAGCGAUGACAAAGGGAACAACGUAUGUUGUUAUCUGGUUUGACCGAUAAAGAUCUUUGUAGAAUAUGUAGGAGCCAAUAUGAGCAUCCAGGUUCCUCUAUUGGUUAUUGACCAGAGAUGUGUCUCGGUCAUGUCUACAUAGUUCUCGAACCCGUAGGGUCUGCACGCUUAACGUUCGACGAAGAUUUGUAUUAUGAUUUAUGUGAUUUGAUAAACCGAAGUAUGUUCGGAGUCCCGGAUGAUAUCACGGACAUGACGAGGAGUCUCCAAAUGGUUGAGAGGUAAAGAUUCAUAUAUUGGAAGGUUGCAUUUGGACAUCAGAAUGGUUCUGAGAGGUUCGGGCAUUUUUCCGGAGUACCGGGAGGUUACCGGAACCCCCCGGGAGAAGUUAUGGGCCUUAUGGGCCAUAAGAGGGAAGAACACCAGCCCACAAGGGGGUGUUGCACCCCCUAGGGCAGGAGGCCGAUUAGGACUAGGAAAAGGGGUCCCCCCCCCUUUCCUUCUCCUUCUCCCUUUCCCCUUUCCUACUCCGUGUGGGAGGUGGAAUCUUUUGGGGAACGUAGUAAUUUCAAAAAAAUUCCUACGCACACGCAAGAUCAUGGUGAUGCAUAGCAACGAUAGGGGAGAGUGUUGUCUACGUACCCUCGUAGACCGGCAACGGAAGCGUUGACACAACAUAGAGGAAGUAGUCGUACGUGUUCCCGAUCCGACCGAUCCAAGUACCGAACGUACGGCACCUCCGAGUUAUGCACACGUUCAACUUGGUGAUGUCCCUCGAGCUCCAAUCCAGAAAAGUGUUGAGGGAGAGUUUUGUCAGCAUGACAGCAUGAUGACGGUGAUGAUGUUCUACCGACGCAGGGCGUCUCCUAAGCACCGCUACAAUAUGACCGAGGUGGAAUAUGGUGGAAGGGGGCACCGCACACGGCUAAGGAACGAUCACGAAGAUCAACUUGUGUGUCAUGGGGUGCCCCCUUGCCCCCGUAUAUAAAGGAGGGAGAGGGGGAGGUGCGGCUGGCCCAAGGGGUGCGCCUGGAGGAGUCCUACUCCCACCGAGAGUAGGACUCCCCCUUCUUGCCUUGUUGGAAAAGGAAGGGGGAAGAGAGAAAGAGGAAAGGGGGGCGCCCCCCUUCCUUGUCCUAUUCGGACUAGGGGGGAUAGGGGCGCGCGGCCUGCCCUGGCCAGCCCUCCUCUUCUCCCUUAGGGCCCAUGUAGGCCCAAUAAUCCCUGGGGGGGUUCCGGUAACCCCCCCCCCCCCCGGUAUUCCGGUAAAAUCCCGAUUUCACCCGGAACGUUUCCGAUAUCCAAAUAUAGGCUUCCAAUAUAUCAAUCUUUAUGUCUCGACCAUUUCGAGACUCCUGGUCAUGUCUUUGAUCACAUCCGGGACACCGAACAACCUUCGGUGCAUCAAAACACAAAAACCCUAAUUAUGAUCGUCACCGAACUUUAAGCGUGCGGACCCUACGGGUUCGAGAACUAUGUAGACAUGACCGAGACACGUCUCCGGUCAAUAACCAAUAGCGGAACCUGGAUGCUCAUAUUGGCUCCUACAUAUUCUAUGAAGAUCUUUAUCGGUCAGACCGCAUAACAAUAUACGUUGUUCCUUUUGUCAUCGGUAUGUUACUUGCCCAAGAUUUGAUCGUCGGUAUCUCAAUACCUAGUUCAAUCUCGUUACCGGCAAGUCUCUUUACUCGUUCUGUAAUACAUCAUCCCACAACUAACUUAUUAGUUGCAAUGCUUGCAAGGCUUGAGUGAUGUGCAUUACCGAGAGGGCCCAGAGAUACCUCUCCGAUAAUCGGAGUGACAAAUCCUAAUCUCGAAAUACGCCAACCCAACAAAUACCUUUGGAGACACCUGUAGAGCACCUUUGUAAUCACCCAGUUACGUUGUGACGUUUGGUAGCACACAAAGUGUUCCUCCGGUAAAUGGGAGUUGCAUAAUCUCAUAGUCAUAGGAACAUAUAUAAGUUAUGAAGAAAGCAAUAGCAACAAACUAAACGAUCAAGUGCUAAGGUAAUGGAAUGGGUCAAGUCAAUCACAUCAUUCUCCUAAUGAUGUGACCCCCUUAACCAAAUAACAACUCAUGUCUACGGUUAGGAAACAUAACCAUCUUUGAUCAAUGAGCUAGUCAAGUAGAGGCAUACUAGUGACACUCUGUUUGUCUAUGUAUUCACACAUGUAUCAUGUUUCCGGUUAAUACAAUUCUAGCAUGAAUAAUAAACAUUUAUCAUGAUAUAAGGAAAUAAAUAAUAACUCUAUUAUUGCCUCUAGGGCAUAUUUCCUUCAGUCUCCCACUUGCACUAGAGUCAAUAAUCUAGUUCACAUCGCCAUGUGAUUUAACACCAAUAGUUCACAUCACCAUGUGAUUAACACCCAUAGUUCACAUCGUCAUGUGACCAACACCUAAAGGGUUUACUAGAGUCAAUAAUCUAGUUCACAUCGCUAUGUGAUUAACACCCAAAGAGUACUAAGGUGUGAUCAUGUUUUGCUUGUGAGAGAAGUUUAGUCAACGGGUCCGCCACAUUCAGAUCCGUAAGUAUUUUGCAAAUUUCUAUGUCAACAAUGCUCUGCACGGAGCUAUUCUAGCUAAUUGCUCCAACUUUCAAUAUGUAUCCAGAUUGAGAUUUAGAGUCAUCUGGACCAGUGUCAAAAUUUGCAUUGACAUAACCCUUUACGGCGAACCUUUUUGUCACCUCCAUAAUCGAGAAACAUAUCCUUAUUCCACUAAGGAUAAUUUGACCGUUGUCCAGUGAUCUACUCCUAGAUCACUAUUGUACUCCCUUGCCAAAAACAGUGCAGGGUAUACAAUAGAUCUGGUACACAGCAUGGCAUAUUUUUAUAGAACCUGUGGCCAAGGCAUAGGGAAUGACUUUCAUUCUCUCUCUAUCUUCUGCCGUGGUCGGGUUUUGAGUCUUACUCAACUUCACACCUUGUAACACAGGCAAAAACUCUUUCUUUGACUAUUCCAUUUUGAACUACUUCAAAAUCUUGUCAAGGUAUGUACUCAUUGAAAAACUUAUCAAGCGUCUUGAUCUAUCUCUAUAGAUCUUGAUGUUCACUAUGUAAGCAGCUUCACCGAGGUCUUUCUUUGGAAAACCCCUUUCAAACACUCCUUUAUGCUUUGCAGAAUAAUUCUACAUUAUCUCCGAUCAACAAUAUGUCAUUCACAUAUACUUAUCAGAAAUGCUGUAGUGCUCCCACUCACUUUCUUGUAAAUACAGGCUUCACUGCAAGUCUAUAUAAAACUAUAUGCUUUGAUUAACUUAUCAAAGUGUAUAUUCCAACUCCGAGAUGCUUGCACCAGUCCAUAGAUGGAUAGCUGGAGCUUGCAUAUUUUGUUAGCACCUUUAGGAUUGACAAAACUUUCUUGUUGCAUCAUAUACAACUCUUCUUUAAUAAACCCAUUAAGGAAUGCGGUUUUGUUUAUCCACUUGCCAGAUUUCAUAAAAUGCGGCAAUUGCUAACAUGAUUCGGACAGACUUAAGCAUAGAUACGAGUGAGAAACUCUCAUCGUAGUCAACACCUUGAACUUGUCGAAAACCUUUUUGCGACAAUUCUAGCUUUUGUAGAUAGUGACACUACUAUCAGUGUCCGUCUUCCUCUUGAAGAUCCAUUUAAUAUUAAUGGCUCGCCGAUCAAUGGGCAAGUCAAUCAAAGUCCAUACUUUGUUCUCAUACAUGGAUCUCAUCUCAGAUUCCAUGGCCUCAAGCCAUUUCGCGGAAUCUGGGCUCAUCAUCGCUUCCUCAUAGUUCGUAGGCUCGUCAUGGUCAAGUAACAUGACCCCCAGAACAGGAUUACCGUACCACUCUGGUGCAGAUCUCACUCUGGUUUACCUACGAGGUUCGGUAGUAACUUGAUCUGAAGUUACAUGAUCAUCAUCAUUAGCUUCCUCACUAAUUGGUGUAGUAGUCAUAGGAACAGAUUUCUGUGAUGAACUACUUUCCAAUAAGGGAGUAGGUAUAGUUACCUCAUCAAGUUCUACUUUCCUCCCACUCACUUCUUUCGAGAGAAACUCCUUCUCUAGAAAGGAUCCAUUCUCAGCAACGAAUAUCUUGCCUUCGGAUCUGUGAUAGAAGGUGUACCCAACAUUUUCUUUUGGGUAUCCUAUGAAACGCACUUCUCCGAUUUGGGUUUGAGCUUAUCAGGUUGAAACUUUUUCACAUAAGCAUUGCAACCUCAAACUUUAAGAAACGACAGCUUAGGUUUCUUGCCAAACCAUAGUUCAUACGGUGUCGUCUCAACGGAUUUAGUGGUGCCCUAUUUAACGUGUAUGUAGCUGUCUCUAAUGCAUAACCCCAAAACGAUAGCGGUAAAUCAGUAAGAGACGUCAUAGAUCGCACCAUAUCUAAUAAAGCACGGUUACGACAUUCGGACACACCAUUACACUGUGGUGUUCCAGGUGGCGUGAGUAGUGAAACUAUUUCACAUUGUUUUAACUGAAGGCCAAACUCGUAACUCAAAUACUUUACUUCUGCGAUUAUCAUAGAAACUUUUAUUUUGUUUCGAUGAUUCUCCACUUCACUCUGAAAUUCUUUGAACUUUUCAAACGUUUGAGACUUGUGUUUCAUCAAGUAGAUAUACUCAUAUCUGCUCAAAUCAUUUGUGAAGAUCAGAAAAUAAUGAUACCUGUCGCGAGCUUCAAUAUUCAUUGGACCACAUACAUUAGUAUGCAUGAUUUCCAACAAAUUUGUUGCUUGCUGCAUUGUUCCGGAGAAUGGAGACUUAAUCAUCUUGCCCAUGAGGCAUGGUUCGCAAGCAUCAAGUGAUUCCGAAAGUCCAUCAGCAUGGAGUUUCUUCAUGCGCUUUACACCAAUAUGACCUAAACGGCAGUGCCACAAAUAAGUUGCACUAUCAUUAUUAAGUUUGCAUCUUUUGGUUUCAAUAUUAUGAAUAUGUGUAUCACUACGAUCGACAUCCAACGAACCAUUUUCAUUGGGUGUGUAACCAUAUAUGUAAACAGAACAACAAUUUAUUCUCUUACUUAAAUGAAUAACCGUAUUGCAAUAAACAUGAUCAGAUCAUAUUCAUGCUCAAUGCAAACACCAAAUAACACUUAUUUAGGUUCAACACUAAUCCCGAAAGUAUAGGGAGUGUGCGAUGAUGAUCAUAUCAAUCUUGGAACCACUUCCAACACACAUCAUCACUUCACCCUUAACUAGUCUCUGUUCAUUCUGCAACUCCCGUUUCGAGUUACUACUCUUAGCAACUGAACCAGUAUCAAAUACCGGGGGGUUGCUACGAACACUAGUAAAAUACACAUCAAUAAUCCGUAUAUCAAAUAUACCUUUGUUCACUUUGCCAUCCUUCUUAUCCGCCAAAUACUUGGGCAGUUCCGCUUCGAGUGACCAGUCCCUUUGCAGUAGAAGCACUUAGUCUCAGGCUUCGGACCAGACUUGGGCUUCCUCACUUGAGCAGCAACUUACUUGUCGUUCUUCUUGAAGUUCCCCUUCUUCCCUUUGCCCUUUUCUUGAAACUAGUGGUCUUGUCUACCAUCAACACUUGAUAUUUUUCUUGAUUUCUACCUUCGUUGAUUUUAGCAUUACGAAGAGCUUGGGAAUCGUUUCCGUUAUUCCUUGCAUAUCAUAGUUCAUCACGAAGUUAUACUAACUUGGUGAUGGUGACUAGAGAAUUCUGUCAAUCACUAUCUUAUCUAGAAGAUUAACUCCCACUUGAUUCAAGCGAUUGUAGUACCCAGACAAUCUGAGCACAUGCUCACUGCUUGAGCUAUUCUCCUCCAUCUUUUAGCUAUAGAACUUGUUGGAGACUUCAUAUCUCUCAACUCAGGUAUUUGUUUGAAAUAUUAACUUCAACUCCUGGAACAUCUCAUAUGGUCCAUGACGUUCAAAACGUCUUUGAAGUCCCGAUUCUAAGCCGUUUAAGCAUGGUGCACUAAAACUAUCAAGUAGUCAUCAUAUUGAGCUAGCCAAACGUUCAUAACGUCUGCAUCUGCUCCUGCAAUAGGUCUACCACCUAGCGGUGCAUUAAGGACAUAAUUCUUCUGUGCAUCAAUGAGGCUAAUCCUCAGAUCACGGAUCCAAUCUGCAUCAUUGCUACUAACAUCUUUCAACUUAAUUUUCUCUAGGAACAUAUCAAAUAUAAAACAGGGGAGCUAAACGCGAGCUAUUGAUCUACAACAUAGAUAUGCUAAUACUACCAGCACUAAGUUCGUGAUAAAUUAAAGUUCAAUUAAUCAUAUUACUUAAGAACUCCCACUUAGAAAGAUAUCCCUCUAAUCCUCUAAGUGAUCACGUGAUCCAAAUCAACUAAACCAUGUCCGAUCAUCACGUGAGAUGGAGUAGUAUCAAUGGUGAACAUCAAUAUGUUGAUCAUAUCUACUAUAUGAUUCAUGCUCGACCUUUCGGUCUCCGUGUUCCGAGGCCAUAUCUAUUAUAUGCUAGGCUCGUCAAGUUUAACCUGAGUAUUCCGCGUGUGCAACUAUUUUGCACCCGUUGUAUUUGAACGUAGAGCCUAUCACACCCGAUCAUCACGUGGUGUCUCAGCGCGAAGAACUUUCGCAACGGUGCAUACUCAGGGAGAACACUUAUACUUUGAUAAUUUAGUGAGGGAUCAUCUUAUAAUGCUACCGUCAAUCAAAGCAAGAUAAGAUGCAUAAAAGAUAAACAUCACAUGCAAUCAAUAUAAGUGAUAUGAUAUGGCCAUCAUCAUCUUGUACUUGUGAUCUCCAUCUCUGAAGUACUGUUAUGAUCACCAUCAUCACCGACGCGACACCUUGAUCUCCAUCAUAGCAUCGUCGUCGUCUCGCCAAUCUAUUGCUUCCACGACUAUCGCUACCGCUUAGUGAUAAAGUAAAGCAUUACAGCGCGAUUGUAUUGCAUACAAUAAAGCGACAACCAUAUGGCUCCUGCCAGUUGCCGAUAACUCGGUUACAAAACAUGAUCAUCUCAUACAAUAAAAUUUAGCAUCAUGUCUUGACCAUAUCACAUCACAACAUGCCCUACAAAAACAAGUUAGACGUCCUCUACUUUGUUGUUGCAAGUUUUACGUGGCUGCUACGGGCUUAGCAAGAACCGUUCUUACCUACGCAUCAAAACCACAAUGAUAGUUUGUCAAGUUGGUGCUGUUUUAACCUUCGCAAGGACCGGGCAUAGUCACACUUGGUUCAACUAACGUUGGAGAAACUGACACCGGCCAGCCACCUGUGUGCAAAGCACGUCGGUAGAACUAGUCUUGCAUAAGUGUACGCGUAAUGUCGGUCCGGGCCACUUCAUCCAACAAUACCGCCGAACCAAAGUAUGACAUGCUGGUAAGCAGUAUGACUUAUAUCGCCAACAACUCACUUGUGUUCUACUCGUGCAUAACAUCAACGCAUAAAACCUAGGCUCGGAUGCCACUGUUGGGGAACGUAGUAAUUUCAAAAAAAUUCCUACGCACACGCAAGAUCAUGGUGAUGCAUAGCAACGAGAGGGGAGAGUGUUGUCUACGUACCCUCGUAGACUGGCAACGGAAGCGUUGACACAAUGUAGAGGAAGUAGUCGUACGUCUUCCUGAUCCGACCGAUCCAAGUACCGAACGUACGGCACCUCCGAGUUCUGCACACGUUCAACUCGGUGACGUCCCUUGAGCUCCGAUCCAGCAAAGUGUUGAGGGAGAGUUUCGUCAGCGCGACGGCGUGAUGACGGUGAUGAUGUUCUACCGACGCAGGGCUUCGCCUCAACACCGCUACGAUAUGACCGAGGUGGAAUAUGGUGGAAGGGGGCACCGCACACGGCUAAGGAACGAUCACGAAGAUCAACUUGUGUGUCAUGGGGUGCCCCCUUGCCCCCGUAUAUAAAGGAGGGAGAGGGGGAGGUGCGGCCGGCCCAAGGGGUGCGCCUGGAGGAGUCCUACUCCCACUGGGAGUAGGACUCCCCCUUCUUUCCUUGUUGGAAAAGGAAGGGGGAAGAGAGAAAGAGGAAAGGGGGGCGCCCCCCCUUCCUUGUCCUAUUCGGACUAGGGGGAGUGAGGCGCGCGGCUUGCCCUGGCGAGCCCUCCUCUUCUCCCUUAGGGCCCAUGUAGGCCCAAUAACCCCCGGGGGGUUCCGGUAAGCCCCCGGUAUUCCGGUAAAAUCCCGAUUUCAGCCGGAAUGUUUCCGAUAUCCAAAUAUAGGCUUCCGAUAUAUCAAUCUUUAUGUCUCGACCAUUUCGAGACUCCUGGUCAUGUCCGUGAUCACAUCCGGGACACCGAACAACCUUCGAUACAUCAAAACACAAAAACCCUAAUUAUGAUCGUCACCGAACUUUAAGCGUGCGGACCCUACGGGUUCGAGAACUAUGUAGACAUGACCGAGACACGUCUCCGGUCAAUAACUAAUAACGGAACCUGGAUGCUCAUAUUGGCUCCUACAUAUUCUACGAAGAUCUUUAUCGGUCAGACCGCAUAACAACAUACGUUGUUCCUUUUGUCAUCGGUAUGUUACUUGCCCGAGAUUCGAUCGUCGGUAUCUCAAUACCUAGUUCAAUCUCUUUACCGGCAAGUCUCUUUACUUGUUCCGUAAUACAUCAUCCCGCAACUAACUUAUUAGUUGCAAUGCUUGCAAGGCUUGAGUGAUGUGCAUUACCGAGAGGGCCCAGAGAUACCUCUCCGACAAUCGGAGUGACAAAUCCUAAUCUCGAAAUAUGCCAACCCAACAAAUACCUUUGGAUACACCUGUAGAGCACCUUUAUAAUCACCCAGUUACGUUGUGAUGUUUGGUAGCACACAAAGUGUUCCUCCGGUAAACGGGAGUUGCAUAAUCUCAUAGUCAUAGGAACAUAUAUAAGUUAUGAAGAAAGCAAUAGCAACAAACUAAAUGAUCAAGUGCUAAGCUAAUGGAAUGGGUCAAGUCAAUCACAUCAUUCUCCUAAUGAUGUGAUCCCGUUAACCAAAUAACAACUCAUGUCUAUGGUUAGGAAACAUAACCAUCUUUGAUCAACGAGCUAGUCAAGUAGAGGCAUACUAGUGACACUCUGUUUGUCUAUGUAUUCACACAUGUAUCAUGUUUUCGGUUAAUACAAUUCUAGCAUGAAUAAUAAACAUUUAUCAUGAUAUAAGGAAAUAAAUAAUAACUUUAUCAUUGCCUCUAGGGCAUAUUUCCUUCAGAAUCCUACUAGGACUAGGGAGUCCUAGUAGGACUCCACACCUUGGCGCGCCCCCUUAGGGCCGGUUGGCUCUCCCUCUCCCUCCUUUAUAUACAUGGCCAGGGGGCACUCCAUAGACACACAAGCCAUGUGCGGUGCCCCCUCCACAGUUACACACCUCGGUCAUAUCAUUGUAGUGCUUAGGCGAAGCCCUGCGUCGGUAACUUCAUCAUCACCGUCACCAUGUCGUCGUGCUGACUGAAGUGUCCCUCGGCCUCAACUGGAUCAAGAGUUCGGGGGAUGUCAUCGAGUUGAUCGUGUGCUGAUCACGGAGGUGUCGUGUGUUUGGUACUUGGAUCGCAAAGACGUUCGACUACAUCAACCGCGUUACUAAACACUUCUGCUUUCGAUCUACGAGGGUACAUAGACACAUUCUCCCCCUCUCAUUGCUAUGCAUCUCCUAGAUAGAUCUUGCGUGAUCGUAGGUAAAAUUUUGAAAUACUACGUUCCCCAACAGUGGCAUCCGAGCCAGGUCUAUGCGUAGAUGUUAUAUGCAUGAGUAGAACACAAAGAGUUGUGAGCGAUAAUAGUCAUACUGCUUACCAGCAAUGUCUUACUUUGAUUCGGUGGUAUUGUUGGAUGAAGCGGCCCAGAGCGACAUUACGUGACUGCGUUCAUGAGACUGGUUCUACCGGCGUGCUUCGGACAAAGGUGGCUAGUGGGUGAUGUUUCUCCAGCUUUAGUUGAAUCGAGUUUGACUACGCCCGGUCCUUGUUGAAGGUUAAAACAGUACACUUAACGAAAAAUCGUUGUGGUUUUGAUGCAUAGGUAAGAACGGUUCUUGCUAGAAGCCCGUAGCAGCCACAUAAAACUUACAACAACAAAGUAGAGGACGUCUAACUUGUUUUUGUAGGGCAUGUUGUGAUGUGAUAUGGUCAAGACGUGAUGAGAUAUAAAUUGUAACACCCACGAUGCGGCUAUACCUCCCACGUGUCGAAGCACGACUUAGAGGCAUAACCGCAUUGUAGGCAAUGUCGCAAGAGGGGUAAUCUUUACACAUCCCAUGUACUGAAAGAAAAGAGAUACAUAGUUGGCUUACAAUCGCCACUUCACCCAAGAGCAUAAAUAUAACAUUACAAUCAUCCAGAUACAAUAAAGGUCCGACUACGGAACCAAAAUAAAGACAACCCCAAAUGCAUAAUGUCCCCGAUCGCCCCAACUGGGCUCCACUACUGGUCGUCUGGAAAGGAAACGUAGUAUCGUCCUGAGUCCUCAUCGAACUCCCACUUGAGCUCAGUCGCAUCUCCUGGAGCGGUAUCAUGGGUCCCUGCAUCUGGUUUUGGAAGUAGUCUCUGAGUCACGGGGACUCAGCAAUCUCACACCCUCACGAUAAAGACUAUUUAAGCUUAUGGGUAGGUAAAAGCUAUGAGGUGGAGCUGCAACAAGCACUAGCAUAUAUGGUGGCUAACAUACGCAAAUGAGAGCGAGAAGAGAAGGCAAGGCACGGUCGAGAAACUAUGAUCAAGAAGUGAUCCUAGAAAUAUUUACGUUCAAGCAUAACACGAGACCGUGUUCUCUUCCCGGACUCCGCCGAAAAGAGACCACCACGGCUACACAUGUUGUGGAUUCAUUUUAGUUAAAUUUAAGUUUCAGGUUUUCUACAACCGGACAUUAACAAAUUCCCACCUGCCCAUAACCGCGGGCACGGCUUUCGAAAGUUCAAAUCCCUACAGGGGUGUCCCAACUUAGCCCAUCACAAGCUCUCACGGUCAACGAAGGAUAUUCCUUAUCCCAGGACGACCCGAUCAGACUCGGAAUCCCGGUUACAAGACAUCUCGACAAUGCCAAAACUAAACCAGCAAAGCCACCCGAAUGUGCCGACAAAUCCGAUAGGAGCAGCACAUAUCUCGUUCUCAGGGCACACCGGAUUGUCCAAGGUUCCGGUAGGCCAUCCCAGAGUUGCCACUGGUGGCCACCGGCAGCUGACAGGUUGGACCAACACUCAGAGGAGCACUGGCCCGGGGGUUUAAAAUAAAGAUUACCCUUGAGUCCACGGAACCCAAGGGAAAAAGGCUAGGUGGCAAAUGGAAAAAUCAAAGUUGGGCCUUGCUGGAGGAGUUUUAUUCAAGGCGAACUAUCAAGGGGUUCCCAUUAUAACCCAACCGCGUAAGGAACGCAAAAUCAAGGAACAUAACACCGGUAUGAUGGAAACUAGGGUGGCAAGAGUGGAACAAAACACCAGGCAUAAGGCCGAGCCUUCCACCCUUUACCAAGUAUAUAGCUACAUUAAAGUAGACAAGAUAUAAUAAUGAUAUCCCAACAAUAAACAUGUUCCAACAAGGAACAAACUCCAAUCUUCACCUGCAACUAGCAACGCUAUAAGAGGGGCUGAGCAAAGCGGUAACAUAGCCAAACAACGGUUUGCUAGGACAAGGUGGGUUAGAGGUUUGACAUGGCAAUAUGGGAGGCAUGAUAAGCAAGUGGUAGGUAUCAUAGCAUAGGCAUAGCAAUAGAGCGAGCAACUAGCAAGCAAAGAUAGAAGUGAUUUCGAGGGUAUGGUCAUCUUGCCUGCAAAGUUCUCCGAGUUGAUGUAAGCUUGAUCCUCGUAAACGUUCUCAACGGGUUCCUCGAUCACGUACUCGUCUCCUGGCUCUACCCAAAGCAAGAACACAAGCAAAGGGAGACACAAUCAACCACGGUGCAAUGCGCAAGCAACAUGAUGCAAAACAUGGCAUGAUAUGCGGGAUGUGAUAUGCAAUGCAUAUGCGUGCUUCGGAAAGGAAAGAUUGAACCAGGCCUCAACUUGGCAAACCAAGAGUGCCGCUGGAAAGAGGAGUUGAUUUCGGUCGAAAUCGAUAUAAAGAUCACCGGAAUCGGAUGCAUGGUUUGCAAAUGGCAAGCAAAACAAUAAUGUCACAAAGCUGCGAUCAACAGCACGAGGCCAUCUAAAUGCAUCAAGAAAAAUAAGCUACUGCACUCUAACAUAGCAACAAAACACAUGGCGGUGAUCCACUCAAGAUGCUUGACAAAAGAUGAACACUGAGCUACAUCUAAUUCACACAAUAGCAGGUUCAAACAAGCAUGGCAAAAGUGCAAAAGAUAUUAGGUUCACAGACUUAGUGAAAACAACAUGUCAGGAUUUAACAUCAGGAAGCAAUGUUUAGAGCAAGAUAACAACAUGCUACAGGAACAUAUCAUGGCAAAGCAAGGCAUGGCAUGAAACUACACAAAGCAUAUAACAAAAGUCCCUUACUGACCAUAAGCCAAAAGGGAUCAGAAGAUACAAUGUCAACCAUGUAAACAUAGCAAGUUUCGUUAACAGAUUCAGACUUAGCAGAAAACUGGAACAUGGCAAAACAGAAUUAUGUAGGCAUGUUUGCGAGCUCGAUGCACUUACCACAAGGCAUUGCAUGACAAGAUAAGCAUACACCCAGCAAGUAGACAUGUUAAAUAAGCUAACCAUGGCAAGAACACUCUCAUAGCAUGCAUGGAUCAACUACAACAACCUCGGCAAAAUUGCUUAACACGUAAACAAUCUGCCAGGAACAUUUUAUAGCAGAAGUAGAGCAAGAUUGAGUCAUGAUAGGGUGAUCCAUAAUUGUAAACAAAGACAUGGAUGGAUAGAGCAUAACAUUAUCUCAAAAACAACCUUACUGAACAUGCCCAAAAUAGGCAUGGAUCACUCUGUAGCAACAUGAAUACAUGGCAUAAAAAUAUCAUCAGGGAAAUGACUUAGAAGAAAUCUAAAUCCCUGAAAUCAGCAACAUCACGAGAGCUACUUUGCAUUCUUGUGCUAGUCACCACAAUGAUCACAAAAAUACAUGGCAUACACCCCUGUAAAGAAGGCAUGGCAUAUAACAAAACACAUGUAGGGCUCAAGUCCAUAGGAGGCACACAUUAAACAUGGCAAAAAUGAAAAUUGUCCAUAUUCUGAUAAGAGACAGACACUAACAUUACAUAGCACUCUUGCAACAGCAUUUAGGGCAUCAAGAUGAUCUCAAAUGAACAUGGUGCAAUGGAAUGAAAUGAAGUGCACAUCCAGACGAACAAUUUGAUAGGCUACACGCCCAAAACGGAGCCACGGAUGUAAGGUUAUGACAAGAUGAAGUUGCCUAAAAAUAAUCCAAACUAGGGACUUAGUGAGGGGAAAAAGGUCAACCUCUAUGGAUCUAGGGUUUCCAGCACGGGUCUCGAGGCAGUAGCGGAUCUCGCCGGAGAGCUCGCGGGAGAAUGCCGCGGUGGCCGAAGUUCGUCGGGGACGGCGGAGACGAGGCCGGAGAGGAGGGACGGCGAGGUGGAGGCCGGAUCCGUCGGGGACGACGAGGUACGCGGCGGGCGAGGCGACUGGAGAGGCGGCCGGCGACGGUGGCGUGGUGGCGCGCCGGCGUGGCGACGGCGGAGGUGCACCGGCGGCGGAGAAGCGGCGAGGGCUUGCGAGGCGGCGGCGCUCGGGCGCUGGGAAGGCGCGGCGGCGGCGAUGGGCCGGGCGGGCCCGAUCCGGGCUCGCCAGGCCGGCGGCGGAGAGGACGGCGGCGGGACACAUGGUGGGCGGAGAUUGGCUGGGCGACGGCGGGCAGACGUGUCCGGCCGUCGCGGACACGUCCGGUGGCGGCAGGGGACGGAAAUUAGGGUUUCACCCGCAAAUGAAGGAGGGGGAGGCCUAUUUAUACAUAGAAGGAGCUAGGAGGCUCCAAAUUGAGCACGAUUUUCGGCCACGCGAUCAUGAUUGAAUGACCAAGAUGAUGGAGAAGGUUUAGGUGGGUUUGGGGCCACUUUGGAGAGGUGUUGGGCUGCAACACACACGAGGCCUUUACGGUUCCUCGGUUAACCGUUGGAGUAUCAAACAAAGUCCAAAUGGCACGAAACUUGACAGGCGGUCUACCGGUAGUAAACCAAGGCCACUUGGCAAGUCUCGAUCUAAUCCGAGAACGUUUAACACCCGCACAUGAAAAGAGGCAAAAGGGGACACCGGAGGACAUAGGAGCACCGGAAUGCAAAACGGACAACGGGGAAAAUGCUCGGAUGCAUGAGACAAACACGUAUGCAAAUGCGAUGCACAUGAUGACAUGAUAUGAGAUGCAUGACAAGACAAAAUGCAAAAUGAAGAUGAAACCCAACAACGAGGAAACAUCAUAACUUAGUGCCAGAAAUGGCAAGAGUUGGGAUACAAAUAUGGCAAAUUACAUACGGGGCGUUACAACACUCCACCACUACGAAAGGAUCUCGUCCCGAGAUCUAGGACUGGAAAAACUCUGGAUAUUCAGAACGGAGGUGGUCCUCGCGUUCCCAGGUGGCUUCAUGAUCGGAAUGAUGUAGACCACUUCACUUCCAGGAAUUUUAUAGACUUGUUGCGAGUCUUCGGUCAGUUUCUUCAAGAAUAGUAACGGGAUGCUCAUGAUAAGAUAGGUCUUCUUGGAGAUCAAUCUCUUCAAAGUUGAUGGUGCGGUCAGGAGUCUUGAAACACUUGCGGAGCUGAGACACAUGAAACACCACGUGCACAUUUACAAAGUUGGAUGGAAGCUCAAGUUGAUAGGCGAGAUUGCCUCUUUUGCCAAUGAUCUUGAAAGGACCCACGUAUCUAGGGGCAAGCUUCCCUUUGAUACCGAAGCGACAAGUACCUUUCAUUGGAGAGACAGGGAGGUAGACAUGGUCUCCGAUCUCGAAAGCCAAGUCAUGAUGCUUGCUAUCAUAGUAACUCUUCUGGCGCGAUUGCGCGGCUUUGAGAUUUUCACGAAUGACUUUGCACAUUUCUUCAGCCUCUGUGAUCAAGUCAUUGCCCAGAAGUUGGCGUUCACUAGUCUCUGACCAGUUAAGAGGAGUAUGGCACUUCCUACCAUAGAGAAUCUCGAAUGGGGCCUUGCCCGAACUCGCUUGGAAGCUAUUGUUGUAGGAGAACUCAACAUAUGGAAGACAAUCUUCCCACUUCAUACCGAAAGAAAUGACACAAGCUCUGAUCAUAUCUUCAAGAAUUUGAUUGACUCGCUCGACUUGGCCACUGGUUUGAGGAUGAAAAGCUAUGCUGAAGCGAAUGUUGGUGCCCAUAGCCUUCUGAAAAGAAUCCCAGAACUUAGAAGUGAAGAUGCUUCCACGAUCUGAAGAUAUCAAUUGUGGAAUGCCGUGCAAAGAGACAAUCCUGGAGGUAUAUAGCUCUGCCAACUGAGCUGCUGUGAUAGACUCUUUGAUAGGAAGAAAAUGAUCCACUUUAGUGAGCUUGUCGAUGACAACGAAGAUAGCAUCAUUGCCAUGCUUGGACUUUGGAAAUCGAGUCACGAAGUCCAUCUCAAUAUGGUCAAACUUCCAUUCUGGAAUGGCAAGAGGUUGGAGGAGACCAGCUCGCCGUUGGUGUUCUGCUUUCACUCUUCUGCAGACAUCACAUUCAUUCACGAACUGAGCAAUCUCGCGCUUCAUUCGAGUCCACCAAUACGACUGCUUGAGGUCAUUGUACAUCUUUGUACUUCCGGGGUGAAUAGAGAGGAGUGAAUUGUGAGCUUCGUUCAUAAUGACUUUACGAAGGUCACCCUUAGGAACAACAAUGCGAUCCUCGAAGAAUAGAGUAUCCUUGUCAUCAAUGCGAUAGCACUUGUACUUGGGUUGGCUCUUGGCAAUCCCAAUCUUCACCUUCUUCACCAUAGCAUCAAGAAGUUGAGCCUCGCAAAUCUGAUCUUCCAAAGUAGGAGAGACUCGGAGGUUGGCAAGGAAUCCUUGAGGAACAACUUGGAGAUUAAGUUUGCGGAAAGCUUCAUAAAGCUCUAGUUGGUAGGGCUUGAUAAUCAAACUGUUGCAGUAAGCCUUCCUGCUCAAUGCGUCAACAAUGACAUUGGCCUUGCCUGAAGUAUAUUCAAUACUCGGAUUAUACUCUUGAAUCAUUUCGACCCAACGAGUCUGCCUGAGGUUGAGGUUGGGCUGAGUGAAGAUGUACUUGAGACUCUUAUGAUCAGUGAAGAUGUCCACUUUCCUUCCCAACAAGAGAUCUCUCCAUGUUAAAAGAGCAUGGACAACUGCCGCCAACUCGAGGUCAUGAGUGGGGUAGUUCUUUUCGUUGGGCUUCAACUGGCGAGAGGUAUAGGCCACAACUUUCUUCUCUUGCAUUAACACUGCACCGAGGCCUUGAAGGGAAGCAUCACAGAAAACCUCAAAUGGUUUGGAUUCAUCAGGAGGAGUCUGAACUGGAGCUGUGACUAACUUCUCUUUGAGGGUGUUAAAAGCUACGUCACAUUCAGGCGACCAGACAUACUUCACAUGCUUUUGGAGAAGGUUUGAAAGAGGCUUCGCGAUCUUUGAGAAAUUCUCAAUGAACCUUCGACAAUAGCUUGCGAGCCCAAGGAAGCUGCGGAGUUGCUUCACAUUCUAAGGCGGUUCCCAAUUCACAAUUGCAGACACCUUCUCAGGAUUAACAGCUAUGCCCUUGGCGGAGAUGAUAUGCCCAAGGUAGAGAACCUCAUCGAGCCAAAACUCGCACUUUGAAAACUUCACAUAGAACUGAUGUUCUCUGAGUUUAUCCAGCACCAAUCUCAAGUGCUUGGCGUGAUCCUCUUUGUUCUUGGAAAAGACCAAAAUGUCAUUGAGAUAGACCAAGAAGAAGUCAUUUGUGUAGGCGUUGAAGAUGAAGUUCAUCAUGCGAGAGAAUGUUGGAGGAGCGUUGACAAGGCUGAAAGACAUGACAGUGUAUUCAUAUGAACCAUAGCUUUUUUGAAUGCUGUCUUGGGGAUAUCUUGUUCAUGAAUGCGAAUCUGAUGAUAGCCCAAACGGAGGUCAAGCUUGGAUAAUACUUGAGCACCUUUAAGUUGUUCGAAAAGCUCAUUGAUGUUGGGAGGUGGGUACUUGUUCUUUAUGGUCUUCUUGUUCAAUGGAUGGUAGUUGACACAAAGUCGGUCCGUUCCAUCCUUCUUCUUGACAAAAAGAACACCACAACCCCAUGGAGAAGAACUUGGUCGGAUGAGACCCAUACGCUCUUGAAUAUCGAGUUGUUUCUUCAGCUCCUUCAACUCUUCAGGUCCAAGCUUGUAAGGACGUUUGCAAACAGGUUCCGUGCCAGGCUCAAGAUCAAUGACGAAUUCAACUGGCCUGUGAGGAGGCAUUCUGGAAGCUCUUCUGGAAAGACGUCUUGAUAUUCACAAACGACUGGAAUCUGAGAGAUGGCAUCCAACUCGCCCUUCUCAUUGAGAGAAAACAGUCGAAUGGUAUCAUCACGAGCGGCAAAGACAAUCACAUCCUUAGAUGAGUGUGUCAAUUGAAUCUGCCUAGCAGCACAAUCAAGCUGAGCCUUGUGCUUAGAAAGCCAGUCCAUGCCGAGAAUAAGAUCAAUAUCCGAGUCACCAAGAACAUUAGGAGAAGACAGAAACUUAUAGUCGCCCAUCGUGAUGGUAACAUCCGGAACCAUGGAGUUAGCGUUCAUGCGUUUACCCGGUGAGACAACUGCUAACGGACUAGGCAAAACUUGGAAAGCCAACUCAUGCUUAGAUGCAAAUGGUCUCGAAAUGAAACAAUGCGAUGCACCAGUGUCAAAAAGAACUUUUGCAGGGAUAUCGUUAACAGGAAGGUUACCCAUGAUCACUUCUGACGAGUCCUCUGCCUGAGCUGCGUUCAUCAUGUUGACCUUUGCAAACUUGGGAUUAUGCUUGACCACUGCAUUGCUGGCAGAUCUUACAGGAGGAGGAGGAGGAAGAUGCCUCUGAUUGAAGCAUUUAUUUGCAUAGUGACCCUUCUGCUGACACUUGUUGCACGUGACCUCUGAGAGUGGACGGUGAUACAGAGCACUUGAUCUUGGAGCAUGAGACGAAGUCUUGUUCUGAAAGCCUGGGUUGGGUGGGUGGGAAGAUCCAUUGCCACAUUUGCUCUUGUGCUGAUAAGGCUAACGGGAUGGAGGAGUAGGAGGCAACCAAUACUUUUGCUGCUUAGCUGCCACUUGAGUUGAGGAAGAAGAAGGAGUUGCAUCCCCGACUCUCUUCUUGGAAGCAUCGCACUUGAGUUGAGCAGCUUCUUGCUUCAGUGCCAUGUUGUAGAAUUCAUCAUACUUCUUCGGCUCAAAAAGCACAAGGGCUAGUUGCAGAUCUUCUCUGAGGCCACCUCUGAACUGAUAAAUCAUGCUCUUAUCAUCAGGGACGUCUUGCUUAGCAAAACGAGCGAGCUUCUGGAACAUGAUGUUGUACUGGUAAACAGACAAGCUGUCUUGCUUCAGAUUGCGGAACUCCUCACGCUUGCUCUCAAAAACACUCUGAGGAAUGUGGUGAGCUUUGAAGUCUUGGCGGAAUUCAUCCCAGGUAAUCACACGACCUCCUCUGGAAUCUUUGUAUUGCUGAUACCACUCUGUAGCUUGGUCUUUGAGUUGGAAUGAGGCAAACUUGACAAAGUCCUCAGGUCUGGCGUUGCUGCACUCGAAAUGUUUGCAGAUAUCCAUGAGCCAAUCAUCAGCGUUUGUUGCCUUGACACAGUUAUUGAAGGUCUUUGGCUGGUUUGCGAGGAACUGGUUGAGUGUAGCAAACUGAUUUUGAUUGUUUCCAUGGCCUUGAUUUCCUUGGUUGCACUCUUGCAAGAGUUGCAUAAUCAGUUGUGUGUUGGCGUUGGUAGCGGCCAUCACAGCUUGCCAUGCCUCCGGAGGUGGAGGUGGUGGUGGUGGUUCCAGAUUCUGAUGCGUUGGAGGAGCCAUCCUGAAGAGGGUGACAUCCGUUAGCAUCUUGAAAGACAUAUAUUCAAGCUGAAUCAAAUGGAUCGAAAUAGCAACAUAUAGUCUUAACAUUCGAAAAAGAAUGAACGAAUGCAUUCCAAAUUAAAUGGUCAACUUCCAUAAAUUGAGAAGCCACUUAGAUAGAGGUAGAAGAAUAAAACAACAAGGUACGGACAUGAACAAAUACUUGGUAAGGAUUACCCAAUCACAAACCAAAUAUCUGCGGAAGAAAUACUAGAGCUACAUGAAUUCCCACCUAUGAAACUCCCGAAAUUUUCCGGUUAUGCAAUCAGGUGUCGGGGAUACAGGGGAAGCAUAAUAUCUCACCCAAAUCUAGCAAAUCCUACAUCCAGCUGUAUCCAUCCUUCAACACAUAACCAAGAAACCUUCGGAAAUCAUUUACCUCAACCUUCGAAAAGCAUCCGUUAUACGAGUUAUGGCAAUACUCCCGAACUCCCGCCCCAGUACUGGGUGGCGUCAAGGUUAUCUCACCAACAAAUGCAUAAAAGAGAUUUUCGAUGUCGGCGAAACUCAGGUAUUCCAGAACUGCAAUGAUAAAAUUGUGACGACAACACCUCGGAUCUCAACUCCCCGGGACACUGCCACAACCCCUAAAUGUCAGGAGGCACCCAGAACAAUGUUCUUGUCACAAAACCAUCGGAACGAUUCCAAGAUACCCGCAUGAUCCUAAAAAAAUUUAGUGAAAUUUGAGAAGAGAAGAGUCAAAAAUCUACGUCAGGAUGCCUGACCAGAGCGACGAAGGGACUGAGGAGUUAAAAGAAUCCUACUCUCUGAUAUAUAUAUAAUCCUAUAAGACUCAAAACAUUUUUCUAGACUCAACAACGCCAAUGAUUCGAUCAAACAGGGGGGCUCCUAAGUCGGGGCAGGCUCUGAUUACCAACUUGUAACACCCACGAUGCGGCUAUAUCUCCCGCGUGUCGAAGCACGACUUAGAGGAAUAAACGUAUUGUAGGCAAUGUCGCAAGAGGGGUAAUCUUUACACAUCCCAUGUACUGAAACAAAAGAGAUACAUAGUUGGCUUACAAUCGCCACUUCACCCAAGAGCAUAAAUAUAACAUUACAAUCAUCCAGAUACAAUCGAGGUCCGACUACGGAACCAAAAUAAAGACAACCCCAAAUGCAUAAUGUCCUCGAUCGCCCCAACUGGGCUCCACUACUGAUCGUCUGGAAAGGAAACGUAGUAUCGUCCUGAGUCCUCGUCGAACUCCCACUUGAGCUCAGUCGCAUCUCCUAGAGCGGUAUCAUCGGUCCCUGCAUCUGGUUUUGGAAGUAAUCUGUGAGUCACAGGGACUCAGCAAUCUAACACCCUCCCGAUCAAGACUAUUUAAGCUUAUGGGUCGGUAAAAGGUAUGAGGUGGAGCUGCAGCAAGCACUAGCAUAUAUGGUGACUAACAUAUGCAAAUGAGAGCGAGAAGAGAAGGCAAGGCAUGGUCGAGAAACUAUGAUCAAGAAGUGAUCCUAGAAAUAUUUACGUUCAAGCAUAACAUGAGACCGUGUUCUCUUCCCGGACUCCGCCGAAAAGAGACCAUCACGUCUACACAUGCUGUGGAUUCAUUUUAAUUAAAUUUAAGUUUCAGGUUUUCUACAACCGGACAUUAACAAAUUCCCAUCUGCCCAUAACCGCGGGCACGACUUUCGAAAGUUCAAAUCCCUGCAGGGGUGUCCCAACUUAGCCCAUCACAAGCUCUCACGGUCAACGAAGGAUAUUCCUUCUCCUAGGACGACCCGAUCAGACUCGGAAUCCCGGUUACAAGACAUCUCGACAAUGCUAAAACUAAACCAGCAAAGCCACCCGAAUGUGCCGACAAAUCCUGAUAGGAGCUGCACAUAUCUCGUUCUCAGGGCACACCAGAUUGUCCAAGGUUCCGGUAGGCCAGCCCAGAGUUGCCCCUGGUGGCCACCGGCAGCUGACAGGUUGGACCAACACUCAGAGGAGCACUGGCCCAGGGGUUUAAAAUAAAGAUGACCCUUGAGUCCGCAGAAACCAAGGGGAAAAGGCUAGGUGGCAAAUGGUAAAAUCAAAGUUGGGCCUUGCUGGAGGAGUUUUAUUCAAGGCGAACUGUCAAGGGGUUCCCAUUAUAACCCAACCGCGUAAGGAACGCAAAAUCAAGGAACAUAACACCAGUAUGACAGAAACUAGGGCGGCAAGAGAGGAACAAAACACCAGGCAUAAGGCCGAGCCUUCCACCCUUUACCAAGUAUAUAGCUGCAUUAAAGUAGACAAGAUAUAAUAAUGAUAUCCCAACAAUAAACAUGCUCCAACAAGGAACAAACUCCAAUCUUCACCUGCAACUAGCAACGCUAUAAGAGGGGCUGAGCAAAGCGGUAACAUAGCCAAACAACGGUUUGCUAGGACAAGGUGGGUUAGAGGUUUGACAUGGCAAUAUGGGAGGCAUGGUAAGCAAGUGGUAGGUAUCAUAGCAUAGGCAUAGCAAUAGAGCAAGCAACUAGCAAGCAAAGAUAGAAAUGAUUUCGAGGGUAUGGUCAUCUUGCCUGCAAAGUUCUCCGAGUUGACGUAAGCUUGAUCCUCGUAAACGUUCUCAACGGGUUCCUCGAUCAUGUACUCGUCUCCUGGCUCUACCCAAAGCAAGAACACAAGCAAAGGGAGACACAAUCAACCACGGUGCAAUGUGCAAGCAACAUGAUGCAAAACAUGGCAUGAUACGCGGGAUGUGAUAUGCAGUGCAUAUGCGUGCUUCAGAAAGGAAAGAUUGAACCAGGCCUCAAUUUGUUAAACCAAGAGUGCCGCUAGAAAGAGGACUUGAUUUCGGUCGAAAUCGAUAUAAAGAUCACCGAAAUCGGAUGCACGGUUUGCAAAUGGCAAGCAAAACAAUAAUGUCACAAAGCUGCGAUCAACAGCACGAGGCCAUCUAAAUGCAUCAAGAAAAAUAAACUACUGCACUCUAACAUAGCAACAAAGCACAUGGCAGUGAUCCACUUAAGAUGCUUGACAAAAGAUGAACACUGAGCUACGUCUAAUUCACACAAUAGCAGGUUCAAACAAGCAAGGCAAAAGUGCAAAAGAUAUCAGGUUCACAAACUUAGUGAAAACAACAUGUCAGGAUUUAACAUCAGGAAGCAAUGUUUAGAGCAAGAUAACAACAUGCUACAGGAACAUAUCAUGGCGAAUCAAGGCAUGGCAUGAAACUAAACAAAGCAUAUAACAAAAGUCCCUUACUGACCAUAAGCCAAAAGGAAUCAGAAGAUACAAUGGCAACCAUGUAAACAUAGCAAGUUUCGUUAACAGAUUCAGACUUAGCAGAAAACUGGAACAUGGCAAAAUAGAAUUACGUAGGCAUGUUUGCAAGCUCGAUGCAGUCACCACAAGGCAUUGCAUGACAAGCUAAUCAUACACCCAGCAAGUACACAUGUUAAAUAAGCUAACCAUGGCAAGAACACUCUCAUAGCAUGCAUGGAUCAACUACAACAACCUCGGCAAAAUUGCUUAACAGGUAAACAAUCUGCCAGGAACAUUUUAUAGCAAAAGUAGAGCAAGAUUGAGUCAUGAUAGGUUGCUCCAUAAUUGCAAACAAAGACAUGGAUGAAUAGAGCAUAAAAAUAUCUCAAAAACAUCCUUACUGAACAUGCUCAAAAGAGGCAUGGAUCACUCUGUAGCAACAUGAAUACAUGGCAUAAAAUUAUCAUCCGGGAAGUGACUUAGAAGAAAUCUAAGUCCCUAAAAUCAGCAACAUCACGAGAGCUACUUUGCAUGCUUGUGCUAGUCACCACAAUGAUCACAAAAAUACAUGGCAUACACCCCUGUAAAGAUGGCAUGGCAUAUAACAAAACACAUGUAGGGCUCAAGUCCAUAGGAGGCACACAUUAAACAUGGAAAAAAUGACAAAUGUACAUAUUCUGAUAAGAGACAGACACUAACAUUACAUAGCACUCUUGCAACAGCAUUUAGGGCAUCAAGAUGAUCUCAAAUGAACAUUGUGCAAUGGAAUGAAAUGAAGUGCACAUCCAGAUGAACAAUUUGAUAGGCUACACGCCCAAAACGGAGCCAUGGAUGUAAGGUUAUGACAAGAUGAAGUUGCCUAAAAAUAAUGCAAACUAGGGACUUAGUGAGGGAAAAAAGGUCAACCUCUAUGGAUCUAGGGUUUCCAGCACGGGUCUCGAGGUGGCGGCGGAUCUCGCCGGAGAGCUCGCCGUAGAACGCUGCAGUGGCCGGAGUUCGUCGGGGACGGCGGAGACGAGGCCGGAGAGGAGGGACGGCGAGGUGGAGGCCGGAUCCGUCGGGGACGGCGAGGUACGCGGCGGGCGAGGCGACCGGAGAGGCGGCCGGUGACGGUGGCGCAGUGGCGCGCCGGUGGCGGAGAAGCGGCGAGGGCUUGCGAGGCGGCGGCGCUCGGGCGCGGGGGAGGCGCGGCGGCGGUGAUGGGCCGGGCGGGCCCGAUCCGGGCUCGCCAGGCCGGCGGCGGAGAGGACGGCGGCGGGACACGUGGCGGGCGGAGAUUGGUUGGGCGACGGCGGGCGGACGUGUCCGGCCGUCGCGGACGCGUCCGGUGGCGGCGGGGGACGGAAAUUAGGGUUUCACCCGCAAAUGAAGGAGGGGAGGCCUAUUUAUACAUAGAAGGAGCUAGGAGGCUCCAAAUUGAGCACGGUUUUCGGCCACGCGAUCGUGAUCGAACGACAUAGAUGAUGGAGGAGGUUUAGGUGGGUUUGGGGCCACUUUGGAGAGGUGUUGGGCUGCAACACACACGAGGCCUUUACGGUUCCUCGGUUAACCGUUGGAGUAUCAAACGAAGUCGAAAUGGCACGAAACUUGACAGGCAGUCUACCGGUAGUAAACCAAGGUCGCUUGGCAAGUCUCGGUCCAAUCCGAGAACGUUUAACACCCGCACACGAAAAGAGGCAAAAGGGGACACCGGAGGACAUAGGAGCGCCGGAAUGCAAAAUGGACAACGGGGAAAAUGCUCGGAUGCAUGAGACGAACAUGUAUGCAAAUGCGAUGCACAUGAUGACAUGAUAUGAGAUGCAUGACAAGACAAAAUGCAAAACGAAGACGAAACCCAACAACAAGGAAACAUCAUAACUUAGUGCCGGAAAUGGCAAGAGUUGGGAUACAAAUAUGGCAAAUUACAUACAGGGCGUUACAUAAAUUGUUGUAUGAGAUGAUCAUGUUUUGAUAAAGUUAUCGGCAACUGGCAGAAGCCUUAUGGUUGUCUCUUUAUUGCAUAAGAUGCAAGCGCCAUAUUAUUGCUUUACUUUAUCGCUAUGCGAUAACAAUAGUUGCAAAAGAAAUAGUUGGCGAGACGACCAUGUGACGACACAUUGAUAAAGAUCAAGAUGAUGGAGAUCAUGGUGUCAUGCCGGUGACGAUGGAGAUCAUGGCGGUAGUUUGGAGAUGGAGAUCAAAGGCACAAGAUGAUGAUGGCCAUGUCAUGUCACAUAUUUUGAUUGCAUGUGAUGUUUAUCUUUUAUGCAUCUUAUUUUGCUUAGUAUGACAGUAGCAUUAUGAGAUGAUCCCUUACUAAAAUUUCAAGGUAUAAGUGUUCUCCCUGAGUAUGCACCAUUGCGACAGUUCUUCAUGCUGAGACACCACGUGAUGAUCGGGCGUGAUAAGCUCUACGUUCACAUACAACGGGUGCAAGCCAGUUUUGCACAUGCAGAAUACUCAGGUUAAACUUGACGAGCCUAGCAUAUGCAGAUAUGGCCUCGGAACACUGAGACUGAAAGGUCGAACGUGAAUCAUAUAGUAGAUAUGAUCAACAUGGUGAUGUUCACCAUUGAAAGCUACUCCAUCUCACGUGAUGAUCGGACGUGGUUUAGUUGAUAUCGAUCACGUGAUCAUAUAGAUGACUAGAGGGAUGUCUAUCUAAGUGGGAGUUCUUAAGUAAUAUGAUUAAUUGGACUUAAAUUUAUCAUGAACUUAGUCCUGACAGCAUUUGCAUAUCUAUGUUGUAUAUCAAUUGCUCGUGUAUAGCUUCCCCAUUUUAUUUAUGAUAUGUUCCUAGAGAAAACUAAGUUGAAAGUUAAUAGUAGCAAUUAUGCGGACUAGGUCUGUGAUCUGAGAUUAUCCUCAUUGUUGCAUAGAAGAAUUAUGUCCUUGAUGCACUGCUAGGUGACAAAACUAUUGCAGGAGCAAAUGCAGAUGUUAUGAACGUUUGACAAGCUCGGUAUGAUGACUACUUGAUAGUUUAGUGCACCAUGCUUUACGGCUUAGAACCAAGACUUCAAAAAUGUUUGGAAACGCCAUGGAGCAUAUGAGAUGUUCCAAGAGUGAAAUUGGUAUUUCAGACUCAUGCCCGAGUCGAGAGGUAUGAGACCUAUGACAAGUAUUUUUGCCUGAGUACUACAAUCGCUUGAAUCAAGUGGGAUUUAAUCUUCUAGAUAAGAUAGUGAUUAACAAAGUUCUCUAGUCACUAUCACCAAGUUACUGGAACUUUGUGAUGAACUAUAAAUAUGCAAGGGGUGACGAAAACGAUUCCUCAAGCUCUUCGCGAUGCUGAAAUCGGUGAAGGUAGAAAUCAAGAAAAGCAUCAAGUGUUGAUGGUUGACAAGACCACUAGUUUCAAGUAAAAGGGCAAGGGAAAGAAAGGGAACUUGAAUAAGAAUGACAAGCAAGUUGCCACUCCCAUGAAGAAACCCAAAGCUAGACCCAAGCCUGAAAUCGAGUGCUUCUACUGCAAAGGAAAUGGUCACUGGAAGCGGAACUGCCCCAAAUACUUGGCGGAUAAGAAGGAUGGCAAAGUGAACAAAAGUAUAUAUGAUAUAUAUGUUAUUGAUGUGUACUUUACUAGUAUUCAUAGUAGCCCCUAGGUAUUUGAUACUGGUUUAGUUGCUAUGAUUAGUAACUUGGAACGGGAGUUAUAAAAUGAAUAGAGACUAGUUGAGGGCAAGGUGACGAUGUGUGUUGGAAGUGAUUCCAAGGUUGAUAAGAUCACCACCGCACACUCCCUUUACCUUCGGGAUUAGUGUUGAACCUAAAAUAAAUUUUAUUUGGUGUUUAGGUUGAGCAUAAUAUGAUUGGAUCAUGUUUAUUGCAAUACAGUUAUUCAUUCAAGUCAAAGAAUAAUUGUUAUUCUGUUUACAUGAAUAAAACCUUCUAUGGUCAUACACCCAAGGUGAAUGGUUUAUUGAAUCUCAAUUGUGGUGAUACACAUAUUCAUAGUAUUGAAGCCAAAAGAUAUAAGUUUAAUAAUGAUAGUGCAACUUAUUUGUGGAACCGUCAUUUAGGUCAUAUUGGUGUAAAGCGCAUGAAGAAACUCCAUGCUGAUGGGCUUUUGGAAUCACUUGAUUAUGAAUCACUUGAUGCUUGUGAACCAUGCCUCAUGGGCAAGAUGACUAAGACUCUGUUCUCCGGAACAAUGGAGCGAGCAACAGACUUAUUGGAAAUAAUACAUACUGAUGUAUGCGGUCCGAUGAGUGUUGAUGCUGACGACGGGUAUCGUUAUUUUCUAACCUUCACAGAUGAUUUGAGCAGAUAUGGGUAUAUCUACUUGAUGAAACAUAAGUCUGAAACAUUUGAAAAGUUCAAAAAAAUCAGAGUGAAGUGGAAAAUCAUCGUAACAAGAAAAUUAAGUUUCUACGAUCUGAUCGUGGAGGUGAAUAUUUGAGUUAUGAGUUUGGUCUUCAUUUGAAACAAUGCGGAAUAGUUUCGCAACUCACCCACCUGGAACACCACAGCGUAAUGGUGUGUCCGAACAUCGUAACCGCACUUUAUUAGAUAUGGUGCGAUCUAUGAUGUCUCUUACUGAUUUACCGCUAUCUUUUUGGGGGUUAUGCAUUAGAGACAGUUGCAUUCACGUUAAAUAGGGCACCAUCUAAAUUUGUUGAGAUGACAUCGUAUGAACUAUGGUUUGGCAAGAAACCAAAGCUGUUGUUUCUUAAAGUUUGGGGUUGCGAUGAUUAUGUGAAAAAGUUUCAAACUAAUAAACUCGAACCCAAAUCGGAGAAGUACGUCUUCAUAGGAUACCCAAAAGAAACUGUUGGGUACACCUUCUACCACAGAUCUGAAGGCAAGAUAUUCGUUGCUAAGAGUGGAUCCUCUCUAGAGAAGGAGUUUCUCUCGAAAUAAGUGAGUGGGAGGAAACUAGAACUUGAUGAGGUAAUUGUACCUUCUCCCUAAUUGGAAAGUAGUUCAUCACAGAAAUCGGUUCCAGUGAUUCCUACACCAAUUAGUGAGGAAGCUAAUGAUGAUGGUCAUGAAACUUCAGAUCAAGUUACUACCGAACCUCGUAGGUCAACAAGAGUACGAUCCACACCAGAGUGGUACGGUAAUCCUGUUCUGGAGAUCAUGUUACUUGACCAUGACGAACCUACGAACUAUGAGGAAGCGAUGAUGAGCCCAGAUUCCGCGAAAUGGCUUGAAGCCAUGAAAUCUGAGAUGGGAUCCAUGUAUGAAAACAAAGUGUGGACUUUGAUUGACUUGCCCGAUGAUCGGUGAGCCAUUGAGAAUAAAUGGAUCUUCAAGAGGAAGACGAACGUUGAUAGUAGUGCCACUAUCUACAAAGCUCGAAUUGUCGCAAAAGGUUUUUAACAAGUUCAAGGUGUUGACUACGAUGAGAUUUUCUCACUUGUAUCGACGCUGAAAGUCUGUCCGCAUCAUGUUAGCAAUUGCCGCAUUUUAUGAAAUCUGGCAAAUGGAUGUCAAAACUGUAUUCCUUAAUAGAUUUAUUAAAGAAGAGUUGUAUAUGAUGCAAGCAGAAGGUUUUCUCAAUCCUAAAGGUGCUAAAAAGUGUGCAAGCUCCAGCAAUCCAUCUAUGGACUGGUGCAAGCAUCUCGGAGUUGGAAUAUAUGCUUUGAUGAGUUGAUCAAAGCAUAUAGUUUUAUACAGACUUGCGGUGAAGCCUGUAUUUACAAGAAAGUGAGUGGGAGCACUACAGCCUUUCUGAUAAGUAUAUGUGAAUGGCAUAUUGUUGAUCGGAAAUGAUGUAGAAUUUUUUGGAAAGCAUAAAGGAGUGUUUGGAAGGAGUUUUUCAAAGAAAGUCCUCGGUGAAGCUGCUUACAUAUUGAGCAUCAAGAUCUAUAGAGAUAGAUAAAGAUGCUUGAUAAGUUUUUUCAAUGAGUACAUACCUUCACAAGUUUUUGAAGUAGUUCAAAAUGGAUCAGUCAAAGAAGGAGUUCUUGCCUAUGUUGCAAGGUGUGAAAUUGAGUAAAGACUCAAAACCCAACCACGGCAGAAAAUAGAAAGAGAAUGAAAAGUCAUUCCCUAUGCCCGAGUCAUAGGUUCUAUAAAGUAUGCUAUGUUGUGUACCAGACCUAUUGUGUACCCCACCAUAAAGUUUGGCAAGAGGGUACAAUAGUGAUCCAGGAGUGGAUCACUGGACAGCGGUCAAAAUUAUCCUUAGUGGAAUAAGGAUAUGUUUCUCGGUUAUGGAGGUGAUAAAGAUUUCAUCGUAAAGAGUUAUGUCGAUGCAAGCUUUUACACCAAUUCGGAUGACUCUGAGUCUCAAUCUGGAUACAUAUUAAAAGUGGGAGCAAUUAGCUAGAGUAGCUCCAAGCAGAGCACUGUAGACAUAGAAAAUUUGCAAAAUACAUACGGCUCUGAAUGUGUCAGACCCAUUGAGUAAACUUCUCUCACAAGCAAAACAUGAUCACUCUUUGGGUGUUAAUCACAUAGCGAUGUGAAGUAGAUUAUUGACUCUAGUAAACCCUUUGGGUAUUAGUCACAUGGAGAUGUGAACUAUUGGUGUUAAAUCACAUAACGAUGUGAACUAGAUUAUUGAUUCUAGUGCAAGUGGGAGACUGAAGGAAAUAUGCCCUAGAGGCAAUAAUGAAGUUAUUAUUUAUAUUUCCUUAUAUCAUGAUAAAUGUUACUAGGACUACUCCGUGUGGGAGGUGGAAUCCUACUAGGACUAGGGAGUCCUAGUAGGACUCCACACCUUGGCGCGCCCCCUUAGGGUCGGCUGCCUCUCCCUCUCCCUCCUUUAUAUACGUGACCAGGGGGCACCCCAUAGACACACAAGUUAAUCUUUUGGCCGUGUGUGGUGCCCCCCUCCAUAGUUACACACCUCGGUCAUAUCGUUGUAGUGCUUAGGCGAAGCCCUGCGUCGGUAACUUCAUCAUCACCGUCACCAUGCCGUCGUGCUGGCGGAACUCUCCCUCGGCCUCAACUGGAUCAAGAGUUCUAGGGACGUCAUCGAGCUGAACGUGUGCUGAUCGCAGAGGUGUCAUGCGUUCGUACUUGGAUCGGUUGGAUCGCGAAGACAUUCGACUACAUCAACCGCGUUACUAAACGCUUCCGCUUUCGGUCUAUGAGGGUAUGUAGACACACUCUCCCGCUCUCAUUGCUAUGCAUCUCCUAGAUAGAUCUUGCGUGAUUAUAGGUACAAUUUUGAAAUAUUGCGUUCCCCAACAACAAAAACCCUCACCCCUCCCUCCACCCCCUCGGCCCCUCCGGUAUGUUCCCUGUUCACACCUGCACAAGCACCUCCGUGUCUAUGCCAUGGCACCACCUAUCGCGGCGGUAAGCACUUAGCUCGAUGCCUGCCGCUGCCGCCAGGCUGCCGGCAAAGCCCGCCGCAUUUCGCCACUUCCGCUUGCCGCCACCUAUCGCCAUCGACUUUCUCGACGCUGCUUGUGGUCGACCCAGCUCCGCUCGGUUGGGGAAUCUGUCGUACUGAGGGUUCUUUCUCAUGGACGAUAAGGUAACUAAUUUAACAAGAUAUUAUCUCAUCUCUUAUCCCAGUUCAUCUGUCUCCUUUAAUCACCCGACAGAAAUCACCGUGAAUUCGUUUUUAUUCGAGCUGAUUUGAGGGUAUUCUUUCAUUCAUAUAAUGUACAGUGUGCCGACACUUAAGGACUUUGUGACCUCCGCCAGAGAUUCCAUCUCACCGUACCAGAUAACUUGAGGACGCGCGCGAUAUGUUCAAUCUCACCCUAAAUCAGUUGGCAUGGCCUACUUUCCUGAACAUAUUCUAAAUAUUGCUACAUUUGGAUAAAAGGUGCCACAUGCACCAUAUACAUCAAAGGGGAUUUUUCCCCUCUUCUUUCUAUAUUAGGCAAAUUAAUAAUGUAUUGUUCUUUCGAUUACUCUCAUAUUUCCAUGACAUCAUGUUUACCCUAUCUAUUUAAUUAUAGAUUUUUGUCCUUCGAUUUCAACUGCUGUACAAUUCUUUCAAUUUAGGCCCAUAUUUGCAUGUUACCAUAUUUUCUUUAACAAUCCUACCAUUUUCUGCAGAACAUCCCUUGCUAUGCAACAGAUUAUGUAGUGCACAAUUUUUUCCUUUACAUAGAUGAAGGCUCCACGGAUGUCAUACUACACACAAACCAUGGAUUUACAAUCAUUGCUACUGUAAGACUUGAUGAACGUGGUGGCUCCUAUUUUGGCACUAGCUUUUGGAAAGAAAUUGCAAAGUUUUAUGUACUGAAAGCUGGCAGUAAAAUUGCACUGCACAUAAAAGGGCCUGGUCAUGAGAUAUAUGCUAACUUCCCCGACAAAAUCAUCCGUCCAGACUUUGUCCGAAGUAAGUUUUCUUUUCAACUAUCUGCAUGUUGACUUAGCCAGCAAUGUCAAAUGAAUUGUGUAGUAUUUAAGCAACCAAUUGUUAUUCCCUUUUCUUACUAUAUUCCCACCUAAUAACUUCUAGUUACCAAUACACUUUUCUAUUGCAUUGUUUUAACUAAAUAUUCCAUGUACUCCCAUUUCUAUCAGAAAGCGCCACUGACAAGGAGACUCCAGAGGUGGAGAACGGAGCUGCCAACAAGCGGAGGCGGGGCGAGCUAGAACCACAAGCGACUCCGGCAGGACUAGACUUCAUCAGCAGCCUCCCCGAUGAUAUGUUGAGAGUCAUCAUCUCCCUCCUCCCAAUCAAAUAUGGGGCGCGGACAAACGUCCUUUCCCGGCGGUGGCGCCCCCCAUGGAACUCCAGCCCUCUCGACCUCAUCGACACCCACGAGCUCUGCCAUGGCUAUCACAAAAGCUUGGAUGUGUUCUCCAAGAUCCUCGGCAGUCACCUUGGCCCAACCAAAGGCCUUAGAAUGGGCAAGUUCUAUUCCAACGUCAAGGACCAAGCCAAGCUUGACGACUGGUUCCGAUCCCCCGCCCUAGAUCAGCUCGAGGAGCUCACUUUUGAUGAUGGGCAUAUGCGGUUGCUGCCAACGUCUACACUCCGCCUCGCGCCCACGCUGUGCGUCUCCAAGUUCAGGAACUACCAUCCCCCCCCCCUUAAUGACGCACCCUCACUUAUUCUACCAUGACUGAAGCACCUCGAGCUCAUCGCCGUCUGCCUCUCAAACGGUGACAUGAAGCGCCUGCUCCGUGGCUGUACUGCACUCGAGUACCUUCGUCUUCAGGCGAUCAAUGGGUUGAGUACCUUCCACAUCACCUCCAUGACUCUUCAGACUAUUUAUGUGUGUUGCUGGUGCGGUGGAAAGACAUCACAAGAUGUGUACCACGGUAUGGUCAGUGAGGACACACCUGCACUUGAGAGAUUACUUGUAGUUGAUCAAGAAGGUCCAACAAGAAUCAAUGUCAUUUAUACGCUGAAAUUGACAGUGGUGGGCUACUCGUCUCACAAAUACUCCGAACUUGUUAUUGGAUCCAUACCUGUUCAGGUACAAUAGCCACCUUCUACCUCUCCUUCUACAAAUUAACAUUAUUUCUAAUUUUGAAGAUGUUUGUUCAUCUGUCAUUCAGAAAGUGAUUCUGACAAGCUUGACCCCGAAACUGCGCAUAGUGAAGGUCUUGGCACUAGAAUCUAUCGGCCCCAACCUGGAGCAAGCUGUCAAUUUCCUGAGAUGCUUUCCAUGCCUGGAGAAGCUAUAUAUCGAGGUGAUGUUCCUUUCCUGUUAAAUGUUAACCAUAAGGGAGUUCAAGUUUUCCUAGGGAACUUUUCAUCCACUCCAACCUCUUGUGAAGAAGGCUACAUUUUUCUAGAAUGUAAUCAAAUGCCCAUGUUAAUCAUGUCAGAUCGAAGAUGGCAUGUUAGUGCAUUUUCCAAAUCCUGUAAACCAAAUAGGCCUAUAGUAAUGUUCAAAACUGCAUGUAGGCACUAACAUGUUUUCUUCUUUUGCAUAUAAGAUUAGGCCCAGUGGUGGAUAAUGUGAUACAAUAUAACAAUCACGUCGAAUGCCUAGAUCUGCAUCUCUCAGAAAUUACUUUGAACUCCUACCUAGGGACCUUACCGGAGAUUAUAUUCGCCAGGUUCUUUGUUCUCAGAGCAAGGGUGCUGAAGGAAAUUAGAUUUGCCCUACAUUUAUUUCGCAAAAAUGAAUGGUUUGUUGAUCAGUGCCGGCGCCUGCGGCAGAAUGGAGUAGGCUCCAAAAAUGUUGAAUUUCAUUUUGGAACUUCAGAUGACAUAGUAAUCGGAAGUCAUCGUGUCAACCCCAUACAUGACUUCUCAGUGGUUGACCCCUUUGCAAAAAUUGUGAGGUUUCGAAACCAGACUUAGAAGCGGUGAUAUUAGUUUGAACCUCUCUGAUAUCCAUGUUCAGCAGAUCAGCGCGAGCGUUUGCAGCUGAUGAGCUGAAUUUCAUUCCUAAUAUCAGUUUGAACCUUGUAAUCUUCGAAUUUGAGCCAUAUAACUCUAGAAUUUGAACCUUGUAACAUUUGGAGCUUUUAUGGUACAAUCGUUGAAAUGGCAUCGUAUGAGACUUGUAUAUUGCUAACACUAUUUUGACCUUAAUAUGAAAUGGUCUUAGAUUUUAUUAACCAUUCUCGAAUCAGUUUACCUUGUCGAUCUCACAGCACACGAUCUGUAUAGCUAACUCGACUGCGAUCUUCGACAUUAUUGCACACAAUUGGUUUCUUCCACCGUGUGCACUGUAGAGCGCAGAAUUACUUAUCGCACUCGAGUGUCCAUCAUCACCCUUCUGUGUAACUUUGACCUCAUCACCCACGGAUAAACUUAUGAUCGAAGGCAUUCCACACACUUCGUUUUUACAAAGCUUUUUGCUAAUAAACGCCCACCAUUUGUCCCUCUUCUAGUCGGCGCAUGGCCAAACUAGCCGGGUGGGAAGCUUGCGCGAUAAACGGUGCAGUAGCGGGGGAACAGGCUCACCGACGAUACAUUUGGUGCCUCUUCGAGCCCACGCGUGCGGUGCGGUGUUGUCAAGCGUGCACUGGAAUCCUCCGCUAUGAACGCCGUGAGAAGACGUGACGAUUACAGGCUGGCCGGCCCCCAUUUAUUACAGCGGCGAAUUAACCCUUGUGUCUCUUCAACCUUUCGAUCGUGCCCCACCAUUACAGGAAGCACACCCACCAUGAGAAAUUCUUAGAGGGUAUCUUGUGCAGCUCCAAUGGGGCUCCGAGCGGCUGCUGACGACGAGCAGCAGUUCACCAUGCGUGUCGUGGUGGACACCCACGGAAGGUUCGUGGACCUCUCGGUGGUGUACACCAACAACCCGGUCUGGGUGGAGCACUCCAUCCACAUCAUGGAGUUGUUGCUUGCCGCGGAGAAGUACAAGGUGGUCGGGUUCGACUUCGAGUACACCCGCGCUCCUGCCGGGUCUCGUCCCAAGGUCGUCGUUGACAGAUGUGUGUGUGCCACCACGUCCCCGUCUACCACUACUGCCUGGCCACAAGGCCUUGCGAGCGUUUCGCCAGGUUUGUCAAUAGCCCCCAUACAUGUUCGCUAUGGUGGACAUCACAAUGAUGUAAAGGCGCUCGAGAACUCGGGCAUCUCCUGCCAGAAUCUUGUCAACAUCCAGGGCCAAUACAAGGUCUGGGGCAGCAAGGAGCAUGAGAAGGACUCACUGGUUCACGUCGCCGAGGCCAUCAUCGACCCCUACUACAGAGACAUGAAGGAUUUGUGCAACAAGGACAAGCAUGCCUGGCACUCGGCCUGGAUGGAGAAACUCGACAAAGCUCACGUCAUGUACGCGGCCAAGGAGGCAUACACGAGCUACGACAUGUACAGGCGGAUCGUUGACAUGAGGAAGUGCCUCCUUCCCCAAAAAGGCCAAGGAUCGAGCCGGAAGUAGAGCAAUGGCAAGCGUCGUCGCAACAAUAAGUAGAUGAUUAGAUCCUCGUUUCUCCUACUUUAGUAUGCAUGUAAUUGCUUGCUUUAGUGUGUGGAAAUGUUAUGUGUGUAGUCACUUGUGUAAUUGUAUGCUUAAUUUGGUUAUGCAAUGAUGUCUUUUAAGUAUAUAUGUUGAUGCUAUGUAGACAGAGCGUAGAUGUUGUGCGGACAAAGAAAAUCACAUCGCACAAGGACUAAACAAUGUAACAUGUCGGUGAUGUUUUCAUCAACCACUCACAAUCGUAUACCAGCAAUCGUUUGCUCACAACACACAUGGCUUGUUAGCGGUAAUCGUCUAUGUUGUUAUCGGUCUUCGCACACAUUUCCGAUUACACACAUGUUUGCCUCGUAUCACGCACAUCUUGUUCAUUUGAACCUUUUCUGCUCUCAUGUCUCAAUGCAAAUAGUUCAGCCGAGUGAACCGCAUGUCGUAUAUCGCACACACCUUUGAUCUGGCUGACCAUUUCUUUUGUGUUGCCUAAUCACAAAUAGUUCAUCCGAGUGAACCCUAUGCUUUACAUCGCACACACCUUCAUCUGGCUGCCCAUUUCUUUUGUUCCUCCUCAUCGCAAAUAGUUAAUUGAGCUGAAAAGUAUGCCCUUCAUCGCACAUGCAACUAAAAUCUAAACCGUGUUUGAUGCAUCAUCCAUCGCAAAUGUUUUGCACCUUUUUGAUGGGUUUUUUACACCACCAUUUGCGAUUAUGGCAUCGCACACAGUUUCGUCGAAGGAUCUCUGAUCAUAGUGUCGCGUUAGCAGCAUCCUGCAGUGGUGAUGGGAGGGUAGGACAAAAGAUGUCAUGCAAUUUCUUAUUAUAACCAUGUAUGACUAUAUACGGAAUACAUGCCUAUAUUACGUUGAUGAAUUGGAGCUACUAUAUAUCUCUCUAGGUUGUGACUGUUAUAUGAUGAAUGUCAUCCAACACAAAUAUCCAUCACUAAUCCAAUGCCUACGCUUUUCUCAUAUUGGUUCUUGCUAAGUUACUUUCGUUGUUGUUGUUACAAUCACUACAAACUGCUAAUGUUACUAUUCCUAUUCCUAUUGUUAUUUUCCUACUAAACACUUUGCUGCAGAAAUAUAAUUUCCCAGGUGUGGUUGAACUGAAAACUCAACUGCUAAGGCUCAUAAAUAUUCCUUGGCUCCCCUUGUGUCAAAUUAAUAAAUUUGGGUGAGAUGCUACCCUCGAAGACUGUCUUGAUCCCCUAUAAUUGUGGGUUAUCAAAGUAUUGCCUGGCAGGUUUGCGAGGGCAAUACCAAGGUCAUACAAAAGAGGCCACCAUCAUGCUUGAAGCAAUGGCACCAAAGAAAUUGCGGAUUUGACAUGCCUGGUUUGCACAACGACAUCAAUGUGCUCCAGUAAUCUUUGUUGUGCAAGAGACUAUGUGUUGGGGAUACUCCAGCAUGCAACUACAUUGUCAACAUGCAUAACUACAAAUGGGAUAGUACCUUGCCAAUGGUAUUUAUCCCUAGUGGACGGCUUUUGUGAAGACUGUAUCAAAGAGCCAAGGUAACAAAUAAUGCCGUUUUGUACAAAUGCAAGAAGGUACUAGGAAAGAUGUGGAUAGGGCAUUCAGAUUGCUCCAGCCUCCUCGGGGUUUUGUUCAUGGAGCUGCAAUGAUGUGGGAUCCAAUGAUAUUGUGCAGUUGCUUACAUGUUGUGUAAUCUUGCACAACAUGAUUGUGGAUGAUGAGGGCGAUCUGCAAUCAGCAUACAUGAUUUUCGAAAGGGCGGAGGACAUGUCCACCUCCGAAAAUAAGAUGCAACCUAAAGUGCCAGUAUCAAAAAUAACCUGGCUGCACCCUAACUCUCCAGCUCGUCUCGCCGCCAUAAUAGGUGCCAAGGAUUCUGCAUGAAGAGCAUUCGAUAAAUUCUGCAACUUCCCCGCUCCAGCAGCUUCAGCCAAACCUUCUGAGUUCCUGAUUAUGUAUCCCCAGCCACCUGCAUUAUUUUCCACAUUAAAAGCUCCAUCACUAUUUAUCUUCGGAUAUGGAUCAAGUGGGGGUAUCCAUGUUCCCUGUUCAACCACAUUUCCUUUCUGUUUCUUCUUGUUGUUGUGCUCCAGACACUCCAUCAUAUGAUGCUCAAUUGAAGACACUAUCUCUGUGCAAUUUCUUGAACAUUCUCCAGCAUUUGCUCUGUUUCUCUCAUACUAUAGCAUCCAUAGAAGUGUGCAUAUCUUCAAGGUCUCUUCUUCUUUGAGCUUAAAAAUUUCCAUAAGAGCAUCUUGUGAGUUGAUGUACUUUGCAAGCAGUCCUCUCAUGUCUUCCAAUUGUACAGCCAUCCAAACCUGCUUAGCUUGCUUACAUCUGAAAAAAUAGUGCCCUCCAUCUUAGUAACAAAUGUUACAGAUAGGGCAUUUUGGGCUAAUAUCAAACCCUCUUCUAAUUAGUUUGUGGCGUAAAGGCAGACUAUUAUUUGCUAGUUUCCAAAUGAAGUGAAGCACUUUGCUCGGGAGGGGCAGUUUCCAUAACUUCUUCCAAUCAAACAUAGAUGAACUCAGUGAGCUACCUCCUAUUGAUUGAAUGCCUCUAUUAGUUUUCUUGGUCUCCCAGUCAAUGGCAACUUUGUAAGGAGACUUCACCGAAAAAAUCCCCUUUUUAUCAUAGUGCCAUGCUACAUGGUCUUCUAAGUCCUCAUUAUAGGGAUCUAAAUUAUAUCUGUGUCCUCCUGACAAAAUGUUUGAUUGACCAUGCCUUCAUCCCACACACCUAUAAUUGGGUCUAUCAGCUCCAAGACUUUCUAAAUUAUAUUUUUCCCUCUUUGAGUAACUGGCCUUCGAGUAUAGUUCCUCGGUAACCAGGGGUCUCUCCAAAUGUUAACACUUUGUCCAUUUCCUAUGCACCAUAUUAUGCCUUUAUUUAGGAGCUUCACUCCUUUCAAGAUACUUCUCUAGGAAUAUGACAUUCCUAUAACUGGUUUUGCCUUCAGGAUAUCACCAUCUGCAUAGUAUUUUGCUGGGAGCACCUGAAAACAUAAGGAUUGCGGAUUUUGCAGGAGCCUCCAAGCUUGUCUCGCAAGCAUAGCCAUAUUGAAAGCGUGGAGAUCACGAAAGCCCAACCCACCCUCCCUUUUAGGUUGUGACAAUCUUUCCCAACUAAUCCAAUGGAUUUUGUGCUCUUUAUCAUCUUGACUCCACCAGUAUCUACAUAUCAUGGUGCUCAUUUGAUCACAUAGGGUUUUGUAAUAUCAAAGCAUGCCAUGGCAUAUAUGGGGAUUGCUUGUGAUACAACCUUAAUUAGGAUUUCUUUCCCUGCAUUUGAGAGCAUCCUUUCCUUCCAACCUUGAAUCCUCUUCCAUAAUUUCUCCUUCAAAUAUUCAAACAUCAUGCUUUUAGAUUUGCCGAUGAACACGGGUGGGCCCCAUGUAUUUCUCUGACCUUGUUUCAUGUCUUAACUAAAGGAUGACCAUCACUUCUUGUUUAUCUUUAUCGGGCGUGUUCUUUCUAAACAUGAUUGUAGGUUUAUCUUUGUUAAUCACUUGACCUGAGCAAGCUGCAUAGGUCUUUAAAAUUCUCUCUAUCUCCAGCGCAUUGCUUGCUUCAGCCUUCAUGAGAAGUAAGAGUCAUCUGCAAGCAGAAGAUGGUUAAUGCAUGGUACCCUAGCAGAGACUUUAAUCCCCUCUAUCUUUUUAUGCAUGUCCGCUUCUUUCACUAAUGCCGAGAACCCCUCUGCACAUACUAAGAAAAGAUAUAGGGACAAAGGAUCACCUUGAAGGAGUCCUUUGCUAAGGAUAAUGGUACAUGUUACUUCAUGAUUUAACUUAAUUUGGUAUUUGACUAUGGUCACGCAUUUCAUCACCAAGCUGAUCCAUCUUCUGUCAAAGCCAACUUCAUCAACAUGUCAUGGAGGAAAGACCAUUCCACACGAUCAUAGGCUUUGCUCAUUUCCAGCUUCAGGGCCGCAUACCCCUUCUUUCCCCUUCGUUUAUUCUGCAAAAAAUGUGUUAAUUCAUAGGCCAACAUAAUAUUAUUGGAGAUCAUUCUCCCAGGAAUAAAGGCACUUUGGUUAUAUGGUAUAAUCUCUAGAAGAAUAAUUUUUAGCCUUCUAAUUAAUAUUUUGGAGAUGAUUUUAUACACCACAUUAUACAGGAUGAUUGGCCUCAAAUCUCUUAAAUUUUCAGGGUUGUGUACCUUGGGAAUGAGGACCAACAUUGUGUCAUUCCAACCCAAGGGCAUGUCACCCCCUUUAAGCACCUUCGGUGCCUCGUCUAUCACCUUCUCCCCCACAAUGUGCCAGAAUCUCUUGUAGAACAAGGCUGGCAUUCCAUCUGGCCCUGGCGCUUUGAGAUCACUGAUGUCGUCUAUUGCAGAUUUAACUUCUUCUCUUGAAUAUUCGGCACAUAGGAUUUGGUUCAUCUGUCUAUCUACUUUUGGGAGAACAUACCGUGCGACAUUUGUAUUAUCUGCCGGACCACUUGAAGUGAAUAAAUCUGAAAAGUAGUUGUGGAUUAAACCUUUCAUAUUCGAUUGACCCUCCACCCAGCCUCCAUCCUCCUUCCUCAAUUUUUUGAUGGUGUUCUUCCUUUUCCUAUCUGAAGCAAAAGCAUGGAAGAAACUAGUAUUUUUAUCUCCUUAUUUUAGCCAAUUCACAUGUGCCCUCUGCUUCCAGUAAAUAUCUUGUUGCUGCUCCAGCUUGUUUAUUUUUUUCUUUUAGUACUGCCUCAUGGUUCACCUGGUCCUGGGAUAUGUUCUGUAAUCUGUUUUGUUCUGGCUCUUUUUUAGCGAUUUCAGUCUCUUCAGGUCACCCAGCACCUUUGUAUCAAUUGUUUUAAAUAUCUUGCUACCUUCCUGAGUCCUUGCGAUACAUUAAAUGAGUUUGUGACUUGUGCUUCCUGCCAAGCCCUACAAACAAUACUUUCACAUUCUUCUUCCUUCAACCACUUGGCUUCAAAUCUGAAAUUUUGUCCCUUGCUUGACAAAGAAAGUUUUGUAGCUCCAUCAGUAUUGACUAUGAUUGGUCUAUUGUCUGAAUGUCUUGGGUCUUCAUUUAUGACACUGGUCAGAGGAAACCUUCUUCACUAACCCUCGGAUGCUACUGCUCUAUCUACUCUCUCCAUUACAUAAUUUGCUGCUAUAUGGUUGUGGUUCCUCCAUGUGUACUUAUCCCCUUCAUAUCCUAAGUCCCUUAAUCCACAAUAUUCCAGGGUCUCUUUGAAUCUGUCCAAGUGGAUUUGGUUCCUUGGUUGGUCUCCUCUUUUUUCGUGAUUGUGAAAGAUUUCAUUGAAAUCUCCCAAACAUAACCAAGGCCUCUCCAUUUGCGCAUUAAGAUUCCUCAAUAACCUCCACGCAUUUUCCUUUUUAUUCGGGGUCGGCUCCCCAUAUAUACCUGUGAGUCUCCAUCUAAAGCCAUCCUUUCGAUAAUCUCUACAUGAAUGUGCUAUUUUGAGUAAUUAUGUAGCUCCACAUUGAUGCCCUCUUUCCAAAAAAGGACUAAGCCCCCACUUUUUCCUUUCUUCACCAUACUAUCCUUGACUACCAUCUUUGACUGCUAGCAACCACCUAACGUGUUUCAUCCUUUUCUCUUCCAUUUUAGUUUCGGAUAGGAAAAGGAUGUCUAGGUCCUCCCACUUCUAGAGAUCCAGAAGCUCUCUAACUACUAGGCCAUUCCCCAAUCCCCGACAGUUCCAGGCUAUGAUCUUCAUUUUUGCUCGUAGGGUUGUCCCUGCAGCCCAGCAUUUUCACUUUCCGGUUAGUCAUUUCCUUUCUCUCAAUAUUUGCAGCCUCUUCAUCAACUUCCAUCCUUGCUUUUUUUAGUAUUUCGGUUUCCAAGUCUACCUCCAUCAGAUCAACACUCCUUUUCUUCCCCUCUAUUGUAAAGAAGUUGUUCUGAUGUUGAUUGCUUUUGGUUCUUUUAUAUAUCAUUUAAAGGUACCUUGAUUCACUUUCUUUUCCUCCUUCAAGUACUCCUUUUCCCAACUACUUUGUGCUCAUGUUUCCGCCUGGGUUUUCCUAUUGUCUUCUUUAGUUGCUUCUCUAUGUUCCAUAUUUGCUUCACUUUCCUGCCCCAGCUCUGGCUUGUUAGCAGUUUCUUCUUUGGGUGCAUGAUCCAUUGUUAUUUUCUCCUCUUUUAGAUCAGAUGUUUUUUAUUUGUCCUCCAACAACAACUUUUUUCCUUCAGUAGUCCUAGUUUGUUCAUUCCGGAUAGUCUUCCAAGCGCUUGUAACUCCUUUCUCCUCCCCUUUUCCUUAUUCUAUAUUCCUCCGCUUCUGACUGGGUGUUUUUCCUCCAUGAUGGACUGUUACUUCCCUGCUUACUAUCUCGACUUCCAGUACCGUCUGUAUGCCAAAAGUUACCUCUAUCACUCGAACUCCUGCUCUUUUCUUCACUAAAAUUUCCCUUAUAGAUGACCGCCCACAACUCUGGCCCAAAUUAUCUCGCUCCUUCUCUUCUGGUCAUGGAUGGGCAUGCUAUCUCUGUGUGCCCAAUGAUGCCCCAACCAUAGCAAAAGUCUGAAAGAUGUUCAUAUUUGAAAUCAAUAAUCUUCCUCUCUUUCUUCCUUUUAUUUUCUUCCUCCGCAACAGCACCCGUCAACUCCUCGUACAUGUCCUCUUGUUCUUCCUCAUCAUUUUCAAUUUCUAAAGUAAUAAAUCUUAUUAUUGGCACUGUGAUAUCCAUUCGUACCUUAAUUCUCAUAAACUCGCCCAUCGCAGUUCCAUCAUGAUCAAGGUCAAUGUCAAGUACUUCUCCAAUAUUCUUCCCAAUCAAUUCUCCUGUUUCAGAACUCAUCAUGCCCAUGGGAAUACCAUAAACUCUGACCCAGAUAGGAAUAAAUUUGAAUUCAUACUCAUCAAUUGUUUUACUAGGCACAAAAUUUUCCAUCACUAUCAGAUCCUUGUUGAAACUCCAUGGCCCACUAUCCAGAGCUUUCUUCUUGCUACUCUCAUCAUGGAAAGUGAAUAGACAGCGAUUUCUGUCGAGUAAAAGGGUGCCAUCAUUCUUUCCCCCGCAGGCUCUCGCGACCGCGUUGCCCCCGCGGGCGACCGGCCACGCCGUGACCCUCUUCUCCAGGCCCCCUCCCCCCUCCUUCCCUCCCCUCCGCUGUCGUCGGCGCUCACCGCCGGGCCUAGCCCGGGCGACGCUAGCGGCGGCGGCCCCCUCGCAAUUCCCCACUCAGCUCUCCUCUGGCGCGGGACGGAGCGGGCUGGGGGUGUCCCUAGGCAGCGGUCCGGCGUGGCGGCAGGGUCCUGGAGCUGCGCGGGCAAAUGUGUAACACCCAUGAUGCGGCUAUAUCUCACACGUGUCGGAGCACGACUUAGAGGCAUAACCGCAUAGUAGGCAAGUCGCAAGAGGGGUAAUCUUUACACAUCCCAUGUACUGAAUAAGAAAGGGGUAAAGAGUUGGCUUACAAUCUCCACUUCACACAAUACAUACAUAUAGCAUUACAUCAUCUAGAAUACAAUCAAGGUCCGACUACGGAACCAAAUAAAGAAAGACAACCCCUAAUGCAAAAGAUCCCCAAUCGCCCUGACUGGGCUCCACUACUGAUCAACUAGAAACGAAACAACACAACGAACACGAUCUUCAUUGAGCUCCUCCUUGAGCUCUGUUGCGUCACCUGCACUGGUAUCAUCGGCACCUGCAAACUGGCUUUGGAAGUAUCUGUGAGUCACGGCCUCAUGGGGACUCGGCAAUCGCACACCCUCGCGAUUAAGACUAUUUAAGCUUAUGGGUAGGAAAAAGGUAGUGAGGUGGAGCUUCAGCAAGCACUAGCAUAUAUGGUGGCUAACUUACGCAAAUAAGAGCGAGAAGAGAAGCAAUGCAUGGUCGUGAACUAGAAAUGAUCAAGAAGUGAUACUGAAACUACUUACAUUCAAGCAUAACACAAGAAUAGUGUUCACUUCCCGGACUCCGCGGAAAGAGACCAUCACGGCUACACACGCGGUUGAUGCAUUUUAAUUAAGUUAAGUGUCAGGUUUUCUACAACCGAAUAUUAACAAAUUCCCAUCUGCCCAUAACCGCGGGCACGGCUUUUGAAAGUUCAAACCCCUGCUGGGGUGUCCCAACUUAGCCCAUCACAAGCUCUCACGGUCAACGAAGGAUAUUCCUUCUCCCAGGAAGACCCGAUCAGGCUCGGAAUCCCAGUUACAAAACAUUUCUACAAUGGUAAAACAAGACCAGCAAAGCCGCCCGGAUGUGCCGACAAAUCCCGAUAGGAGCUGCACAUAUCUCGCUCUCAGGGCACACCGGAUGAGCCAGACGACGGGUUGGCAUAGACCCUGGUUGCCCAGGGGGCGCCGGACAUCGCUCAGGUUGGACCAACACUUAGAGAAGCACUGUCCCAGGGGGGUUAAAAUAAAGAUGACCCUCGGGUUCAGGAAACCCAAGGGAAAAAGGCUAGGUUGUUAGUGCAAAUGUAAAACCAAGGUUGGGCCUUGCUGGAGGAGUUUUAUUCAAGGCGAACUGUCAAGGGGUUCCCAUUAUAACCCAACCGCGUAAGGGACGCAAAAUCAAGGAACAUAACACCGGUAUGACGGAAACUAGGGCGGCAAGAGUGGAACAAAACACCAGGCAUAAGGCCGAGCCUUCCACCCUUUACCAAGUAUAUAGAUGCAUUAAUAUAAUAAGAGAUAUUGUGAUAUCCCAACAAUAAUCAUGUUCCAAACAUGGAACAAACUCCAUCUUCACCUGCAACUAGCAACGCUAUAAGAGGGGAUGAGCAAAGCGGUAACAUAGCCAAACAACGGUUUGCAAGGACAAGGUGGGUUAGAGGCUUGACAUGGCAAUAUGGGAGGCAUGAUAUAGCAAGUGGUAGGUAUCGCAGCAUAGGCAUAGCAAUAGAGCGAGCAACUAGCAAGCAAAGAUAGAAGUGAUUUCGAGGGUAUGGUCAUCUUGCCUGAAAUGAACUCAAAGUUGACGAAAGCUUGAUCCUCAUAAGCGUACUCAACGGGUUCCUCGGUCACGGUGCAAUACGCAAGCAACAUGAUGAUGGCAUGAUAUGCGGGAAGUGCUAUGCAAUGCAUAUGCGAGCUCCAGAAGGAAAAGAUUGAUAAAGGCAUCAACUUGGCAAUCCAAGGGUGCCGCUGGAAAGAUGAGAUGAUUUCAGUCGAAAUCAAUAUAAAGAUCACCGGAAUCGGAUGCACGGUUUGCAAAUGGCAGGCAAAACAAUAAUGGCACAAUCCUGCGAUUAACAGUAUGAUGCCAUCUAGAAUGCAACAAGAAACUAAGUUACUGCACUCCAACAUAACAACAAAGCACAUGGCAGUGAUCUACUCAAGAUGCUUGACAAAAGAUGAACACUGAGCUACGGCUAAAUCACACAAUAUCAGGUUCAAACAAGCAUGGUAAAAGUGCAAAAGAUAUCAGCAUCACAGACUGUAACGCCCCAGAUAUAACUUUCCCAAUUUGUACUCCAACUCUUGUCGUUUCCGGCGUUAAGUUAUAUUUAUUUCUCGGGUUCGGGUCUUUGUCUCCAUGUGUUGUUUUUGUUUUCAUGCAUCUCAUAUCAUGUCAUCAUGUGCAUUGCAUUCGCAUACGUGUUCAUCUUAUGCAUUCGAGCAUUUUCCCCGUUGUCCGUUUUGCAUUCCGGCGCUUCGUUCUCCUCCGGUGGCCACUUCUAGCUUUCUUUCGUGUGUGGGGAUUAAUCAUUUCUGGAUUGGACCGAGACUUGCCAAGCGGCCUUGGUUUACUACCGGUAGACCGCCUGUCAAGUUUCGUAUCAUUUGGACUUCGUUUGAUACUCCAACGGUUAACCGAGGGACUGAAAAGGCCUCGUGUGUGUUGCAGCCCAACACCCCUCCAAUUUGGCCUAAAACCCACCAAACUCUGCUCCAUGUCCUAGAGCGUUCGAUCACGAUCGCGUGGCCGAAAACCGCACCUCAUUUGGACUCUCCUAGCUCCCUCUAUGCUUAUAUAUACACCCCUCCAUUUUCGGAUCUCUUCUCCCUCUCCGAAACCCUAAAAAUCCCACUCCGCCGCCGCCGGACGUGUCCGGACGAGCCGGACAACGUCCGGAUUCCGCCGCCGCCACCCAGCGCCCGCCACGUGGCACCUCCGCCUCCACUCCGCCGCCAUCCGCCACCCCGGCCCGGCGAGCCCGCAGCGGGCCCGCCCGGCCCAUCGCCGCCUCCGCGCGCCAGGCGCCCGCUCCUCGCCUCCUUCCCCGNNNNNNNNNNNNNNNNNNNNNNNNNNNNNNNNNNNNNNNNNNNNNNNNNNNNNNNNNNNNNNNNNNNNNNNNNNNNNNNNNNNNNNNNNNNNNNNNNNNNNNNNNNNNNNNNNNNNNNNNNNNNNNNNNNNNNNNNNNNNNNNNNNNNNNNNNNNNNNNNNNNNNNNNNNNNNNNNNNNNNNNNNNNNNNNNNNNNNNNNNNNNNNNNNNNNNNNNNNNNNNNNNNNNNNNNNNNNNNNNNNNNNNNNNNNNNNNNNNNNNNNNNNNNNNNNNNNNNNNNNNNNNNNNNNNNNNNNNNNNNNNNNNNNNNNNNNNNNNNNNNNNNNNNNNNNNNNNNNNNNNNNNNNNNNNNNNNNNNNNNNNNNNNNNNNNNNNNNNNNNNNNNNNNNNNNNNNNNNNNNNNNNNNNNNNNNNNNNNNNNNNNNNNNNNNNNNNNNNNNNNNNNNNNNNNNNNNNNNNNNNNNNNNNNNNNNNNNNNNNNNNNNNNNNNNNNNNNNNNNCGCCCUUGGGCGCGGCUGCCCUCGUCGUCGGCGGGUCCUCCGGUGCCGGAUCCGCCCGGCCCGGGUCUCCUCCGACUUCCCCGGCGCCUCUCCGGCGAGAGCUCCGGCCGCCGUGCCCCUUUUUUUCUGGUGAACCUCGAACAGCUAAAGUGCAGCGCCGCGCCUCGGUUUCCGUGUGAAACCCUAGAUCUGAUCCGAGAGGUUGAUUUUUUUUACUAAGUCCCAGAAUUUUUGAUCCAUAUGCUCAUGUUCGCGGCCCCGUAACUUUGUAUCCGUAGCUCCGAUUUGGGCAUAUAAUAUAUCAAAAUGUUCGCCUCGACGAGUAUAUCAUUUCAUUCCAUUGUAUCAUUUUCAUUUGAGUUCAUAUUGAUGCCCAAAAUUCUGUUAGAAGAGGGCUUCGUGAGUUAAUUGUGAGAUCUGCUAGUUCAUCUUAGACUUUUGUCAUUUUUGCCAUGAUUAAUGUGUGCAUGCUAUGCCUGUGAGUCCUUCAUAUGUUUUUUUAAGCAUUUUGUCUUCUUUCCAGAGGUGCAAUCCAUGCAUUUUUAGGAUGUGUGUGGUGACUUGUGAAAGCUUGCAAAGUGAGGCACCCGGUAGAUCUGUUUUCAGAGACUUAGUAGUUUUCACCAAGUCUGGGAUUAUUUAGUUCAUGAUGCCAUAUGUUCAGCUUGUUUCCUAGUGAUCCGUGCCUCUUUUGAGGAUGAUCAGUAAAGGAGUUUUGUUAAUAAUGUUAUGCUCUAUCCAUCCAUGUCUUUGUUUGCAAUUUUGGAGCACCCUAGCUUGAGUCAAUCGAGCUCUACUUUUGCUUCAUUGUGAAUUUGUGCAGAUCGUCAACUAGUUUGCGAUUUUGCCGAUGUUGUUGUAGUUGAUCCAUGCAUGCUAUGCCAUUGUUCUUGCUAUGUAUAGCUUGUAUUUUGUGCCUUAUUUAAGGAUGUAUGCUUUUCUUGCCAUGAAUUGCACCGUGAUGAGUGCAUCGAGCUCGUAAACAUGCCUUCGUGAGUUAUAUUUCAGCAUGUCUCAGUUUUCACUAAGUCAGAAAACUCAUUGUGUUUGAGCUAUGUUCGUGUGCUUGUUAGUAUAUUUUGUGAUCCCUUUUGGCCCCAGGUCACUUUGGGACUUUUGUUAAGCUUGUUGAGUAGAUCCAUGCCAUGCUCUUCUUUGUCAUAAUCAGGUCAUGUAUCAUGUUGUUUUGCUGCUCCGAAGAGGGCUUCACGAUCUGAAAUUUCAGACAAGUGUUAAUUUCACUAAGUCUGGAAUCUGUUUUGCAUUUGCGUUUUUGCCAUGCUUGUUUGAACCUCAUAUUGGAUGAAUUGGCCGUAUCUCAGUGCUAGUCUUUUGUUAAUAAUCUUGUGUGCAUCCCUGCCAUGUAUUUUGUUGUCAUGUUUGGGUGCUGUAGCAUGUUCAUUUCGUUGCAUUUAGAUGCCUACUUGCUGUAAAUGGCAGACCGGUGUCAUAUCUUAAAACGCUUGCCAUUUCCAAACCGUAACUCCGUUUCCGGCGUUCUUUAUAUCGUUUUCAAGCGAUUUCAUCUCAUCUUUCCAGUGGCACCCUUGGAAUUCCAAGUUGAGGCCAGGUUCAUGCAUUUCCUGUCAUAUCUUGCAUUUUGUAUCCCGCAUCGCAUCCCGCAUAGCAUGUCAUCAUUGCAUCAUAUCGCUUGAUCCUUGCACGUGGUUGAUUAUAUCCUUGUUGCUUGUUUGUCUUGUUUGGGUAGAGUCGGGAGACGAGUUCUCUACCGAGGAGCCCGUUGAGUUUGCUUGUGAGGAUCCAGUCAACUCUAACAACUGUGCAGGCAAGAUGAUCAUACCCUCGAAAUCACUACUAUCUUUGCUAUGCUAGUUUGCUCGCUCUUGCUAUGCCAAUGCUACGAUGCCUACCUUUUGCUUGUCAGCCUCCCAAUUGCCAUGUCAAACCUCUAACCCACCUUGUCCUAGCAAACCGUUGAUUGGCUAUGUUACCGCUUUGCUCAGCCCCUCUUAUAGCGUUGCUAGUUGCAGGUGAAGUUUGGAGCCGUUCCGUGUUGGAACAUUUACUUACUUGUUGGGAUAUCAUUAUAUUGCUAUGUUAUCUUAAUGCAUCUAUAUACUUGGUGAAGGGUGGAAGGCUCGGCCUCUCGCCUAGUGUUUUGUUCCACUCUUGCCGCCCUAGUUUCCGUCAUAUCGGUGUUAUGUUCCCGGAUUUUGCGUUCCUUACGCGGUUGGGUUAUAAUGGGAACCCCUUGAUAUUUUGCCUUGAUUAAAGCUUGUCCAGCAAUGCCCAACCUUGGUUUUACCAUUUGCCACCUAGCCUUUCUUUUCCUUGGGUUCUGCAGACUCAAGGGUCAUCUUAUUUUAACCACCCGGGCUAGUGCUCCUCUGAGUGUUGGUCCAAACCGUCAGCCGCUGGUGGCUACCAGGGGCAACUCUGGGCUGGCCUACCAGAAGUUUAGACAAUCUGAGUGUGCCCUGAGAAAGAGAUAUGUGCAGCUCCUAUCGGGAUUUGUCGGCACAUUCGGGCGGUGUUGCUGGUCUUGUUUUAACCUGUCGAAGUGUCUUGAGUUAGCGAGAUACCGAGUCUGAUCGGAACGUCUUGGGAGGAGGUCUAUUCCUUCGUUUACCGUGAGAGCUUGUCAUGGGCUAAGUUGGGACUCCCCUGUAGGGAUUGAACUUUCGAAAGCCGUGCCCGCGGUUAUGGGCAGAUGGGAAUUUGUUAAUGUCCGGUUGUAGAUAACUUGAACCUUAAUUAAUUAAAAUGAAUCAACUGAGUGUGUUACCGUGAUGGCCACUUCUCGGCGGAGUCCGGGAAGUGGACACGGUGUUGGAGUAAUGUUUGCGCAGGCUGUUCUCUAGCUUCUCGCUCGUGCUUUGCCUCCUCUUCUCGCUCUCUUUUGCGAAUAAGUUAGCCACCAUAUAUGCUAGUCGCUUGCUGCAGCUCCACAUAUAUUUGCCUUAUCCUUCCUAUAAGCUUAAAUAGUCUUGAUCGCGAGGGUGCGAGAUUGCUGAGUCCCUAUGGCUCACAGAAUACUAUAACUCCAGAUGCAGGUCCAGGUGGUUCCGCUCCAGGUGACGAGUACGAGCUCAGGUGGGAGUUCGACGAGGACUCUCAGCGUUACUACGUUUCCUUUCCCGAUGAUCAGUAGUGGUGCCUAGUUGGGGUUCGAUUCAGGGCCUUGUCGCAUGUUGGAUUUUCUUCUAUUUUGGCGCCGUAGUCGGGCCAUGAGUGUUUGUAUGAUGGAUGUUAUUUAUGUACUUUGAUGUGACGUGGCGAGUGUAAGCCAACUAUGUACCUUCCCCUUUUUUUUAUGUAUUGCAUGGGAUGUUGUGAUGAUUGCCUAACUUGCGACAUUGCUUUCAAUGCGGUUAUGUCUCUAAGUCGUGCCUCGACACAUGGGAGCUAUAGCCGCAUCGAGGGCGUUACACAGACUUAGUGAAAAUAACAACAUGCCAGGAAUUAACAUCAGGAAGCAAUGUUUAGAGUAAGAUAACAACAUGCUAAAGGAACAGAACAUAUCAAACAAAGGCAUGGCAUGAAUAUACUUAAAGCAUAUAACAAAAGUCCCUUACUGACCAUAAGCCAAAAAGGAUCAGAAGAUAUGAUGGCACCCAUGUAAACAUAGCAAGUUUCGUUAACAGAUUCAGAAUUAUGAAGGCAUGUUUGCGAGCUCGAUGCACUCAACACAAGGCAUUACAUGACAAGCUAAGCAUACACCCAGCAAGGAGACAUGUACGACAAGCUAACCAUGGCAAGAACAAACUCAUAGCAUGCAUGGAUCAACUACAACAACCUUGGCAAAAUUGAUUAACACAUAAACAAUCUACCAGGAACAUUUUAUAGCAGAAGUAGAGCAAGAUUGAGUCAUGCUAGGGCACUUCAUAAAUGCAACCAAGGACAUGGAUGGAUAGAGCAUAACAAUAUCUCAAAAUCAUCCUUAAUAAACAUACUCAAAAAAGGCAUGGAUCAUUCUAUAGCAACAUGAAUACAUGGCAUAAAAAUAACAGCAGACAAAGACUUAGUGAAAUUCUAAGUCCCUGAAAACAGCAAUAUCACGAGAGCUACUUUGCAUGCUUGUGCUAGUCACCACAUUGAUCACAAAAAUACAUGGCAUACACCCCUGUAAAGAUGGCAUGGCAUAGCCCAAAACACAUGUAGAGCUCAUACUCAUAUGCAGCACACAAUAAUCAUGGCAAAAAUGACAAAAGCUCAUAAACUGAUAAGAAUCAGCACCUAACAUUCUAUAGCACUUUUGCAGCAGUCAUUAGGGCAUUAAGAUGGACUCAAACAAGCAUGGUGCAAUGGAACAAACUGAAGGGCACAUCAUGAUGAACAUUUUGAUAUAUCAUGCAUGCAAAACGGAGCAGCGAGCACAAAGUCAUGGCAUGAUGAAGGUAGCCACAAAAUAUUGGAAACAUCGGGGACUUUGAGAAAUUUAGACCUCGCGGGAAAAGUCAACGGGACGAAGACGACCAAGGACGAGGAGAUCCAGGACGGCGGGGAGGCGUUUGGUACGCGGAACGGGUGGAUCUCAUCCCACCCGGUCGGAUCCGAGGCGGGCGGCGUCCGGCGGCUCGCCGGAGCGAGGCGACACCGGCGAGCGGCGCAGCAGCGAGGAGGCGGCGGGCGGCUNNNNNNNNNNNNNNNNNNNNNNNNNNNNNNNNNNNNNNNNNNNNNNNNNNNNNNNNNNNNNNNNNNNNNNNNNNNNNNNNNNNNNNNNNNNNNNNNNNNNNNNNNNNNNNNNNNNNNNNNNNNNNNNNNNNNNNNNNNNNNNNNNNNNNNNNNNNNNNNNNNNNNNNNNNNNNNNNNNNNNNNNNNNNNNNNNNNNNNNNNNNNNNNNNNNNNNNNNNNNNNNNNNNNNNNNNNNNNNNNNNNNNNNNNNNNNNNNNNNNNNNNNNNNNNNNNNNNNNNNNNNNNNNNNNNNNNNNNNNNNNNNNNNNNNNNNNNNNNNNNNNNNNNNNNNNNNNNNNNNNNNNNNNNNNNNNNNNNNNNNNNNNNNNNNNNNNNNNNNNNNNNNNNNNNNNNNNNNNNNNNNNNNNNNNNNNNNNNNCCGGGUGGGCCAUGGCGGCGGGACAAGUGGCGGCACCGGAUUGGGCAGGGGUGACGACGGACGUGUCCGGCGAGGGGCGGACAUGUCCGGCGUGGACAGAGAGUUGGAUCUAGGGUUAGACUGCGCGAAUUUUCGGGAAGGCACAUAUAUAUAGGUAGAGGGAGCUAGGAGAGUCCAAAUGAGGUGCGGUUUUCGGCCACGCGAUCGUGAUCGAACGACCGAGAGGAUGGAGGGGGUUUGGAUGGGUUAUUGGGCCACUUUGAAAGGGUGUUGGGCUGCAACACACACGAGGCCUUUACGGUUCCUCGGUUAGCUGUUGGAGUAUCAAACGGACUCCAAAUGGUACGAAACUUGACAGGCGGUCUACCGGUAGUGUACCAAGGCCGCUUGGAAAAUCUCGGUCCAUUCUGAGAAAGUUUAAUACCCGCUCACGAAAAGAGGCAAAAAAGGGCGCUGGAGGACAUAGGAGUGCCGGAUUGCAAAACGGACAACGGGGAAAAUGCUCGGAUGCAUGAGACGAACACGUAUGAAAAUGCGAUGCACAUGAUGACAUGAUAUGAAAUGCAUGACACGCAAACAAAUGACAAGGCAACAACAGCGAAUAACUGGAAGACACCUGGCGCAACGGUCUCGGGGCGUUACAAGAUGGCUGGGCGGUGGCGUCGUCGUUGGCGGCAGGGUAGCGCGGCGGCGUGGUCUGGCGGCGCCCGCUCGGCCCAGAUCUGGGCCCUUCGAGCCCCAUCUGGGCCCGGGCGGGCUGGCUGUGGGGUGCGGCUGCGGCGCGCCCUCCAAGAGGCGGGGGAGAGGCGAAGAGCGGCAGGGUGCUGGCGGCGCCAUCGCCGGCUUGCUGCAGCAUGGCGGUGAGGCUUAGCGGGCCCGUUUCGGGCCAGGGUUGGCUUAGCAUGCCCUGCUGCCGCGUCCGGACGGCUACCGCGACGGUGCCGGAGGUUCUGGCCUCCCGCACGACGGCGGUGGAGGUGGUUCCCUCCCGUUCGGCUUCGGUGUUGCUUCUCCCUCCGCAGGGCGCUUCUCUCCGGUCCUCUUGGCCUCGUGUUGGUGUCGGCAGUGAGGCGACGUGGGUGGCGGCGCAACCGCGAUGACGCAUGGUGGUGGGCGGCGAUCUGGCUGGUCGGCUCCGGUCCGUUGGACGGUGGGGAUGGAGUGCGGGAGAAAUCUUUGCCGGUUCUUUGGCUCCGAUGCGGUGACACCUGCGGGUGCCACCAUUCCUUCCUGGAGGGUGUCGGUGAUAUCCAUCCCCCCCCACCUGCCGAGGGAAACUCUAGGACAUGUCCGGCCAGCAGCGUCGUUGGCGUCGCAUUCCUUCUUGGAGGUGUUGCUCGGUACGCAGCGGUUCGGGGCCUCGGGUUGUGGUGGUUUAUUUCUGGAGGGCGUAGCGGUGGCGGGUCGUCCGCGCUUUGUCGAGCUGCCGUUGUUGGCAUUUGUUUCUUCUUUUUUUUCUUUUGGGCUUGAUGUGCUGUUCGUCUCAGCGAUCCUUAUAUUGGUGUUGGUUGCUUUGAAAUACAAAGCGGGGGAACUCUUUUUCGAUAAAAGGGGGCCAUAGAUUUUCUAAAGUUCUACCCACAUACUCUGCUUUUGCUGGCCUUUGUGACAAAAGCUUACCGACGGCUUUAAGCUUGCCAAUCGUCGGGGAGCAGGCCUGCCUUCUACCAAUUUUGACACUCCUCUUUUCAGCCUCUGAAAGCUUCAAAUCUCUCAUCUUGCCCUCCACUCCGUCCAGGGCAGGGGUCCUCCUGUCCUCCAUUGUUGGAUGUCCUCACUGAAUCCCGAAGGGAAUACCCAGUAGCCACCUCCAAGCCCACCUCUGCACGCCAGGAAUCAGGAUUAACUGGUGCUUACGAUCGUCCGAGUCUAUAGGCGAGAGGCUUUUUUGGGGAUUUGAUUUUUGGGAUGGAUUUGCUUAUGUUCUUGGUCUGGGAACUGGUUUUGGACAACCAAAUCUCGAGCAGCAGUCAUGGAUUGGGUUGGAAGAUGGUGGGGAACUGGUCAUCUCUCAAUCGCUCGCAGCAAAUGAGAAAACCAAGUGUGGAUCUAGAAAUUCGGUGGGACGGACCUCGACAUGCAUUUAGGCUGCGUUUGGCAGCAAAGUUUUUUCAAUGUUUUCUGAGAAUAUUGUGGUUUCUGAAAAAGACCAAGGUUUUGAAUACUUUGCUGCGUUUGGCAUCAGAAAAAACCAAAGUAUUGUAAACCACGGUAUGCCAGAAACCAACGUAUUUUUGUGGUAUCUGGAAAAGAGGUCCCGACCUCUUUUUUUCAAACAGAACGGAGAGAAAUCAUCGGGGAGAUCACGGUGACGUUGCCGUCUACGUUGAGAUAAGAAUACCAGCUGCGAUCCCAUCCUAUUUUCCCUCUUUCUGUUAUGGUAUAAACUCCUGGUUAUAGCCAAUCUCAUCCUAUUUACGAGUAGCAGGUCUCUCAGGUUCUUCUUCUAGCCGGCGUCCCGUGCGAGUCUCGUCUCUUCUCUGCAGCGCCAUGAGCGAAUCAAGCUCUCCACCACGGAAAAAAGGUAUGAGCUCGUCUAUGCCCUACAAUUUUCGUCCUUAAAUUAUCUGUCUAGUCUGACCGUAACACUGCCGCAGGAGCUAGCAUAUAGGUUAGAGAUCAUACGGCCAGAUGGGAUGACGGCAAUGAUUAGUUUCAUGUGAUCUUGCAUGUUUUUCCUUGAUUCAUGUUAUAGAUGCUAGCUAGCUAACCGAUUCAGUAUGAAUGACGCACGUACACGCAUAAAGAAUUUAGAAUCGGCUGGAAGUACAGGCACGUAUAUAGACAUAUAAUGGCAAGACGCUCCUAAGAUUACUUCAAUCUAGUUGACUUCUCCUAGGAUGGUUUUACUUCAAUCUAGUUGGCUAAUUAACUAAAGUUGUCAUACGCUCUUGAUCAAUAAUGUACCUCCUAUUUAAAUUAAUCCAGCCAUUGAAAGCCAACUAAUCGAUUUGUUUCUUGCGCCUGUGUAGUUUGCAUAGUAGUACACAAAUCUGACCCUACAUGCAAAGAUGGUCCAUUUUACUCAGCAUGUAACUAGACUCCUGUUGAGUUGGUACAUCAUCUUUUGUUUACUAACAAUCUUAUUGUCUUGUUGUAAUUAUCGGUAAAUCUUUAUUUAACUAUAAUUUUUUGAAACAAGGCAAAAGAUUUGCAAUUUCAUUGAUUAAGGAAGAAGGUUUAGACAAUGCCACAUAGCGGCAAGAAAAUAAAGAACUACUCUCGCGCCAUUACAAUACUCAAAUGCUUGGCGCCCGCCAAAGCCCAAAGAGACAACUCCUCUUUAAUCCUGUUAAUAAGGACCACCGAAGGAGAGGCCGUGUUGCGGAAGAUUCUAGCAUUGCGCUCCGACCAAAUCUCCCAGGAGAUGAGCAUCAUCAACGAAGCAAGCGCCUUGGGGGAUUCGCUACGAAUAUGAAUGUUCCCGGUCCACCAUUGCUUCACCGAGCCCCUCGUCAUCCAAGCAGUGGUAUUGAUGUGAUGCAUGCCAAGCCACUGGAGGAUACCAUUCCACACGCGAAGGGUAAAACGACAUUGGAACAGAAGGUGGGCCGCUGAUUCCUGACUUUGCUUGCAAAGUGGGCAAAGACCGCGGUUGGGCCAUCCAUGACGAAGAAGGCGAUCUGAAGUCCAAAUCCUAUUUUGAAGAGCAAGCCAAGCGAAAAAUUUGCACCUCGGAGGAGCCCACACCUUCCACACCGAAUGGACCAUGUCUGACGUAGUAAGGCCCUCAAAUUGCGCCUUAUAGGCCGAGGAGGAAGAGUACAGACCGUCCUUGGUGAACUUCCAAAUAAUGGAAUCCUCCAUAUCCUCAGCAAGUGUGACCUGAGCAACCUUUUCCCAAAGGUGGGCGAACUGUUGGACGUGGUCUAGGGUUAGGCCAUUGGAAAUGUCAAUGUGAGAGAUCCAAGUGUUGUUAGAUAAAGCUUGCUGGACCGAGCAGUUUUUCUUUUUAGACAGAACAAAGAUGUCAGGCGCAAUGUCACGCGGGCGCAAACCAUUCAGCCAAGAGGAGUUCCAGAAUCUGGCAGUACGCCCAUUGCCAACCGUGACUGUAGUGGCAGCCGCAAACAAAUCUCUGUCCUCGUCCGUACAAGGCGUACCCAUACCAAUCCAUGGUUUUGUGGGCUCUUUCCAUUCAAACCAGAGCCACCGGAGCCUAAGAGCCUUGGAAAAUUUGCCCAAAUUGAGCACACCCAGGCCACCAUGUUUUUUUGGCUUGCAAACAAGGUCCCAAUUAACUUUGCAUUUCCCACCGGAGACCUUAUCAGCUCCCGCCCAAAGAUAGGCGCGACGAAUACGGUCAAUCUUCUUGAGAACCUCCACCGGGAUAUCAAGAGGCGUAAUAUGGUAAAUGGCGAUGGCAGUGAGGACAGCUUUGACAAGAACAGCCUGGCCAGCAGUAGCAACGUGUUUUCCCUGCCAAGGAGGGAGCUUGCCAGCGACCUUAUCCUCAAGGUGUUGAAAAUGGAUCCUCUUGAGACGCUUGACAGAAAGCGGGAGUCCUAGGUAUCUCAUCGGGAAUGAAGAACGGACAGCCGGGAAAGCAUGUAGAAUAUCAUCAAGGUCAACGUUUUCGCAUCGAAUAGGGGCCACGAGGCUUUUGGCGCAGUUGGUGACUAAACCGGUAACCUCUCCAAAGGAGGCAAGAGUGGAAGCAAGGAAUUGGACGUCCUCUUUGAUGGGCUUGACAAAGAUGGCAGCAUCAUCGGCAUAGAGCGAAGCACGGAUGGUUGUGUCUCUACCACAUAGAGGAUGGAGGUGCCCUUGGGCCGUGGCUUUGUUGAGAAGGUAGUGUAGAGGAUCAAUCGCCAAAACGAACAACAAGGGGGAUAGCGGGUCCCCUUGCCUGAGACCACGGCCAUGCUUCAACGGAUCACCCAACACACCAUUGAUCAAAACCCUCGAUGAUGCCGUGGAAAGGAGGGCGGAAACCCAGUCGCGAAAUCUACUUGGAAAGCCCAGAUGCCUUAAAAGAUCCAAGAGGAAGUCCCAUCUCACAGAGUCGAAAGCUUUCUUGAUAUCGAGCUUGAAGAGCAAAGUUGGGGUCCUAUUGUGAUGCAACUUUCUCGCCAAACCUCUCACAUACAUGAAAUUAUCAUGGAUGCUCCUCUUCUUGAUGAAAGCGCUUUGGGCAUUUGAGACAAGACUUUGCAUGUGCGGGGCGAGACGUGAAGCCAUCAUCUUAGCUAUAAUCUUCGCAAUGGCAUGGAUAAGACUAAUGGGGCGAAAAUAGGAGAUGCACUCCGCCCCAUCUUUCUUAGGAAUGAGGGCAAUGUUCGCCGAGUUGAGCCAAUGGAGGUUCGAGGUGUGCAAGCUCGAGAAGUGGUUGACCGCAUUCAUAAUGUCUCCUUUGAUGAUCUCCCAACAUUCCUUGAAGAAGGCACCGGUGAAGCCGUCCAGUCCCGGAGCUUUGUCACUUGGUAGAUCGAAGAUUGCCUUCUUGACCUCCUCCUCCGAGAAGGCAGCCCCAAGGUCUGAGAGAUCGCAAGCGGGGGCCGGGAUAUUACCCCAAUCGAUGUCAAUGGUACGGGGCACACCCCUCUUGGUGACCUCCCUGAAGUGGUUUUGAAUGAUGGACUUCUUGUGCUCAUGGUUGGUGACCCAACCGUUAUUGUGCUUAAGACGAUGGAUGAAAUUCUUUCGCCUUCUAUGAUUGACUCGAAGGUGAAAGAAGCCAGUGUUGGCAUCUCCAUCUUUGAGGUUGGUGAUUCUUGAACAUUGCCUUUUUCGCGCGCGUUCAAGCACGGAUAAACUAAGCACCUUGCGUUUGAGUCUCCUACGAAUGUCCCGCUCAUCAGCACUUAAAAGUCGGGUUUCUUGGGCCACAUCCAAGCGAAGGAUGAUCUCGAGGGCCAUGUGAAUUUGCACCUUUGAAUGCGCAAAAAUCGUCUUGCUCCACUUUCUAAGAACAUGACUUGUCUUUUUCAUCUUCUGGAAGAGGAUGUGAUAGGGAUCAAUAUGGUUCACCUCCUGGUUCCAAGCACCUUGGACAACCUCCUUGUAUCUGGGCAUUUUGAUCCAAAAGUUUUCAAAGCGGAACGACUUGGUCCUCGGAGGCCCUUUAUGAUUAGCAAGGAGGAGAGGACAAUGAUCAGAGAGCGAUGAGGAAAGAGCGUGCAGGAGGUGAGUGCUGAACUGAAGGUCCCAAUCUUCAUUGCAAAAGAAGGAAUCAAGCUUGCUCAAAGUUGGGUCACUUCGCUCGUUACUCCAAGUAAAUUUCCGGUUUUGGAGGUGUAUCUCUUUUAACUCACACGCAUUGAGGGCGUUGCGAAAACGAACGAUGCGGCUCCGAUCAACAUUCGCACGGUUCUUGUCUCUAGCUCGGUAUAUUUGGUUGAAAUCACCAUUGACCAACCACUUAUCACCAUGGGGGGGCUUCUCACUAACUAAUUCUUGAAAGAAGCCAUCUUUAAGAUUGCUUCGUGUCGGGCCAUAAACGGUUGUUAGCUUGAAGGAUGUGCUCGAAGAGGUGAUGGUGACAGUGGCCGAAAGGAAAAAGGCUCCGAUGCUAACAUCAUUGACAAAGACAAAAUUCUCAUCCCAGAGAAGCAGGAUGCCCCCACGGGUGCCCAGGGCUGGGCGUUGAGCAAAGCUCUUAAGUCUAUAUCCCCCUAGAAAUGCAGCAAUGAAAGGGUCAACCAGCUCGAGCUUGGUCUCUUGUAAACAGACAAGGUGGCACGGAGUAGCUGCGAUGGUCUCGUGAAUGGUAGCACGACGAUCAGGACAAUUCAAGCCUCGGACAUUCCAACUCAGAAUAUUCAGGUUUUGUUCUAACAUAAAUGGCACCAGAAUACUUCAGUAGAGCUACACUUGGCUGGACCAGCAUAAGAAGCAGAGUACAACAACACCAGGAGAAGCAACACGUUUAGCAACAUCAAACAACAGCCACAACAAACAUCGCCAUGCGCCUCGCAAGGGCACAACCAGAACCAUCGAGAGGUUGUAUCUAACAUAAGGAACAGAGUACAUCGACUGGAACAAACACAGUCCAUAUCACGCCGCCUCGUCGGCGACCUCCUGACCCGUCGUUUGCAGCUCCGGCCCGGCUUCUCCACCAUGCUCCACAAGGGCAUCUUCAACUGCCUUCGCCAGGUCACAAUCAAGGUUGAACAAGGCUCGAAGGGCAGAAACAGUGAUGUCGGGGAGCCUUCCCUGGAACAUGGCAACGAACUUUCCAAUGGCAUCUUCGGUGAGCUGCUGGCCUUCAUCAAUGAUGCCCAUGCGCUGACAGAGCAGCCUCUCUGCCAUCUUUGCGAUCGGCAUUGCCCUCUUAUUGGCACGUAGCCGUGGGCUGCACCUGGUCAGGUUGAAGCCUGAGACGCCCGCGAGCGUCUUCCUCCUGGUCGCUGGCAGACGAGGUGGAGAGGAGCUUGGAUCAGCUAGGAGUGGCGGCUGACGGGCGACGAAUAACGGAGAGCGUGGCGGCGACCCUGCUGGACUUCUAGGCGCGUGGACAUAGGGAUGUGGAUAGGGGUGACCGGAGGGGAAGGAGUCUCUUCUGGAGUGGAAAUCGCCAUGAGCUCGUCAGUAGAGCCAGUCGAAUCGGCAUGUUGGUGCAGCAGUGUGACAGAGCCAGGAGCCGACUGGUGGAGUGGCGUGAGGGGGCUUGGAGUCGGGGUGGUUGCACGCCGUAGCAGACGAGGCGCGGGACAGCCCGGUGGCGGGUCCUCCGGCGACACUUGCAAGCCCGGACACGGUGCCGCGCGACGCAGCCAAGCAGGAGCAGUCGGUGAAGGACGCAGCUCAAUGAUGUCUCUGUGAGCGGUGCGGGGGGAAGAUGGCGACGAUCUUCCGCAGUUCACAGGGGCCUUUGGGGACGGCCGCAGCACAAUGAUGUCAUGUUGUGUAGUGCGAGGCGAAGGAGGCGGAGAUCUUCCGCGGUUCUCUUCGUUGCGCGGGAUGAUAGACCUAGCUCUUGAGCGUGCACGCCUCAGCGUCAUGUCAGAUGGGCGGUCUCGGGGCCUCCUGCCUGAAGCCGGGAUGACAGUGCCAUCACGAAGGUGUUGCACACAUCCAUUGUUGAUUCUUCGGGCGUCGAGGAUUGGGAGCUCCAGACCACAGAGCCUGUCAUCUUCUUGACGGCCACAGAUGUCGCUGUCUUUUUGGAUCCACUCGUCGCACGAGUCUUGGCCUUGCUUAGCACGUCCAGGGUGAGCUCUUGAGCGUUGGCGGACGCGAAGCAACGAGUGCGAGCGCGGGCGGAGGGGAGUCCUUUCGGCAACAUCGUCCGGGGAGGACGGCAGCAGAGGCGAGGGAUGGCCCUGCGGUGCUGGUGGCAGGAGACGGUCUUGUUGUGGAGGCGGCGUCUUGCUAGUGCACUGACGAGCAUGGUGCCCGCUCUGUCGACAGAUCAGGCAUUUGUAGGGAUCACGGCAGUCAACUUUGCAGUGUCCCCGCUCCAGGCAGCGAUGACAGGUCGUACGAUGGAGCUUGACGAAUCUUCUGCUGGUUGGAGGGGAAUACGAAGGCAAGGAUCGUCGGGGUGAACGACGGUGGUCGGGAGACAGAGCUCUCCACCAGUACGGAGCUCGAACAAGCUUCCAACCCUCCUCUGAGCUGGCUUCCCCACUGGACGGCUCGAUCGAAGAAGCACGCGGCGAUGCAGGUCUGGAAGGAACGGGCGUCCACGCCGCACGCCGGCCGGCACUGAACCGCGCAGAUGACGAUGCCUUGAGGCAUGACCGGGGAGCGCCACGGACGAGCCCAAGAGGAGCUGGAUGCAGCAGAACUUCAGCGGCAGCAAAGCAGACCUUCCGGGUUGGAUCUGAAGCAACGAGAGCAGCAACUGCAGGUGGAUCUUCGGGGAUAGAAUCCCGGCCGAAAGAAGAGCCUGAAGAGGGAGGGUGCCUUGGCGGCGAGGCUGGAUCUGGCGUGGAUCCCGCGAGCUGUGGGAACAGAGAGAGCACGAGGCCGUCCCGAGCAAACCUUGGCGUGGGGAACCCGGGAGGAAACCGCGGCGUUGCAGGGGAGAGGUGCGGCUGGUGAAGGAGUGGCGCCGCGGCGGCGGAGACGGUGGCUGCGGGUGCCGGAGCGGCGCGGCGCAGGAGCAUGGGCGGGGGGAGCGACAUCCUUUUUUCGCGAAAGAUUAUAUGAUAGAUGCAAAAUGAUUAAUUUAACUAUAAUGAACGCUUGCAGGGCCAAAACAGGACAGAGCUACAUGGAAUAAUGGUCGCACUGGCUUUUUUGUGUCAAUGAUGAAAGAGUAUGCAAAUGUGGGAAGGUAUCAUGGCCAAAAUGGGUGGACCAAGGAAGGAUGGCAAGCUAUGAAAAACCGCCUUAAUGAGAGGCCUCUUGGAGCUAAUUUCACUGUUCAACAGCUGAAAGAUAGAGAGCAAAGGCUGAAGAAGAAACUUAAUGUUGUAAGUCUAUUAUAGAAAAGAGUGGUUUCGGUUGAGAUCCUCAUAACAAAGUGCCAACGGCUAUAGAUGAAAAAUGGGCAGAGCUAUCAAGCGAACAACGCAAGUGGAGAUACAAACAAUUCCCCUAUUAUGAUGUUUUAUGUGAAAUUUACGAAGGUAUUUUUUCUGACGAUGAUAAAAAAUAUAAAUUGCUCCUGUCAUAUUAUGUAUUACUUACAUCAUUUCUACACAGGUCAAAUGGCAGAAGGAAAGCAUUGCAAAAGGACAACCGAUGGUAAUGAAGAGAGGUACAAUAAUGUGUCCCAUUUUCCUGAACAUGGAAGUUAUACUGAUGAUGUUUUGAGGGUUGCCGGUAUGAAUUCUCCUGAGGCAACACUAUCUGCUCCAGGAUCAUCAAUGCCAGAAUAUGAGUUGGGCAGAGAUAAAUAUGGGGAUGAUGUUGACUUAUCAUAUGGUGGAUAUACAGAACCUCUAGGGAGUAAUCAAAUUCAUGCUUCAGCAGUAGAAGAUUUAACGAGUGUGGAUUCACCUCAAAGGAAGAGGCUUCGGAAUUCUAAAGGAUCUGAUGACGGAAGUGAGAAAAGUAAGGGGAAAAAAGAAAAGGACACUAUGUUGGCCAACUUGGUUUCCGUGAGGGAGGAAGAAAUGCAAACUUAUAAAGAAAUGAAGACGAAGCAAAUUGAUAGCUACAAGGAAAUCAAGAUGGCACAAAUGGAAAGGUGAUCCAAAAAAUGAUCCAUAUGGCAUGCCAAACUGCAAGCCAAGCUUAUUAUAGAUGAGGCCAACCUAUGGGUUACUGCAGGGGCUAAACAAUUAGGGAAAAUUGUAUCGCGCGAGUAAUUGUCAUGCCGUACUUCGGCCUUGUGUAACUCUACAAAACUCUAUUCUCCUCUACUUUAAUAGAUGAGGCAAAUCUUUUGCCUCCGUUUUGAAAAAAAAGAAUUUGGGACUCACACCAAAUGAUCAACACAAGAUGAUCAACCAUCUCAAAGCAGAUAUGCUAAACCGUCAAACAUUCAUGGAAGUGGAGGAUGAUGUUCUAUCCGUGAUUAUCCAAGAAGUCGUUGCCCCGCGGGUCUGAAGGAUACUGAAGUAGUAUAAAUUUUAUUUAAUCGUUACCAUUCCAUUUAUUCAUCAUUAUGUUCCAUGAAUUAGGAUCAUGUAUCUUUCUAUUCUGAAUAACGGAAGCACAAUAACUCUGUUGAAUUUUAUUUAUUUAUUCCUCCCGCACAAUGUUGAUAUAUAUUUUAGUCAUGACACUUCCAAAGUACCAAAAAAAUAUAGUAAGAACAAAUGAAUUUAUUUUAUUCUUGACACUUUUCAACUAAAAACAAAAAAAAUGAAAACAAAUGAACUUCAAGCAGUAUUUCUUCUUCCGCCUGAGAUAGUUUUGGUAGUCGUUCCACAUUGCAUCGGCUAUUUCAUCCCUUUUUGUGAUACCUAGUGCACGCCGCUCAUUGAGAGAAUGUAUAUCAUUUGUAUACUGCUUAUCUCCACUUGGAACAUCAAUUAUUUUUAUUGGAUCAAUCUCUGAUUCAACUUGGUCCAACCAUUGUUCGCCGCCCUCAUUAUUGGAAAUAAAAUUGUGAAGAGCACAACAUGCUAUCGCUAUUUCUGCUUCAGAGAUAGUCAUAUUCUACAGAUCCUGGUAUCUAGCUAGAUCGAGUCGAACGUGUGCAUGGCUGCAUGCAGCCAGCCACCGUUAACAGCCGCUAAUUACUCAAUCAUCCACUCCAAAUACUUGGGUCAAAACUUUGAUAAGACAACACCAGCCAAACACAUGUAAAACUGAGGAAAACAUUAUUUUAAAAAAACUGUGGUAUUCCUUGGCCAUCCAGGAGAAUACUCUGGUUUUCAAUUACCACAGUUUAAAAAAUACUUUGCUGCCAAACUAGGCCUUAAUGUUUUAAAAGCAAGAAAUGCGGUUGCAAGGAUGACAAGGGGUGACCAGCUACUGUUCAUAGACGCAUAGAAAAUAUCGACAGACAAAACCCAGUCCCGUUGUAGCUGUUCACUACAGCCUCAACCAAGGACCACUCUGCCAGGUACGGUCAACAGGAUGUGUGGAGCAGAUUAUGAAUGCACAAGAGAUGAGAACAAAUAAGUUUCAACAUCCAUUUUGCUGUCAAAGAAUCUGUUCUUCACAAGAGAAACUAUACAUAAACAUAAUCUAACAAAACGUCCAGCCAGCAGGCAGUCCAGUUGCAGUGAUCUCAAGCGAAACCAACAAAAAUAAAAAAGUUAAACCUGAAUAUCCAUGAAGACGAAUAGCAAGGGUUGUCUAGUCUUCAGGAAACCAAAUAUGAGCAGUUCCAUAUCACGAUUACAUUUGCCAAGUCUUUACCUAAUAACAAGUUACCGAAAGCUAGCCCAAUCACAAAUUCAGACAACCUAUUCAGGUUGUGAUAAUAGCAACACGUAACAGAUAGCACAACAUAACAAGGGAUCACGAAGAUACAACACACAACAACUACCCGUUAUUGCAUUUCAUUCACUCCUUGGAGGUCUUGUUGAUGAGUGACUUGUGGAUGUGAGGGAUGACACCACCACCAGCGAUGGUGCCCUUGAUGAGGGUGUCCAGCUCCUCAUCUCCACGGAUCGCAAGCUGCAGGUGGCG